Molecule: long non-coding RNA, 88279 nt
Filed under: Vitis vinifera (wine grape)
Lineage: Eukaryota; Viridiplantae; Streptophyta; Magnoliopsida; Vitales; Vitaceae
Description: long non-coding RNA (VVIN_LNC007502)
Source: RNAcentral
UCUUAUAGACGUUCCAUCUAAAAGAAGCUUUUCUAAAUGUUCCAUAACUUCCGUGAUUUCUGGAAAUCUCUCUAGUUUUGAACAGCCAGAAAGGAUAAGAGUUUUAAGGGAUUUCAAAGCACAAAUUCUGCCAGGAAGGAUCUUAAGGUUUUUGCAGCUUUUCAUAUUUAAUAAAACAAGCCCUCGGAGAUACCCAACCGAUGAGGGAAGUUCAAUGAUAGCAGUGGCUUCCAAAUUAAGCUCCAAUAAAGACUCCAUAUUGGCUUCGAUGUCUGGAAACUUCUCAAGUCUUGAGCAGCCAGAAAGGUUAAGAACUUUAAGAGAUUCCAAUCCAGUGAUUCUGGGAAAACAGUGAAGCAUUUUGCAGUUUCCCAAAUUCAACGUCUUAAGAUUUUUCAGCCUAGCAAUUGAUGGGUGCACCUUAUGCAAACUUGUACAACCAUCAAGAUUUAGUGUCUCCAGAGAUGGUGCACCAGACACGUCCGGACAUUCAACCAGGCAUGGAGAGUGACUGAGAUCCAUGACCUUCAAAUUUUCAAGACACUGUAACAUAAAAAUAAAAUAAAAAUUGUUGAAUAAAUUUUCUUGGAAGAACUUCAAAAUUUAUUGAGAAUAAGUAGUGAUCAUACCUUGUUCCCUUUCCAAAGGUGUUUUAAGCUGCUAUGCUUCAAAGUGAUUUGAACCAGUUUCUUACCAUCAAAAUUUGAGGGCAACGAUUCCAAACUCCAUCCAUCCCAAUGAAGAUAUCUUAAUUCAUAGGAAGGAAAUUUGAAUUCUUGAGGGAGGUGCACUGUGUUAGAACCAUAUGAUGAAAGUCCAUCCCAAUAGACCCUGAGGAGUCUUAAGUUUUGUCAUAUUUUUAAAAGCUCUAGUCGUAAACUGUAUUUCUAUUGAUGCCGACAUAUCAAAGGAUAUUCCUUGGAUUGCCUUUGUCCACUAAAACCAACAACAGGGGAUAAGUGAAGCACAAAAUGCUUAAAAUCAUAUACAUAAGCAACUUCUUUAAGUGAAAUUAAAUGCCUUAAAAGUUUAAAUAAGUUCAGGCACUUGGCUCUUACCGUAUUUUGUGUCAACACAGCAUGGACAUCUUCAUGGAUUCCACAAUCUACUCCAUUUGCCAGGUCUUCCAGGAAAUUCUUCCUUAAUGAUUUCCCAACCCAUUUUUUGCAUCAAAUCAUGCAUUUCUAUCUUGUUGUCUAAAAUACUAAUGAGAGAACGAUCUUUGAGAACUUUCAUUCCAUUUGCAGAGAAGUUGCAACUAUCAAGUAUUCUUCCAACAGAAUCUGAGUCCUUCCCUCUGAAGAAGCAUGCAAUAUCAAGGAAUAGAUCCUUUUCUGUGCUAUCCAGUCCAUCGAAACUUACUCUAAGCAUUUGUUGGAUUCUCCUGUCCCCUACUGUUUGUUGCUUAAGCAGUGCAUUUUCCCAUGCAAGCUCCGUCUUGCCACGCAGGAAAAGUCCCAGAACUUUAAGAGCUGCCGGAAGUCCAUCACAGUAAUUUAAUGCAUGUCCGGAGAGCUCCCAAAAACCUUCGUCAGGAAAGUCUGCCUUGAACACAUUCAAACUAAACAGUUGAAGAGCUUCCUCAACUUUUAAUUUCUGAACCUCAUAUAAUCCAUCAACUCCAUACCCAUCUAGUAAAUGUUUGUCUCUCGUUGUUAUGAUAAUCCUACUACCUGAACCAAACCAUUGAUGGCUCCCUGCCAACAAUUCUAAUUGAGUCAAAGCACUAACAUCAUCGAGAAUGAUAAGAACCUUUCUAGAGAAAAGUGUCUUCUUUAUCAAGCUAAUGCCUUCAUGAAUGUUGCUUAUGUGUACAAAAUUUUCCCGUAGGAUAUCUGCUAGAAGUUGUCUUUGUAGUUCAAGCAAUCCAUGCCUUUCCACUGCCUCUGCAACAUGUGGCAAAAAGCUAGCAUCUUCAAAUUGAUGAGCAAUUUGGUUGUAUAUUCCUUUGGCGAGGGUAGUCUUGCCUAUUCCAGCAAUUCCAUAUAUUCCUAUAAUGCGAACAUCAUUUGACUCCAUACAUAAUAGUGACGACAUUUCUUCCAAACGGGAAUUGAUUCCUACCAGAUGGUCAUCAAUAGUUAAGAGUUCAGGAUGACUGAUCAGCUUUUUGGAAAUGUGUCGAACAAUUCCUUUAAUAAUCUGAGAUUCGUACCUGCCAAAUAAAAAGCACAAUAUACGAACCACAAAUUAAUUGUAAGAAAGGCAGGGAAAAAAUUAAAAUGAUGAUGUUUAAUUUCAAUAUUUGUCAUGCUAUCAAUUGAUUUAUCCUAAUGCCUAAUUCUGAUCAAUAUUACUAUCAUGGAGACAAACUCAAAACGCAUAUGACUAACUGGAAUGGGCAGAGCACAUAUAUAUCCAAAAGAAUUGAUGUUAUAUAUAUGUAUAUAUAUAUUUCCCUUUGAGGCUCUCUUUAUGAAAUAAAUAAAUAACAAUAUAUUGGACUCUAUAUUUUUUCCUUGAUCAUAUUUUCAACUUUUUUUUUUUUUAAUAAAUGAUGAGGAGCUUUUGAUAAUGCAAGAAAUUUUAAAAUAAUUUCUAUUAUAUUUGAUUUUCGUUUCUAUUCUUCAUUGCCUUUAAUUUUCUUGACAAUUUCCAUUUGAAUAGUGGAUCCUGUCCUUGAAGGUAAGGAUCAUUUCAACCCACGAGAGUUUGUUUAAUGAUGUGAUUUAAAAACACUUUUCUUUUUUUGAUGAUAAAAAACUAUUUUAAAAAAUUUAUGGUUGGCUUAGAAGUCAUUCUCUAGAUAUUGUUUUCAAAAAUAAGUUGAAAUAAAUAAUAAUUUUCAAGGAACCCGUAGAAGUUAUUUUCACAUGUUUAUAAAAACAAAAAAAAAAAACAUGGAGAAAUAAUUUUAUUAAACCAAUAAAAGGCACAUAAGUAUGAUGUGAUCUCUUUCUUCUUUGAUUCUUUCUUCACCAAUAAAUAUCAAAAUUCUUUAAAUAUGAUUUAUUUCUUAAUUAUAUGUGCUUUUUUGAAUUUUCUUUAACUUCUUAAAUUUUUAAUUAGAUAAAAAAAUUUCAAAUCAAAUAAUACUUAAUACAUAUGAUUUACUAAUUUUUAAAAAUAAUUUAAAACUCAAAAACCAAUCCAAUUAGUGUUAGAAAGUUAGUGAACUCAAUCUAAUUGACAUCAGAAAUUCACAUACUAAUCUUCAUUAUGAAUUACUUUGUUAGUUUCUCUUUUACAUAUGAAUAUAUGUUUGUUAAUUUUUCUUUUUUACUAAGUAAAUAAAUUUCAAAUCAAAUGAAACUUUAUGUUUUUUAUUUAAAAUUCACAUACUAAACUCUAUGUUUUGCUAAUAAUUUAAAACUUAAAGUAAUUACUUAAUUAAUAUAAUAAAUUUGUGGACAAAAAUUAGUUUACAAUCAUUUUAUUCUUUCCCUUCUACACAGAACCAUAAUUUUUUUUUUAAAAUUUCUAACUAAACAAACAUAUUUCAAAUCAAACAAGAUUUGAUGCAUUGGAUUCAUUACCAAGUUUAUUAAUUUUUUUUAGAAUAAUUUAAAAUUCAAAACACAGCACAAUUGCUAGUGGAAAUUCACAAACUUAAAUUGGUCCAAAAUGAAUAUUUUAUUUUUCUCAUACAAAACUAUAUUUUUAUGAGUUUUAUCACUAGAAAAAUGGAUUUUGAAUAAAAUAAAACUUAAUUUCUUGAACUUAUUAAUGAGUUUAAUAAUUUUUAAAAAUAAUUUAAAAUUCAAGAAAUUUUCAAAUCACUAUAAAAAAUAACCAAAACUAAUACAUAAUAAGUUUUGACUUUAUUAUUUCUUCUAAGCACCUAAUUAUAUUUUUUGAAUUUUAUCACUAGGUAAAUAGAUUCUAAAUCAACCGAGACUUAAUGUUUUAAAUCUUUAAUAAAUCUUCUUACUUUUAAGAUAAUUUGAAAUUAAAAAAAAUGAUCUAAUUAAUUGUAGAUUAAACCAAAACUAAUCCAAAAUACUAUGUACAUAAGUGAAUACUAAAGGUGUAGAUGUAAUGAAAAACUUUGCAUAUUUAAAUAUUAAAAAAAUAUUUAAAUUUAUUUAUUUUUAUUUAUUUUAAAUAAACUACUAUGAAUUUAAAAUUAUUAUAUUUUUUUUGAAUAAUAAAUCCAUUAUGCUUUAGAAAGAUGUUGAGAUCCAGAUUUUUAUAAUAUAUAUUAAAAUACUAUCAUUUUAUAUAUAUAUAUAUAUAUAUAUAUAUAUAUGAAAAAGAUUUUAAUACUAAAGUACUAAAAAUGAUUUGUUUUUAAAUUUAUUUGUAAUUAUAAAACUAUUAGUACUGAAUAAAAUAUGAAUUCAAUUUCAUUAAUAUUAUAUAUAAAUUGAAUUAACAAAUUUUUUGACAAAAUUUAAAUAGUAAAUUUAUUUUUAAAAAUAAUUUAUCCAAAUGAGUAUUUUUUUUUUUUUAUUUGUUGAAAAGUGAUUUUAAAAGCAAGUUAUCAAGUACCAUUGUUUUUGAAAAAUACUAAAAAAUAUGGUAUUUGUUCUUUAAUUUAAAAAUAUAUUUUAAAAAUAAGUAUAAAAGUACAGUGCUAAACCGAUCUUAAAAUUUGAAUAUGUACAAAGCAUAUAGGAGGUGAGCAAUCAGGAAUACAAAGAAUUGACUAAGAUUCCAUUAAACAGUUUUUUUUCAAGAAGCACUCAAAGUAAAUUUUUAAUUUUUUUAAAAUGGUUAAAUUUUUGUUCAAAAACAUUUUUUUUUUUUCAAGUCUGCUUUCUAAACUCACUGCCAAAAUUAGUCAUGCUUUUAGGAUUUAAAAAUUAAACUCAGUUCCAACAUUGAAAAUCAAACAUGAAUAUCGUUGAUUAAUGAAAGAUUAAUUGAGAAUUCAGAUAUUAUAAAUGAAUGAGAGCAACUGAAACGGAAGAGAUGGAGUAGUUACAUACCCAUGCUCCACAUGCCAUCCAGCCAGAGAGCCAGCUUUCGUCAGUGCCGCCUUCCAUCUCUGCACCCUCUCCUCAGCGACUUCUCCGUAUCCUGCAAAUGCUUCUCCAAAACUGCCCCUUUGUUUCCGCACAUCAGACGGAUCCACAUGGUAGAAAACUGGUAAAACUAAUUGUCCCUUUUCCAUGGACUGCAUGAUCUUAUCAAGCUCAUCCAAGCACCAUUUUGAAUGAGCAUAGUUUUUCGAAAAAACGACAACAGAAAUACUUGAAUCUUCAAUAGCUUUCAAGAGUGAAGGUUGAAUCUCUCCUCCUCUUUCAAGUCCUUCAUCAUCUCUGAAGGUGCGAAUACCCGUCCGUCUCAACUUUUUAUAAAGAUGAUCCGUAAAAUUGAAACGGGUGUCUUCGCCUCUAAAGUUCAAAAAGACAUCCCAACGCCAUGGAAAAGGAGGAGAGAGAGUUGAUCUAGUUAAGCUUCUCUUUCUCUUUGGAGCCAUAGUCGGGGACGUUGUUUGUCCAAAAUUACAGAGACACUCAGGAAAUUUUUGGGUUGUUAAGUGUCAAAAACUCAAAAUUUCAAGAGAGUCAGAAGAUUUAUCCCUCUACCUUCUAAAAUUGGAACUUCCUCCCAUCCUCCGACCAACUUUAAUCUUCAUUUUUUCUUUUUAAAAAACGCGUGUCUUGGUCAAAAAGAAAAAACGUGUGGGGACGCUGAAUGGGGCAAAAUCCUCUCUUAAACGACUACAUCGUUUUAAAAAACGAAAAAACAAAGAAUUAAAACAGAUGAAAUAAUCCCGCUAACCUCCUACAAUUCCAUAAUUACCCCUUAGGUGACCCCCCUUUUCCCUGUUAGGGACAAUUUUACUCAAGGUCUUACUUAAAUACCAUUAUUGGUUUGAAAAUUUAUCAAAUAUCAUAAUUAUUUUGAAUUAGAAGGGAGUUCAGUGAAAAAUCAAAUAAGAAGGAUUUGAGAGAUGUGUGAUGAAAAUUUCAAAUCAAUAAAAAUUAAAUGUAUUUAGUUAAAACCUUAUAAAGAGUCUAUAAAAUUAACUUUUUUUAACUAUUUUAGAAUGGCGAUAUAAGCCAACCCUCUUUUUUGUCAAAUCCAUGUAAAAAAAAUAUUGAGUUUGCCCUCUUCCAUUAAAAUAAUAUUCUAAAUUUAUUAUUAUUAUUAUUAUUAUAUAAAGUAUAACCUCUUUUUAAUUUAUUUGAAUAUAUUUAUAAAUAAAAAAUCUGUUUGGCUCUUUAUGAAAAAUAUAAAUAAUUUUGAAAUAUUUAUAAUUUUAUUAAAUGUCUGGAAAUGAAUUUUAGCUAAAUAAAGGAUAAAAUGCUGUUUUAUUAUUUUCUCAUCAUGUGAUUAAUUGGCAGUUGAAAAAAUAGUGAAAAAAAAAUAAUAACAAAAUACUAGAAAGGACAGUCUUCUAUUUUGUAAUAAAAUAAUGAGAUUGAAUUCUCAAUAUCAAAAAACCCCUCUGAUGUUACUAAAAUUAUAUUGUUAGAUAAUUAUAUACUUUUGUAAAUAUAAAUAUUAUCCAUUUAUUUAUCAAAUUAUAAAAAUAUUAUUAUUAUAGUGAAUAAGUUUCCUUAUUUAUUUCAAACUUCAUAAAAUAAAUCAUAAAUUAAAAAAGAAAAAACAGUUCAUCUUUUCCUAUCCAUUUAUUUAUCUAUAUAUGUGUGUGACUAUGAAUAUAUUUAUUUGGAUUUCUAUAAUGUGGAAGAGCAUGUUUGAAGACUCUUUCUUAUAUUUUCGUCAGGGUGGCUGAAAUGAUCCGAGAAUUGCGUUUAUCAAUGUUUAGAUGAUGAUAUUUGGUGAGGUUUGGAUGGUGAUGGUGAUGGUGAUGUUACUCGACAAUAGAGAAUCCACAUCUCAACAUCAGGAGCAAAGGUAAGUUCUCAUCGCAUGCUUUGCUUGAUCUCCACCAAGUGCCCAUCUCAUUAAACAAAUGGGUUAGAUGAUAAACUAUAUUUAAUUCCCGUAUUUGUGAGCCCAAAGGCAAUCCUUGAGUCCAGAAUAGAAAAAUAAGGUUGCUUCAAACGUAAAGUUAUUGCUAACGACCGUUUCUUUAGGAAUAUUUUUUUUCUGACAAGUGGGUCUCUAUAUAUUAAGAGAUUAGAAAACAAAAUAGAAUGGGUUGGAGACCAUUGGAUAUGCUUUUGUCCUCUCCAAUCAAGAGAGGGUUAGUCAUGGGGCUCAAACUUAAUGGCUAUAUCAUAAGAUUGGCUGUAUGGAAGCUAGCUGUAUCAAAGCGACAACCACUUCAUGGGUUCCACUGGAGUAAUUUGAUUUUAAGUUAUUUAAUAUCUACUUAACCCAAUCUGAAGCUUUAAUAUACUACCAUCUAAGUGAUGAAAUUUUCAUCUGUUUCUUUCAUCAGUGCCAGUGCCAGGUUAAUUUUCGGAUUCUAUGUUCCGCUUCAUCCUUGAAGCAUACGCAAUUAAAUAUAGUUGGAUUGGUAGUGGGGGUUCCUCUUAAGGUAUUAGUUUAAAAUAAAAUUUUAUUAUUCUACAAAGAGCAUGUCAUAGAGCUUUGAUCGGGUCUUGCCCGGAUUCCAGUACAACGCUUGGACUGGAAAAAGCUAAAAUAUAAUAUAACACAAAACGUAAUAUUUUUUAUAAAUUAUUCAUUUAUUGAAAAAUCAAUAACUUCAUUAAGAUAAUAAUUUCUCUGGAUCUCAAAAGUAUUAUUUAGAAUUAUAAUAGACAAAAUGUAAUAGGAAAAGUUUAUAAUAAGAAAUAAAAUAAUAUUUUAUAUUUUAUAUUUAGUUCUUUAUAACAUAUUUAAUCAUAGGAUAAGUCCCAACAUAACUUAUCUAACAUCACCUCUAUAUUCCUCCUCAUAAAAUAUAAUAAUCAAAGUUGAAUGCAUAUCUUAUAUCUUAUGAAUCCUCAAAAUUUUUAAUUUUGAUGUCAAUUAUUUUUUGUAUAGUUAAGAUAAAGAAAUUUGAAUAUUAAUAUUUUAAAAAAUAAUAAUUUAACAUAUUUCCAAAUAUCUAAAAAUACAAAUUUUUUUUCCUAUUUAUAUAAUGAAGAUAAUAAUUCAAAAGCUAAUAAUUUAAAAGAACAAAGUAAUUUAAUAUGUUUUGAAAUAUGAAAUAUCCCAAAAUUGGUUACAAUAAUUAAAAUUUUAUAAUAUUUAGUGAUUUAAUUGAUUAGUAAAUUGGUCAUUGGUUAAUAAUCUAUAUUUUCCUAUUUUAUAUAAUAAAGAUAUGAUAUUUGAAAAUUAAUAAUUUGAAAAAAAAAUAAUUUAACAUAUUUCAAGAUAUAACAAAAUAGCAAAAUUGAUUACAAUAACAAAAUGUUGGUUAAUGAUUAGUAAUGUAAUUAAUAAAAAAAAUUGAUAAUUGGGUAAUAAUUAUUGUUCCUAAUAAGGUGUCAUCCUAAAAAAAUAUUAAAUCCUUGUAAGUUAAAUUUCAUUAAUUACUUAUUGAUUUUUGUUAAUAAAAUAUGUGUUCAUGAAAUUAAUUUAUUAAUUUCUUGUUCUUAAUUUAAGGAAGGGUAUCAAAUCUUACGAUUUUUUUUAAUUAAUUGGAAUAGUUUAUUCUAGUAGAUAUUUAUAACAUUAUGAGUUGUGUUUUGAACUUCUAACUGAAGAAAAUUCAUUGAUUAUGAGACAAAAAUAUUAGUUUAUGUGGUUGAAUCUUAGUUUGAAUCUUGGAAUUUUAUGGACAUAUUUUAGAUUUGUUUCUUAAUUUAGGACAAAGAUAAAACAUUUUAUAUUUUCCAAAGUGGAAAAACAAACAUUUAUGUUUAAGUUUUAAAGAAGAAAUAUAAACAAGCGUAAGCAAUUAUAUAGUCAAGAAAAUAAACAAGCCGAGAGCAACCUGAGAGCUCAUGGAAAACAAUUGUCUCAAUUUCUUAUUAUUUUUUAUUAUUAGGUGCAAAAUUCUUCGGCAAAAAUCUUGUAGUUGUCUUACAUGCCACCUUGCUAAAAAGUAUAUAAUUAAGUUGAAAAAUAAAGUCUUGGUCAAAAUAAAAAAGCAUGUGGGGGACCUUGUCUCAAAUCAAAAACAAAGGAAAUGAUGUGCGGGGACCUUCAAUGGGGGCAAACUAGUCUAUAAUUAUUCUUUCGCUCAUGCAUUUAUUAUCUUUCUCAAUGUUUUUAGAAUUGGAUUAGAGUUCAAUAAUCUGAAUUAAAUUUUUAGUAGUGAUGUGCCUUGUGGUUAAUUUAACCUCACAAUGAGGUGUUUCACAUAUUUGUGGGAAUAACCAUCCAUAUAUAGUCUAAGGAGACUUGGGAUAUAUUGCAAGUAACACAUGAGGGCUCAAUACCGUGAAAAUAUCAAAACUUCAAAUGCUCAUGGCUGCUUUUGAGUUGAUUCACAUGGCAAUCGGGUAAGAUAUGCUUGAUUAGGAUGGCAAUCGGGUAUGUUUGGAUGUGCCACCCUCAUCCUAAUUCCAUCCUAAUUAUAUAUAUUAUAACAAAAAACAAGAAGGCUUUCUGCUUUCCCAAUAAAUCGAAAAGGAUAACUACAAUUUUAUUUAGAUGCACAAAUUAGCAGCAAAACCUUGAAACUAUGAAUCAAUUUUGUCUAUAUUUUUCUCCAAAAAAUCCUACUUAACGUAAUCAUAGCACAUAUUGUGGGAAUUCCUGACUGAAUAACCAUUCCAAGUUGAGAUGCCCCAUAAAUUGUAAGAUAGUAAAUCUGAAAAAUACCAUUCAGAAAUUACUGAUAAUGGGGCAUAAAUUCUGCAGCUUCAGAUAUAUUAUGUCUAAAUAAGAAGACAAAAAGGAAUCCAAUUAUUAAAAUAGAUAAACGUUUCAAACUGAAAAAUGAAAAUUUAGUAAGCAUGAACCACUCUCUGAAGUCGGUGUGUGAUAAUGGGGAAGGUGAUAAAAAUAGUGUGUGAAUGCAACUUAUAGCUGGUCUUGUUCUUGCUUUUAGCUGAUCUUAUAGUUAAAAUAGUGUGUGAUCGCCCCUAGAUGCCUAGAGUAUUGGCUGAAGGAGGAGAGAAAAGGAAGGACAUCAACUUUCAUAAACGUUAAUCUUCUCCCAGAUGUGUCAUUCUUGAUUACUCUAUUAGAGGUAUUUUAGCAGUCCAUAGUGUGUAAAAUGGUCAAUUCCUUUGUUCAGACAUUUAAUCCAAAUAGUGAAUUUCAAGUGUAGGGGUUUCAAAUUCUCAAAUCCUAAAAAUCCAGAACAAUGUUGCUGAGCACAUUUAAUAUUUUUGUUAAAUAGCACAAAGAAAAAAAGAAAAGAAAAUUGAAAAAAAAAAAAGAAAAAAAAGAAAUCCUCCCAAAGAAUUAAUUUCAGUUGCUUCAAUAACUUUGGCGUACGGAAGUGAGGAGAGAAACAGAGGUGACUUAUCAUUAAUUAUUUUGGCGUACGGAGCCAUUCCUGGUGGCACUUCGGAAAUUUUCCAUAUUGUUACCACUUGUAUUUGGGGCAUAUAUAAGACGGAUCGCACACUUUUUCACCUCAUGCGAUGCCCCUGAUAGACUAAAAGAAGCCUCGAUGUGCUUGAACACACUGGCAUAGGUAGACUUUGAUUUCACAAAUUGACUGCGAGGUUGAUACAUCAUACACACGUGAUCCGUCUCAACAACUCGGUCUCCACUGUGUGUCCAAGUGAUGGAAUGACUGAAAUAAGGCCCUUCCCCGCAUUCAAAAAUACAGCGAAUCUCACCAGGCCGCUGAAUAGUUUCGCCCUCCUCAAGUGCAAACACAGCACAUAGAGCAACCCCCAAGAAGUUAUUGUCAAGCCAAUGUGGACGCAGGGUUGCUGAAACUGAAGCUCCCAUAUUCUCAUGCCAGCGCCCCUUUGGAAUCCUACUUCCAGGAAUCAAAAUACUGUACCCUAUUUCUGGAAAAAGUUUCUGCACCAUGCAGUUUAUAAUGUUAAUAUAAUAAUACCAUUGAGAGAGAGAGAGAGAAAGAAAGAAAGAGAGAGAGAGAGAGAGAGAGAGACCUGAUGAAGUGUCUCUAAUGCCAUUGCCACAUGAUCCUGAUAUAGUCCGGAGCAAUUCCAUAGCAUGAAUUCCACAGGACGAAGCCAAGUGGAAACCAACCGGUGUUGUAGGCUUAUCAUCCAAGAUGGAGUCGAUAAAGACCUCAGGGAUGUGCAAUCACAGGCAUCUAAUAAUUUUAUGUUUGGUGGAAGCUUCGGAAUUUUUUGAAGUUUCUCACACUGCCUCACCAAAAGAACUUUCAGAUUAGAAAGUCUACUGAUGUCUGCAGGUAUGCUAACCAUAUAGUUUCUGCUGAGGUUUAAUACUUCCAGAAGCUCCAAGUGGCAAAGCUUGUUAUCGAUUGUUCCUUCCAUUAAAUUGCAGUCACUUAGAUCUAAAUUUUUCAUGAAGCGUAGACCUGACAAAGAAGGCAACUGCAAACCAAUAUCAUCUGAAUUUUCUCUAUGCAGUAACCUGAAUGUAAGGGAUGAGAUCCAGAAGUUAGAUGUUGAUCCUUUGCAUCCCCUAAAUGAUAACUCUCUAAGGUUUGUCAAAUGAACAAGUGUGAUGGGUGGUUUUGUUAUGGCAGUUCCAUCAGCUUGAAGACUCCUUAAGCAUUGCAACAUUCCCAGGUCCUCUGGCAAUCUGUUGAGUUUUGAGCAACCAGAAACAAUGAGGGUUUCAAGAGAUUUCAAACCACAAAUUCUAUUUGGAAGACUCCUGAGGUCUUUGCAUUUUCUCAGAUUCAGUAACACAAGACCUUUGAGAUGAAGAAUUGAACAGGGCAGCUCUCUUAUAGAUGUUCCAUCUAAAAGAAGCUCUUCUAAAUGUUCCAUAACUUCCGUGAUCUCUGGAAUUCUCUCUAGUUUUGAACAGCCAGAAAGGAUGAGAGUUUUGAGGGAUUUCAAAUCACAAAUUCUGCCAGGAAGGAUCUUAAGGUUUUUGCAGCUUUUCAUAUUUAAUAAAACAAGCCCUCGGAGAUACCCAACCGAUGAGGGAAGUUCAAUGAUAGCAGUGCCUUCCAAAUAAAGCUCCAAUAAAGACUCCAUAUUGGCUUCGAUGUCUGGAAACUUCUCAAGUCUUGAGCACCCUGAGAGGUUAAGAACUUCAAGUUUUUUUCCAAUCCAAUGAUUCUGGGAAAAUAGUAAAGCAUCCUGCAGUUUCCCAAAUUCAAGAUCUUAAGAUUUUUCAGCCUAGGAAUUGAUGGGUGCACCUCAUGCAAGCUUGUACAACCAUCCAGAUUUAGUGUCUCCAGAGAUGGUGCACCAGACACGUCCGGACAUUCAACCAGGUAUGGAGAGUGACUGAGAUCCAUGACCUUUAAAUUUUCAAGACACUGUAACAUAAAAAUAAAAUAAAAAUUGUUGAAUAAAUUUUCUUGGAAGAACUUCAAAAUUUAUUGAGAAUAAGUAGUGAUCAUACCUUGUUCCCUUUCCAAAGGUGGUUUAAGCUGCUAUGCUUCAAACUGAGUUCAACCAGUUUCUUACCAUUAAAAUUUGACGGCAACGAUUCCAGACUCCAUCCAUCCCAAUGAAGAUAUCUUAAUUCAUAGGAAGGAAAUUCGAAUUCUUCGGGAAGGUGCACUGUGUUAGAAUCAUAUGAUGAAAGUCCAUCCCAAUAGACCCUGAGGAAUCGAAGUUUUGUCAUAUUUUUAAAAGCUUCAGUCGUAAUCUGUAUUUCUUUUGAUGCCGACACAUCAAAGGAUAUUCCUUCGAUUGCCUCUGUCCCCUAAAACCAACAACAGAGGAUAAGUGAAGCACAAAAUGCUUAAAAUCAUAUACAUAAGCAACUUCUUAAGUGAAAUUAAAUGCCUUAAAAGUUUAAAUAAGUUCAGGCACUUGUCUCUUAAAGUUUUUUGUGUCAACACAGCAUGAACAUCUUCUGGAUUCCACAAUCUACUCCAUUUGCCAGGUUGUCCAGGAAAUUCUCCCCGAAUGAUUUCCCAACCCAUUUUUUGCAUCAAAUCAUGCAUUUCUAUCUUGUUGUCUAAAAUACUGAUGAGAGAACAAUCUUUGAGAACUUCCAUUCCAAUUGUAGAGAAGUUGCAACUAUCAAGUAUUCUUCCAACAGAAUCUGAGUCCUUCCCUCUGAAGAACAUGCAAUAUCAAGGAAUAGAUCCUUUUCUGUGUGAUCCAGUCUAUCGUAACUUAAUCUAAGCACUUUUUGGACAUUCCUUUCCCCUACUGUUUGUAGCUUAAGCAGUGUAUUUUCCCAUUCAAGCUUCCUCCUACCAUACAGGAGAGAUCCCACAACUUUAACAGCAAGCGGAAGUCCAUCACAGUAAUUUAAUGCACGUCCGGAGAGGUCCCAAAACCCAUCGCGAGGAAGGUCUGCCUUGAACGCCCACAAACUAAACAGUUGAAGAGCUUCCUCAGAGUUUAAUUUCUCAACCUCAUAUAAUUCAUCAACUUCAUGCACAUCGAGUAAAUGUUUAUUUCUCGUUGUUAUGAUAAUUCUACUACCUGAACCAAACCAGUGAUGGCUCCCUGCCAAGAAUUCUAAUUGAGUCAAAGCACUAACAUCAUCUAGAAUGAUAAGAACCUUUCUAGAGCAAAGCGUCUUCUUUAUCAAGCUAAUGCCUUCAUCAAUGUUGCUUAUGCGUGCAAUUUUUGGCCAUAGGAUAUCUUCUAGAAGUUGUCUUUGUAAUUCAAGCGAUCCACGGUGUUCCUCUACCUCUGCAACAUUUGAAAGAAAUCUAGCAUCUUCGAAUUGAUGAGCAAUUUGGUUGUAUAUUCCUUGGGCGAGGGUAGUCUUGCCUAUUCCAGCAAUUCCAUGUAUUCCUAUCAUUCAUUCGAACAUCAUUUGACUCCAUACAUAAUCGUGACGACAUUUCUUCCAAACGGGAAUUGAUUCCUACCAGGUUGUCAGGAAGAUAUAAGAGUUCAGGACGACAGUUCAGCAUUUUCGAAAUGCGUCGAACAAUUCCUUGAAUAAUCUGAGAUUCAUACCUGCCAAAUAAAAAGCACAAUAUACGAACGGCAAAUUAAUUAUAAGAAAGGCAGGGAAAAAAAUAAAUUGAUGAUGUUUAAUUUCAAUAUUUGUCAUGCUAUCAAUUGAUUUAUCCUAAUGCCUAAUUCUGAUCAAUAGUACUAUCAUGGAGACAAAAUACUAUCAUUUUGUGUAUAUAUAUAUAUGAAAAGGAUUUUAAUACUAAAGUACUAAAAAUGAUUUGUUUUUAAAUUUAUUUGUAAUUAUAAAACUAUUAAUAAUGAAUAUAAUAUGAAUUCAAUUUCAUUAAUAUUAUAUAUAAAUUGAAUUCACAAAUUUUUUGACAAAAUUUAAAUAGUAAAUUUAUUUUUCAAAAUAAUUUAUCCAAAUGAGUAUUUUAUUUUUUAUUUGUUGAAAAGUGAUUUUAAAAGCAAGUUAUCAAGUACCAUUGUUUUUUAAAAAUACUAAAAAAUAUGGUAUUUGUUCUUUAAUUUAAAAAUAUAUUUUAAAAAUAAAUAUAAAAAUACAGUGCUAAACCAAUCUUAAAAUUUGAAUAUGUACAAGCAUAUAGGAGGUGAGCAAUCAGGAAUACAAAGAAUUGACUAAGAUUCCAUUAAACAGUGUUUUUUCAAGAAUCACUCAAAGUAAAUUUUUAAUUUUUUAAAACUAGUUAAAUUUUUGUUCAAAAACAUUUUUUUUAGAAUGUUUUUCUAUUUUUGAAAUUAAAACCCUGUUUUAAAAAAUUUAUGGUCAGUUUGGUGGUCAUUCUCUACAAAUAAUCUUUAAAAAUAAGAUGAAAUAAAAAACAAUUUUGGAGAACAAGUAAUAGAAGUUAUUUUUACAUAUUUAUAAAAACAAAGAAAAGCAUUGGGAAGUAAUUUAAAAAAGAAAACAAUAAAAAAUUAAACAAAGUCCAGUAGAUGUCUUUCUUCUUUUAUUCUCUCUCCACCGAUCAGUAUCAAAAUUUUUAAAUAUGAUUCCUUUUUAAUUACACUUUAUUUAUUUAUUUAUUUAUUUGAAUUUACUUUAACUUUUAAAUUUCUUUAGAUAAAUAAAUUCCAAAUCAAAUGGUACUUGAUAUAUAUGAUUUAUUAAUUUAAAAAAAAAUUAAAACUCAAAAACCAAUCCAAUUAAUAUUGGAAAGUUACAAAACUCAAAACCAAUAUAGAAAACAAAUUUUGUUAAUUUUUUUACCAAGCAAAUGAACUUCAAAUCAAGCAAAACUUCCUAUAUUUUUUUUAUUCAUAAAUAAGUUUAGUAAUUUUUUAAAAUAAUUUUAAACUCAAAUAAUAACUAAAUUAAUAUAAAAAAAUUAUAAACAAAAAUUAGUUUAAUAUGACUUUAUUAUUUAAUUAAUGUGUAGAAUCAUUUUUUCUUUAAUUUGUUAGCAAGUUUAUCAAUUUGAAAAAAAAAUAGAAUUCAAAACACAACACAAUUAGUAGUGGAAAUUCACGAUCUAAAUUCUAUCCAAAAUGACUCUUAUAUUUCUCAUACAUAACUUUAUUUUUAUGGGUUUUGUCGUUGGAAAAUGGAUUUUUAAUAGAAUUAAAAAAUAGACGCAAGUACUAUAAAAAAUAAUAAACCAAAAUUACUAUAAAAAAUAAUAAACCAAAAUUAAUACAUAAUAAGUUAUAACUUACUGUUUCUCCUAAGCGCAUAACCAUAUUGUAGACCCCUUUUUUAUGAGGGGCCCCUGGGGGGGGGGGGGGGCCUUUUCUCCAAGAGGGAACCAGAUGGGACGGGCAGCCAGAGAGGAAUGGCAGCCAUGAAGGUGGUUAGGAGGCAAUGCUGCUGAGGUGAUGAACAGCAAAUGGGGGUAAUGGCUUGCCUAGGAAGAUAGCACCUGCUGCCGGGGGACAAAAGAGGUGGGGGGAUCUGAAAAAGGAAAAAAAAAAAAAAAAAAAGGAGAGAACGGAACUGGAGGGGGAAGCUCGGAAGGCAAAACGGGAGAGAGCUAGCCAGAGAUAGGAGGAAACACGCCGGUGAGACAUCUUGAAGGAGGUUGUCCCAGGUAUCAUUUCCAUAUGUUGUUGAUGCUUUCUUGUUCACGCCAUUCUGUCAUUUUUUUUUGGGUAUUGUGAGAUCCUAUUCUGGUGUCUGAAUGUGAGCAUAGGAGAUCCUUACGUAUUGCUUUUAACAUCUGAGUUUGAUCACACCUAUUUUAUGCUUGAUUUCUAUGUCUUCUUGGCUCUGUUUUGAAGAUUUCAUAUGAGGUAUUUGCAGUCCCUCCACCAUACCCAUCAAUUAAUACUUUGCCAUCUUCAUUUCCUCCGCUUGCCACCCUCCAUCAUCCACUCCCCACCGCCUAGUUUUCCUUUCUCACUCAGCGCAUAAGAAGCAUGCAUGCAUGGCUGCCUUCACUUCCCCACACCCAUCUUCAUACCCAUGCUCCAAUAUUCGUCAAGCUCAUCCCCCCAUGCUUGCAUGGCCACACGAAGCUGCCAUCGCUCCAUCCCAACCCUGCAACAUCCAUGCAAACACCCAUCUUUCCAUACCCAUCUCCACGCCAAUCCCACCCCUCGCCACCUUUUUUUCUCUAUGCCCGCGUAUCCACCAUCACUCACACCUCCAUGCGCGCGAGUCCUCUUCAGUGGCUGGGGAACGGGCAACAGCCAAGCAAGCCUUCCAUUCCCCACAGACCUCGCCGGAGCCGCCUUUGGGGUUCAGCGCCGCUGCUUCGGUUCGGGGCGCCUCUCUCUAGGCUAUCGACGGCGGCCUGCUCGCCGUCCUCUUCGACUGCUCCCGCGGCGUGGUCGACGACGCCAUCGGCGGAGACGUCCACCUAUUGGUGUCGUGGCUUCGAAAGCCAUGUGUCUCCACCGUCUCGGCGCCGCCAUCCCUGCCCCUCUCCUCUACGUCGUUGCUGGUGGAGCCUUCGCCUAAAGGAGUUGCCCAGAUGGAGAGGGAUGCCUUGGGCUGUGAAGGAGCUUGUGUGGGUGACGGGCUUGGUUUUGCCCAUGAUGGCUUUGGGCUUGGGUUUGAAUUUGAAGCCCAGGCCCAAGCCUAUGCUGAAGAUGGAGCCUUGAGUCUUGCCCAUUGAUGUCAUUGGACUUGGGCUUAAGUUGGAGCCCAGGCCCAUUUACGUUGAUGAAGGCCUUAUGCCUGCCACCCUCAUUAAGGUGGCCCAGGUCCAUGUCAAUUAGCCCAUUAGGUUGCCCCCAAAUUCUAAACAAUUUUCUAAAAAAAAAACCUCUAAUAUCCAUAAUUAAUUAGUUUGUUCAUCCCCAUUUAUUUGCUAUCUAAGUUUAUGUCUACCAACUUAGUUAACUCAUACUUAAAGACGAAUUAUUAUUGUUAAUUAUAUUUUUAUCUCAAAAUUUAUACUAUUCAAUUUCACUAGCUUAAACAUUAUGAUUAUUAAUUAUUAUUUCGCGUGUAUCUAUUUGUCAUCUUAAACAAAAAAUCUCAGUCAUCAAAGUUAAAUUCUAAUCCUUGAAAAAUCUCAUAUCCUAAUCUAAUCUUUCAAUAAUCUAUUUAAAUCCCAUUUUCAUCAAAUAAGAAUUAUUACCAUAUAUUAUCCAGCUAUUUAAAGUCUAAGGCUUUCAAAGAAAUCAUGUGUCUUAAUUAAAUUCUUCAAUAAUUAUUUCAAAUUUCAUUAUCAUCCAUUAGAGUUAGUAUCUCAUAUUUAUUUACUAAUUUAAAAUCCAACCCUUCAGAAAUCCGAUGUCCUAACUUAAUUUUCAAACCCUUAAAAAUUUCACUAUUCUUUUUAUUCCGUUCUAAAUGAUUAUUUUCGUUAAUUAGUAUUAUUAUCCUAUAUUAGUUUAUUUAUCCAAAAUCCAAUCCUUUAAAAAGAUCCAAUGUCACAAUUUAAUUAUCAAUCCUAAAAUUCUACUAUUUGGCUAAAUGUUAUUUCCUUUCAUUUGAAUUAGUAUCCUAUAUUCAUUUACUUAUUUAAAGUCUAAUCCCUCGAAAAUCUAACUCCCUAACUUAAUUUUUCAAUUCUAAAAAUUCCGCAAUUCGCUCAAAUCUUAUUUUCAUUAGAAUUAUCCUCCCCUAUUUACCUAUCUAUUUAAAGUCUAAUCCUUCGAAAAUCCCGUGCCUUAACCUAAUUUUUGAAUAAUUCGUUUAAACCUUAUUUUCAUCAAUUAAAAUCAUUAUCUCAUAUUUAUUUUAGUAAUUUAAUCUUUCAAUAAUCUGUUUAAAUCUUGUGUUCAUCAAUUGGAAUUAUUAUCCUAUAUUCAUCCAUCUAUCUAGUCUAAUCCUCCAAAAAUCCCAUGUUUUAAUUUAAUUCUUCAAAAUACUUGUUUAAAUCAUAUUUUCGUAAAUCGAAUCUAUAUCCCGUAUUUAUUAUCUAUUUAAAGUCUAAUCCAUCAAGAAAAUCCCAUGCUUUAAUUUAAUCUUUCAAUAAUCCGUUUAAAUCUUAUGUCCAUCAAUUGGAAUUAUUAUCCUAUAUUCAUCCAUCUAUCUAGUCUAAUCCUUCAAAAAUCCCAUGCUUUAAUUUAAUUCUUCAAAUAUUCGUUUAAAUCUUAUUUUCAUCGAUCAGGAUUAUUAUCCCAUAUUCAUCUAUUUAUUUAAAAAUUAGUUCUUCAAAAAUCUCAUGUCUUAAUUUAAUUUUUCAAUCCUAAAAAUUCUACAAUUCGUCUAAAUUUUAUCCUCACCCAUUAGAAUCAUUAUUCCAUAUCUAUUCAAAGUCCAAUCUUUCGAAAACCCCCUGUCUUAACUCAACUUUCGAUCCCAGAAAUUCCAUUAUUCGUCUAAAUUUUAUUUUUGUUAAUUAGGAUUCUUGUUCCACAUCUAUUUAUUUAUAUAGGAUCCAAUUCUUCAAAAAUCCAAUUUAUGAAUUAAAACUUCAAUCCCGAAAAUUCUACUACCCAUCUUUAUUCGCCUAAAUAUUAUUCUCGUUAAUUAGUAUUAUAAUCUCAUACCUACCUAUUUACUCAAAGCCUAAUCCUUUAAAAAUCCAACGCCCUAAUUCAAAUUUUCAAUUAGAAAAAUUCCACUAUUUUAUUUAUUUAUUUUAUUCGUUUAAACAUUAUUUUUGUUAAUAAGUAUCAUUAUUCCAUAUUUGUUCAUUUAUUUAUUUCAAUCAUUAAAAUUCAACUCUUCAAAACCGGAUUUCCAAAUUUAACCUUUAGACUAAAAAAAUUCCACCAUUCACUUUUAUUCACUUAAAUAUCAUCUUUGUUAUCAUUAUUAUAAAUUCCACGUUUACUUGUUUCUUUCUUCUAAAAAUUCUAAUAAUUAGAGUUCAAUUAUUCAAAGGCCCGACUUUUAAAAAUUAAUUUUCAAAAUCCCACUAUUCACUUUCAUCCGUUCAAAUAUCACUUUCGUCAAAAUCCGAUUUUCCAAUUUAAUUUUUAAUCUCACAAAUCUCACUAUUCAGUAUUCAUCCAUCCAAAUAUCGUUUUGAUUAAUUAGUAACAUUAUUCCAUACUUACCCAUUUAUUUCUCUUAAAAAUUUCAAUCAUUAAAGUCUAAUUCUUCAAAAUUCCGAUUCCUAAAUUUAGCUAUUUGAAAUUCCAAUUGUCCUAUCUCCGAACUUAAUUUUCAGUUUCUCAUGCUCCAAUUCCCGUAUUUAUCCCGUUACUUAUUAUUAUCAUUAUCAUUAUCAUCUUAUUCAUUAUUUCUAUAAAUUCUGCCUUCGAAUGAUUUCUAAGAUUUCCAAUUUUUAUACAUCAACUUUCAUAAUUUCUACGUCUCAAAUAACUUACGAUUCUGAUCCCUUUCGAAAUUUAACUCCCAUAAUCCCAAUUUUCGUAACUUAAUUUUUCUUUAAAAUCCCGAACUUUCAAAUAAUCCUUCAAAAUCCCAAUUUUCUUUCAAAUUUAAUUUCUAAAAGUUCUCAUUCUUACAUUUAAUUCCUAAGAAUCCAAUUUUCAAAUAAACUCUAAGAUUCCGAUUCUCAAAUGAAUUUCAAAAACCCAGUUUUCCUUCGAACAAUUUUAAUCUCUGCUUAGUGAUGCAUGUGAUAUGUUUUGUGCUCUAUAUGGUGUACUAACCCUCUCUAUUGAUAGCUCAUGGUGGCUCGUUGCCUAGGUAUGUACCCAUUUUCCCUCUAAUCGUUGUUUGUCCAUGUCUCGAUUCUUAUGUGUGCAUGAUCAUUCAGGAUAUUCAUUGAUUUACUCAUCAAUUGCCACAUUAGCUUCAUUUUAUUAGUAGAGACUCGACUUUAGGGACUUAGAGGGGUGCUAUGGUUUUCACCGUACCUUCCCGAUAAGUAACUUGACCCCCAAGCCUGAUCCGGUUUUUCGUAGAUCACCUUUUUCAAAACUAGGAGUCGCACUUAGGGUUUUUCUUUCUUAUUUUGUUUACCCUUUUAAAAAUAAAACAAAAAUAAGUGGCGACUCCAAGUCAAUUUUUCUUAAUCAAUUAAGAUCAUUUUUCGAAAUCAAAAUCGAGCUCGCCUUCGAGUAGGAAACGCAUGAGUUGAAAUGUGGGGUCCACACAUAUUUUCCAAUUUUUCUUGCUAGGUAAAUAAAAUCCAAAUUGAGACUUAAUAUCUUAAAUUCUUUAAUGAAUCUUCUCAUUUUUAAGAUAAUUUGAAAUUAAAAAAAAAAAAACUAAAGAUAAAAACUAAUCCAAAAUACUAUGCCCUCAAUUGAAUGGUAAAUGUAUAGAUGUAAUAAAUUUUUUACAUAUUUAAAUAUUAAAAAUAUUAAACUUUAUUUAUAUUUAAUAAGUUGAGACUUAACAUCUUAAAUUCUUUAAUGAAUCUUCUCAUUUUUAAGAUAAUUUGAAAAAAAAAAAAAAAAACUAAAGAUAAAAACUAAUCCAAAAUACUACGUCCUUAAUUGAAUGGUAAAUGUAUAGAUGUAAUAACAUUUUUACAUAUUUACAUAUUAAAAAUAUUAAACUUUAUUUAUUUAAAAAAAAAAAUUGAAUAAAUUGAGACUUAAUAUCAUAAAUUCUUUAAUGAAUCUUCUCUUUUUUAAGAUAAUUUGAAAUUUAAAAAAAAAAAAAAAACUAAUCCAAAAUACUAUGUCCUUAAUUGAAUGGUAAAUAUAUAGAUGUGAUAAAAAAAUUUACAUAUUUAAAUAUUAUAUUUUAUUUAUUUUUAAAUUUUUUUGAAUAAAAUAUUAUUAAUUUUAAAUUAUUAUUUCUUUUAAUAAAAAAUCAAUUAAGCUUUAGAAAGAUGAUCAUAUUUUUAUAGUAUGUACUAAAAUACUAUCAUUUUUGUAUAAAUAUAUAUAUAUAUAUAUAAUUCAUUAUUUUAGUACUAAAACUACUUAUUUUUUAAUUUAUUUAUAAUUAGAAAACUAUUUUUAGUUUAAUAAGACUUUAACUAAAUUUCAUUGAUAUCAUAAAAAUUGAAUUCACAAUUUUUUUGAUAAAAUUUAAAUAGUAAAAUUACUUUUAAAAACAAUUAAUCGAAAUGGGUUUUUUAUUUUUAUUUUUUUGUUUUUUGAAAAGUAAUUUUAAAGACGAGUUACCAAAUCCUAUUUCUUUUUAGAAAAUAUUAAAAAAUCAUUUUUUAUUCUUUAAUUUAAAAAUAAUUUUUAAAAGCAAGUAGAAAAAAGCAUUGCUAAUUCGACGCCCUAAAUUUCUAAUAUGUAAACAAGCAUAUAGGAAGUGAGCAAUGGGGAUGCCAAGAACGAACUCUCAGUUAAUUUUGGUCAUGCUUAUCCGAUUUCAUCAAACUUAGUUUCCAACACUUAAAAAUCAAACAUAAUUGUGACUUAAGUUGUCAAUGAAUAAAAAGCAACUCAAAACGGAAGAGAUGGAGUAGUUAUAUAACAUACCCAUGCUGCACAUGCCAUCCAGACAGACCGCCGACUUCGGUCAGUGCCGCCCUCCAUCUAAGCACCCUCUCCUCAGUGACGUUUCCAUAUCUUGCAAAUGCUUCUCCAAAACUUCUCGUUUGUUUCCGCACAUCAGACAGAUCCACAUGGUAGAAAAUUGGUAGAACUUUUUGGCCAUUUUCUCUGCUGCACUGCAUGAUCUUAUCAAGCUCAUCCAAGCACCAUUUUGAAUGAGCAUAGUUUUUGGAAAAAACUGUAGGGAAUUAAACCAAAUUCCCAACCUAUGAGAAACAAAAAUAGAAAAACACAUGCCAAAGAAAAGACAAUCACACGCACAAAACAGUAUUUACGUGGUUCGGCAAUUUGCCUACGUCCAGGGAGUUGUAGGGAUAUCACUAUUAUCAGGGAAGAAUACAGAGUACGACUUAGCGGCUAUAAUAUUCUCUCUAUAUAUAUAGCACGGCAACCCCACCAUACUAAAAAACCCUAAUUACAAAAUGUGGUUCCACAAUGGGUUAAACGGGCCCAACAGGCCUCAAUAAAUCUCCCAUUAAAAAGUCAUGCAAUAUUAUUCGAGUCGGGUCGUUAAACCGGAUCAAACAAAACUAGGCUCCACACAGCCCAACAAAUCUCCCACUUGGAGACUAGUCCAAUCACCAACAUCAAACCGCUAUCCUCCAAGAAACAAUCCCUCAUCCCUACAACUCAUCCUCCUGUCCUCAAGCUAAAAGACCAAUUGAAGCUGCGCAUAACUUCAACUUCUCAAUAGUGAUCAGUUUCACAUCUCUUGAACCUAAUUCUAUGCAUAAAAUUGUCAAACUUCUUAUACCACUGUCUAGGAGCUUGUUUAAGGCCAUACAAGCUCUUUCUCAGUUUGCAGACUAGAUUCUCUUGUCCCUGAACAAUGAACCCUUCUGGCUGAAUUAUGUAAAGGUCUUCCUCCAAGUCACCAUGAAGGAAUGUUGUCUUCACAUCUAACUACUCAAGAUGUAAGUUUUCUGCAGCCACCAUUCCAAGUACAAGUCUAAUUGUUGACAUCUUCACAACUGGAGAAAAUAUCUCUGUGUAGUCAAUGCCCUCCUUCUGCUAGAACCCUUUAACAACUAAUCUAGCCUUGUAACGUUUGCUACUAUCAUGCUCAUUCUUUAUUCUGUAUACCCACUUGUUGUGCAAAGCCUUCUUUCCUACUGGCAAUUCAGUUAGUUCCCAUGUUUGAUUCCCCAACAGGGAAUCCAUCUCAUCCUUCAUGGCUAACUCCCACUUGCUUGAAUUCUCAUCUUGCAAGGCUUCAUCAUAACACUCUGGCUCACCACCAUCAGUCAACAGGAGAUAAUUUAAAACAGGUGAAUAACGCUACGGAGGUCUAAUGUUCCUGGAAGAUCUGCGAACUUUAGCUACAAGUGUACUCAAAUCUACCUGUGAAUUUACAUUCUCCUUAUCUUCUUCACCCCCUUUUUGGAUAGUACUUUCAGUCAAUUCAUCUAAGUUGACAAACUCAGAUUUCUUUUGAUCUAUCUCUGUAACAUCUGACACUAUAGUUGACCUGUCCUUAUACAUAACCUGUUUAUUAAAUAUCACAUUUCUACUUCUGAUGAUUUUCUUGUUUUGUUCAUCCCAAAACCUAUAGCCAAAUUUCUCAUCACCAUAGCCAAUGAAAAAACAUAUUUUUGACUUUGCAUCAAGUUUACUACGAGCAUCAGAAUCAAUAUGAACAUAAGAAACACAACCAAAAACUUUUAAAUGUGAAAACUUCACCUCUUUACCGCUCUAAACCUCCUUAGAAAGUCUGAACUCCAUGGGAACUAAUGGUCCUCGGUUUAUCAGGUAAGCUGCAGUGCUAACAACAUCAGCCCAAAAAGUUUUUGGUAGUUCAGCAUGCAACCUCAUACUUCUAGCACGCUCAUUGAGAGUUCUGUUCAUGCGCUCAGCCACACCAUUCUGCUAUGGUGUCCCAAGAAUGGUUUUCUCCAUCCUAAUUCUCUGUGCAACACAAUACUCACUAAACCCUCCAUCUAUGUACUCUCCUCCAUUAUCUGACCUCAAAUAUUUUACUUUCAAACCUGUUUCUGUCUCAACCAUGGCCUUCCAUUUCUUAAAAGUUUCAAAUACAUCAGACUUAUUUUUCAGAAAAUAAACUCAUACCUUUCUACUUGGAGUCAUCAAUAAAAGUGAUGUAGUACCUUGAAUCUCCUAGGGAUGCAACCGGAGAAGGCCCCCACAAAUCAGUGUGUACUAGUUCCAAUUUUUCAGCCUUCUGUGUCCUGCCAGUUUUCAAGAAGCUCACCUUUUUUUGCUUUCCUAAGAUGCAACUUUCACACAUGUCAAAAUCAAUGGACUUCAAUUCUGGUAGUUUUCCUUUUGACAACAACAUCUUCAUCUCUUUCUCACUCAUGUGACCAAGUCUGCGGUGCCAUAGGCUUGUAUCAGUACUUGCAUCAACAAUUGCAAUUGUGUCUCUUGGACAUGAGAUCAUAUACAGAGUACCGGUCUUCUUUCCACGAGCCAAUACCCUAGCUCCCUUUGUAACCUUCCAAGUACCACCAACAAAUAGUAUUGCAUGUCCUUCAUCAUCAAGUUGUCCAACAGAAAUCAGAUUCCUCCUCAGGUCAGGAAUAUGUCGAACCUUCUCCAAUAACCAAACAGACCCAUUGGGCAACGAUAUCCAGACGUCUCCCAGACCCACAACAUCCAAGGCUGAACCAUCAGCCAAAUACACCUUACCAAAAUCACCUGUAACAUAAUUCUGUAUGAUUUCUCGGUGUGGAGUGGUAUGAAACGAAGCUCCUGAAUCCAAAACUCAAUCAUCAAGUGGACUGUCUACUGCAAGAAGUAAUGCAUCAUGUACCUCUUCUGUUACAACAUUAGCAGAAUCAUCUUCAUUCUUCUUCUUAGGGCUUUUGCAUUGCCUUUUAAAGUGACAUGUUUUCCCACAAUUCCAGCAUUGUACUUGUUGGCCUGAUCUAGAUUUGCUUCUGUUUCGAUUAGAAUUUCUGGAAUUUGAUCUACCCCGAUUUGAAUUUCUGUCAUUACCUUUGCCUCUUGUCUCAAGGUUUCACCUGCAUCUCUUCGGUGAAUCUCCUCAACCAUAAUUAAAUCUUGUAUAUCAUUGUACUUGAGCUUUUCCUUUCCCGUCGAAUUGCUUACUACCAUCCUCAUUGCCUCCCAACUGUUUGGCAAAGAAGCCUAGACGAUUAGAGUACGAAUCUCAUCAUCAAAAUCAAUUUCUACAGAUGACAAUUGAUUUGUGAUUGUAUUAAAUUCAUUCAGAUGUUGUGCUACUGAUGCAUUCUCUGCCAUCUUCAAAUUGAACAAUUUCUUCAUCAGAUGCACCUUAUUGUUUGCGGGCGGCUUUUCAUACAUACCGGACAAAGCCUUCAUCAAAUCUGUUGUGGUCUUCUCCUUUACAACAUUAUGUGCAACAGACCUAGACAGAGUUAACCUAAUAACUCCUAGAACCUGUCUGUCAAGAAGCGCUCAUUCCUCAGCCUUCAUACUCUCAGGUUUUGUCCCCAAAAGAGGCAGAUGCAAUUUCCUCCCAUAGAGAUAAUCUUCAAUCUACAUCCUCCAAUACGCAAAGUCUGUGCCAUCAAACUUUUCUAUUCCAGACGUUUUUCCUACUUCCUCUGCCAUUGCUCCCACUCAAACCUAACCCUAGGCUCUAAUACCAAUUGUAGGGAAUUAAACCAAAUUCCCAACCUGUGAGAAACAAAAAUAGAGAAAACACACGCCAAAGAAAAGAUAAUCACACGCACAAAACAAUAUUUACGUGGUUCGGCAAUUUGCCUACGUCCACGGAGUUGCAGGGAUAUCACUAUUAUCAGGGAAGAAUACAGAGUACGACUUAGCGGCUACAAUAUUCUCUUUAUAUAUAUAGCACGGCAACCCCACCAUAUUAAAAAACCCUAAUUACAAAAGGUGGUUCCACAAUGGGCUAAACGGACCCAACAGGCCUCAAUAAAUCUCCUAUUAAAAAGCCAUGCAAUAUUAUUCAGGUCGGGUCAUCAAACCGGAUCAAAUAAAACUAGGCUCCACAAAGCCCAACAAAAACUACAAUAGACAUCUUUGAUUCUUCAAUAGCUUUCAAGAGUCAAGUUUGAAUCUCUCCUCUUCUUUGAAGUCCUUCUUCAUCUCUAAAGGUGUGGAUGUACCUACUCGUCAAAGCCGAAUAAAGAUGAUCCGUAAAAUUUGAAGCUGGUAUCUUCCCCUCUAAAGCUCAAAAAAACAUCCCAUCUCCGAUAUUGAAAAGAAGAGGUGCCUGAAGAAGCCAUUCUUGGGAGCUAUCUGGUUGUGAGUCCCAAAUUCCAAGACACUGAGAAAAUUUUGGGUCGUCAUGGAAAGAUUCUCUCUCUCGACCUUUUUAACAUAGGAACUUCCUCUAAUCUUGCAAGGAACUUUCAUAUUUUUUAUUUUAUCUUAUUCUUUUUAGUUUUUAAUUUUGUUAAUGCCUAUAUGCAUUGUGUUUGGAACAAAGGGCGAGGCUUCAUGGAAAGGCCGGUGCAUUUUCUUUCUGUGAGAGGUGAAUAGGCCAGGAAAGAAGGUGGACAUCAAAGUCAACACUGACUGCUAUUGCCUGCCUCUUUUCUCAUUUUUGGACUAUGUUGUAGCUUUUUCAUUCCUUAAUCCCAUACCAUCAGUAAUCAACAUUUUAUCAAUUUUUCUUAUUUUUUAUUGUUUACAUUUAGAAAUAUUAAUUUUAAAAUUUUAACUUAUAAGUUAAUUUAUAACCACAGCAACAACAACAACAAUAAUUAGGAGUAAAGCAUAUUAAAGGUUUGUUGAGAAUGAUUUUGAUAAAAAUAAUUUAAACUUGUAAUAGUAUUAUUAAUAACAAUUUAUUAUAUAUAAAUUUUUAUAGUCAUUUAAUGUUCACAUAUAAGUGAAAAAAUGUUCUUGAUAAUUUGUGUAUUAAAGGUUUGGGAUACAAUUUUAAAAUUCACCUUCCCUAUUUUGUCAUCAAUGAUUCGCUGAGUCCUUUUUAAAAAUGAUAAAAUUUAAAAUAAAAUUCACUUUGUGUCUUGACGCUUUUUCUUUUUGACCAAGACUCUCUGUGUCAGCCUGACGCUUUUUCUUUUUUACCAAGACUCUGUGUUUAUAUGAGGGAGAGAAAGAGAGAGAGAGAGAGAGAGAGAGAGAGAGAGAUAUGCUCUUUUUAGCAAGGUGGCAUCUCAGCAACUACAAGGUUUUUGAGACAAUUAUUUUCUUGGCUAUAGAAUUGCUAAGCCCUAUUUCAUAUUUGAUUUUCACUUGGGAAAAUAAGAAAUGUUUUAACUUUCUCUAAUUUUAUUUUUUUCCCUUUCGUUUUUUCAACCUCUAAAUUUUACAACAUGCAAAUGCAAUUAAUAAUUAUUGACUUACAAAAAUAAAUUAAAUUAUCUCAAUUUCAUUUUCAUGUAAUUGAAUUGAAAAAUGAAUUUACCGUAAAUGAGAAAAAAUGUUAAUUAAAAAACCAAGCUAAUUUGAAAUAGGUGGUAUUUUUUAUCAAGAAAAUUUAAAUCUAAAACUUUUAAAUUUUCACUCAAAAGAAAAAUUGGUAAAUACAAAUAACUUAAUUUGAUUAAGAAAUGAACCUAACAGCCUUCUUGUCCAUCUUGUUGCGUAGAUGAUUAGGUACAAAGACAUAGCAAACACAUCCGAAAACUCGAAAAUAACUAACUGUAGGCUUUAUGUUCCACAAUUUUUCAAAGGGUGAUGAAAAAUUUAACCUUUGUUGAGGAAGCCUAUUGAUCACAAAAGCUGCAGUCUUCAUUACUUCUGCCCAAAACCGUCCUGGAACAUUCUUUGCAUGAAGCAUACUUCUACAGAUUUCUGCUAGGUGCCUGUUCUUUCUUUUUGCUACGCCGUUUUGAUGCGGAGUGUUGGCACAUGUGAAUUGAUGGCGUACUCGGCAUUCUCGGAGGAAGUAAAAAAACUCAUCUGAGGUAUACUCUCCCCCAUUGUCAGUACACAGACAACAAAUUCUCUUAUCAACCUCUGCUUCCGUCAUUUCCUUGAAUUCUUUAAACUUUGAGAAAGUUUCAGAUUUUUAUUUCAUAAAGUACACCCACACGUACUUGGAAAAAUCAUCAAUAAAGGUCACCAUGUAUUUCAUCCCACUAAGAGAGGCUUGCUUAACAGGUCCAAACACAUCAGAGUGAAUUAGCUCUAAUGGCCCCUUUGCUUUCCAUUUUGACUCUUCAUACGGCAACUGAUGCGCUUUGCCGUACUGACGUCCUGCGCAGAUUGUAUCUUUUCUCACUUCAAGUUGUGGAAGUCCCUUCAGCAUUGACUUUUUCAUCAUCACAGUUAGUUUGGAAUAACUAACGUGACUUAAUUGCAUAUACCAUAAAUCGGCUGUCUCGUUCUUUCUGGUCUUGUCUACAUAUGCGGUUUCUGCAAACAUCACAUAGACUGACUCUAGUCUCCGUCCCUUUAUCACCGGCUCUUCCAUAAUCUCAAGGUCACGAUAAACUUUCACAUCUUGAGGGCCAAAUAGAACAAAAUGGCCUGAAGACGUUAAUUGUGCAACCGAGAGAAGAUUUUUCUUCAUACCUGGGACGUGAUAGACAUUUUGAAGCAUCACAUCAUUAGUAUUAUAUUGGGAAAAGACUACUGUAUUACCAAUGUGAGCUAUUGGUAGUUUUGAGUUGUUCGCUGUGACUACCAUAUGUCUUCCCUUGUACUCCGAAAAAUCCUGCAGCUUUUCUUUAUCACCUGUCAUAUGAUUUGGGUAGCCUGAGUCAAUGAUCCAAUCCUUCUCAUAAUGAAUUUGUUUAGACGUUGUUGCUAUAAAAGCUAAUUCUCCUAUUACAACAAAAAAUGCCUGAGUGUCCCACUCAUCUUCACUUUUGGAAGUAGCAGCAUUACUUUCCACAAGCCCUUUUUUCGACCAACAAUCUUUUGCCAUGUGACCCUUUUUUCCGCAAUUGUAGCACUUCCCUUCAAAUUUUUUUCCUGGUGCCAGGAUUCUUCGAAUCUCCCUCAACACGAGCACUCCUUUCACCUUGACUACUUUUUGCCUUGUCCUCAUUCUUUUUAGUUCUAUCGACGGUGUGCUGCUUGGAAUUCCACCUGCCUUUGUGGGCAUAAAGCGCUUCCUCUUCACCCUUGAGUGAAACCCCUCCCAUUUGUUUAGCUAAGGCUUCUUGACCAGUAAGCAAAUUCUCAAACUCAACAAGUGAUGGUUGAUUUUGCCAUCCCUGUACAACAGCAACAAAACCUCUGAAUUCUGGUCUCAAACCAUGGAUGAUUAUUCUCUUCAUCCUGGUUUCACCGAUUGGGGCUUCUAGAUCCAACUCGAAAAUUUCCCGGCAUAACGUCUUCACCUUGUGAAAGUACUGAGUGAUCGUCAAGUCACGUUGUGCUACCGACAACAACUCGCUCUCUAGAAGUUGGAGCCUUGUGUCAUUCUUCUUUGAGAACAGCUUGGUGAACGUAUUCCAAGCUUCGUAAGGGGUUUUGGCAUCUCAAAUGUGCUCUAGCACAUCUUCUUCGAUCGUUGUCUUCAAAGCAAACAUCGUUUUGCCUGCUUUUAUCUUCCAUAUCCGCAGUAUACCAUUCACAUCCUCAGCCUCCAAUUGAGUAAUUUCGCUUCUGUUCACAACCUCCCACAAGUCUUGGCCUUGCAUGUACGACAUCAUGCAUGUUAACCAAGUAUUGUAAUUUUGGUUGUUGAGCUUUUUUAUUCCGCCAAUGACUUGAAGAUCACCCAUUUCACUCUCUCUUUUCCUCACGUGUUUGACUCUCAAACACUCUCUAAAAUCCCUCUUCAACCUGACUCUGAUACCAAAUGUUGAAACCACUUUAUAAAAGAGACACAUAGAGGAGGAAAGAAAAUAAUUUUAUUGAUAGGGUGAUAUUUUUAAACUUCACCUGAUACAAGCCUUUUAUAGGCAAAACCAUCAACAGAAAUAGAAAUACUAAAAAAUAGGAAUAGAAAGAUAACCAGUCACUCUAAACGUGCUGCAACGACCUCUCUAAGACUUGGACAAUUCUUAAUUUAUUGAAAAACUACACAGAGGCAUAUUUUUGACACAAAAACAAACUUGACUUGUUCAAUACAUCCUCUCGGUCACAUGCUGAUGUUGAUAACUUAAACAACUUAUUUGUACAAAUUUUUCCCCUAGGAUAUCUGCUAGAAGUUGUUUUUGUAAUUCAAGCAAUGGAUAGUGUUGCCAUGCCUCACGAACAUUUGAAAGAAAGAUAGCAUCUUCAAAUUGAUGAGCAAUUUCGUUGUAUAUUACUUUGGCGAGGAUGGUCUUUCCUAUUCCACCAAGUCCAUAUAUUCCUAUCACGCGAACAUCAUUUGACCAGUGCAUUCAUUUCUUCCAAACGGAAAUCCAUUCCGACGAGGUUCUCAUCAACAUGAAAGCGUUUAGGUUAUGUUUGGUUCCCGAAAAAUAUUAAAGAAAGAAAAAAAAUGCAAAGAAAAAUGAUUUUUUCAUGUUUGGUUGUCCUAUGAAAAAUAUAAAAGAAAAUCAAAUAUAAUUAAAACUAAUUAAAAACUUAUGUAUUUUAAAAUUAUUUAAUCUUUAUAUUAAUGAGUUAAAAUAAAUAAAAUGAGUUUGAAGUAAAAAAUAAAAAUAACUAAUCAACUUUUAAUCCAUUUUUUAUUUUCCUUCACUUUUUCUUUCCUUCUAUUUUUCCUUUGUAUUUUCUUUCUCUUGCAUUUUCCUUCAAAUUUUCUGAGAACCAAACAUAGCCUUAGGCUUCAGCAUAUUGGAAACGUUUUGAGUAAUGCGAUGAAUGAUCUCAGAUUCCCAAAUGGAAAGCACAAUAUAACAACCUCCAAUGAACUACAAAUUAAUUGUAAGAAAAAAAAAAUUGAUGAUGAUUUAGUUUUAGUUUUUUUUGAAGCAGGUGAAACUAUUGGUGGCAGACUGGCAGUUGCCAUUAGAAAAAUGAAAAAUACCAAUCGAGUUUAUUUGUGCCGCAGGUGAAACUACUUAGUUUUUUUAAAAUUACUUUUCUAUUUUUUAAAUAUGAUUUAAAAAUACCUUUCUAUUUUUUAAAUAUGAUUUAAACGUUUUUCUAUUUUUGAAAUUAAAACCCUAUUUUAAAAAAAUUAUGGUCAGUUUGGUGGUCAUUCUCUACAAAUAAUCUUUAAAAAUAAGAUGAAAUAAAAAAGAAUUUUGGAGAACAAGUAAUAUAAGUUAUUUUUACAUAUUUAUAAAAACAAAGAAAAGCAUUGGGAAGUAAUUUAAAAAAGAAAAUAAUAAAAAAAUAAACAAAGUCUGAUAGAUCUCUUUCUUCUUUUAUUCUCUCUCCACCAAUCAAUAUCAAAAUUUUUAAAUAUGAUUCCUUUUUAAUUACACUUUAUUUAUUUAUUUAUUUGAAUUUACUUUAACUUUUAAAAUUCUUUAGGUAAAUAAAUUCCAAAUCAAAUGGUACAUGAUAUAUAUGAUUUAUUAAUUUAAAAAAAAAAAUUAAAACUCAAAAACCAAUCCAAUUAGUGUUGGAAAGUUACAAAACUCAAAACCAAUAUAGAAAACAAAUUUUGUUAAUUUUUUUACCAUGAACUUCAAAUCAAGUAAAAUUUAAUAUUUUUUUAUUCAUAAAUAAGUUUAGUAAUUUUUAAAAAUAAUUUCAAACUCAAAUAAUAACUCAAUUAAUAUAAAAAAUUUAUAAACAAAAAUUAGUUUAAAAUUACUUUAUUGUUUGACUAAUCUAUAGAAUCAUUUUUUUCUUUAAUUUGUUAGCAAGUUUAUUAAUUAAAAAAAAUAUAGAAUUCAAAACAUAACACAAUUAGUAGUGGAAAUUCACAAUCUAAAAUCUAUCCAAAAUGACUCUUAUAUUUCUCAUACAAAACUUUAUUUUUAUGAGUUUUGUCGCUGAAAAAAUGGAUUUUUAAUAGAAUUCAAAAAUAGACCAAAGUACUAUAAAAAAUAAUAAACCAAAAUUAAUACAUAAUAAGUUAUAACUUACUGUUUCUCCUAAGCGCAUAACCAUAUUUUCCAAAUUUUCUUGCUAGGUAAAUAGAAUCUAAAUCGGGACUUAAUAUCUUAAAUUCUUUAAUGAAUCUUCUCAUUUUUAAGAUAAUUUGAAAUUAAAAAAAAAAAACUAAAGAUAAAAACUAAUCCAAAAUACUAUGCCCUUAAUUGAAUGGUAAAUGUAUAGAUGUACUAAAAAUUUUACAUAUUUAAAUAUUAAAAAUAUUAAACUUUAUUUAUUUUUAAUAAAUCGAGACUUAAUAUCUUAAAUUCUUUAAUGAAUCUUCUCAUUUUUAAGAUAAUUUGAAAAAAAAAAACUGAAGAUAAAAACUAAUCCAAAAUACUACGUCCUUAAUUAAAUGGUAAAUGUAUAGAUGUAAUAAAAAUUUUACAUUUUUAAAUAUUAAAAAUAUUAAACUUUAUUUAUUUAAAAUUUUUUUUUUGAAUAAAUCAAGACUUAAUAUCUUAAAUUCUUCAAUGAAUCUUCUCAUUUUUACGAUAAUUUGAAAUUUAAAAAAAAAAUUGAAGAUAAAAACUAAUCCAAAAUAGUAUAUCCUUAUUUGAACGGUAAAUAUAUAGAUGUGAUAAACUUUUUUACAUAUUUAAAUAUUAAAAAUAUUAAACUUUAUUUAUUUUUAAAUUUUAUUGAAUAAAAUAUUAUUAAUUUUAAAUUAUUAUUUAUUUUAAUAAAAAAUCAAUUAAGCUUGAGAAAGAUGAUCACAUUUUUAUAACAUGUACUAAAAUAGUAUCAUUUUUGUAUAUAUAUAUAUAUAUAUAUAUAUAUAUAUAUAUAUAUAUAUAUAUAUAUAUAUAUAUAUAAUUCAUUAUUUUAGUACAUGUAAACAAGCAUAUAGGAAGUGAGCAAUGGAUGCCAAGAACGGACUCUCAGUUAAUUUUGGUCAUGCUUAUCCGAUUUCAUCAAACUCAGUUUCCAACACUUAAAAAUCAAACAUAAUUGUGACUUAAGUUGUCGAUGAAUAAAAAGCAACUCAAAACGGAAGAGAAAGAGUAGUUAUAUAACAUGCCCAUGCUGCACAUGCCAUCCAGACAGACCGCCGGCUUCGGUCAGUGCCGCCCUCCAUCUCAGCACCCUCUCCUCAGUGACGUUUCCGUAUCUUGCAAAUGCUUCUCCAAAACUUCCCGUUUGUUUCCGCACAUCAGAUGGAUCCACAUGGUAGAAAAUUGGUAGAACUUUUUGGCCCUUUUCUCUGCUGCACUGCAUGAUCUUAUCAAGCUCAUCCAAGCACCAUUUUGAAUGAGCAUAGUUUUCUGAAAAAACGACAACAGAAAUCAUUGAAUCUUCAAUAGCUUUCAAGAGUGAAGGUUGAAUCUCUCGUCCUCUUUCAAGUCCUUCAUCAUCUCUAAAGGUGUCGAUGCCCAUCCUCGUCAAAGCCGAAUAAAGAUGAUCCGUAAAAUUUAAGCGGGUAUCUUCCCCUCUAAAGCACAAAAAAACAUCCCAUCUCCAUUGAAAAGAAGAGGUGCCUGAAGAAGCCAUUCUUGGGAGCUAUCUGGUUGUUAGUCUCAAAUUACAAGACAAUCAGAAAAUUAUGGGUUGUUGUGGGAAGGUUUUAUCUCUCCACCCUUUUAACAGAGGAGCUUCCUCAAAUCUUGCAAGGAACUUUCAUAUUUUUUAUUUUAUCUUAUUCUUUUUAGUUUUUAAUUUUGGUAAUGCCAUAUGCAUUGUGUUUGGAACAAAGGGCGAGACUUUAUGGAAAGGUCGGUGUUGAGAAUCAGAAGAACCUGAAACUGAUGAAAAACACCAAGAAACAGAGGAUGUAAAAGAAAAUGGAUUGUAGAAAAGAAAACUAAAAAAUUACAUCAGACUUGAGUCCUAUUUAUAACACAUCAAUGACACAAUAACAGAGUAACAAAAAUAAACUGAAAUAACAACUUUUCUAACUAACUCUUCUCAUCUAACUUGCUACAUCAGACUUGAGUCCUAUUUAUAACACAUCAAUGACACAAUAACAGAGUAACAAAAAUAAACUGAAAUAACAACUUUUCUAACUAACUCUUCUCAUCUAACUUGCUUUCUAUUUUAAGUCUUUCUUCUUUCCUUUUUAGUUCCAUGCUUUCAAUAUGAGAUGCAACACUCCAACACCCCCCCUCAAGAUGAACAUGGAUGUUAAUGAUGUUCAUCUUGCGAAGAUUAUGAUGAAAAGGUAGAGAACCGAGAGGCUUUGUAAAGAUAUCUGCGAGCUGUAAUCGUGAUGGAAUAUGGAAGAGCUUAAUAACAUGCUGCUGCAAUUUUUCACGAAUAAGAUGGCAGUCAAUCUGGAUAUGCUUUGUUCUCUCGUGCUGAACUAGAUUUGUGGCGAUGGACAUUGCUGAUUGACUGUCAGUAUAUAGCAAAGCUGACUGUGAAUGUUUGAUAUCCAGGUCUUGUAAGGCAUACAAAAGCCAUUGAAUUUCACAGGUGGUAGUUGAAAGGGCUCGGCACUCUGCCUCUGCAGAGGAUCGACUAACUGUAACUUGUUUCUUUGAUUUCCAUGAAAUCAAGGAGUUGCCAAGAAAAAUUGCAAAACCAGUGACACUCCUUCUAGUAUCGACACAGCCUGCCCAAUCACUAUCGGAAAAACCCUUUAAUUGAAAAUCUGAGGAAGAAGGAAAAAAGAGACCUUGCCCUGGUGUGGCCUUUAGAUACCUCAGUACUCGAAUGGCUGCUUGAUGGUGACUAACAGCAGGUUUUGCUAAAAAUUGGCUGAGUACUUGUACAGAAUAGGCUAAGUCAGGCCUAGUGAGAGUUAAAUAAAGUAAUCUGCCAAUGAGUCUUCGGUAACCUGAUGGAUCUUCAUAGAAAUUGGUAUCAUUUGCUAAUAACUUGAGGGUAGAUUCCAUGGGAAAGGCAGCAGGUUUGGAUCCAGUUAAACCAGUGUCUUCAAGUAUGUCAAGUAUAUACUUUCGUUGGCAUAAGGAGAUACCAGUCUUGGACCUUGCAACUUCCAAGCCAAGAAAGUAUUUUAGUGGGCCUAAGUCUUUAAUAGUGAACUUGGCAUCUAAAAAGGUCUUCAACCUUUCAAUUUCCAGAAUGUUAUCACUUGCCAAUAGCACAUCAUCCACAUAGACUAAUAAGGCCAUAAAAGAACUUUCAGAUUUCUUAAUGAACAGAGAACAGUCAGAAUUACCUUGAAUAAAUCCAUAGGAAAGAAGGGCCUGGGAUAGUUUGGCAUACCAUUGUCUGGAAGCUUGCUUCAAGCCAUAGAGGCUCUUUAGAAGACGACAAACUUUCUGUUCACCUUGGACAGCCAACCCAGGAGGCAAUUCCAUGUAUACCUCUUCAUGUAAAUCACCAUGCAAAAAUGCAUUAUUAACAUCUAGUUGAUGAAGAUGCCACUGUUUGAUGGCAGCCACAGCAAGUAGUAAGCGAAUGGAUGUAAUCUUGGCCACAGGAGAGAAAGUAUCAAAGAAAUCAAGGCCUUCUUGCUGAGUAUACCCUUUUGCCACCAAUCUAGCUUUAUGUCUUUCUAUAGUUCCAUCAGCUUUAUAUUUCACUUUGAAUACCCAUUUACAACCAAUAGUCCUUUUAUUUUUAGGAAGAGUAACAAGCUCCCAAGUUUUGUUUAACUCCAAAGCAGUAAGUUCAUGUUGCAUGGCAGCUUGCCAUUCAGGGAGGCGAGAAGCUUGGGUGUAUGAUUUGGGUUCUAGAGAGUUUGUGAUAGAGGUGAGAAAAGCUUUAUGGGAUGUAGACAGUCUACUAGUAGAAAGAAAAUGGUGAAGAGAAUAGAAAUUACCUUUAGUGGGAGAACAAUCAAGUGAAGUAGAUGCCUGAGUUGCAUUUUGAGAAGAAGAGACAUUACCACAAUAAUAGUCCUGCAGAUAUGAAGGUUUUUGUUUAAUUCUGGUUGAUUUUCUGAGCUGUAGGACUUUAGGGUCAGUUGAAUCCACAUGGGAUGGAGAGGGAAAUGUAGGUGAGUUGGAUUCAAGAAGGGCAGGAGGUUCAGAGAGAGAAGGAGAAUUAUUAGGUGGUGAUGCAGAUCCCACAUUAUGAUAGGAAUUGAAGAAGGAGGUGGUAGAAGGUGAAUCUGAAAAGGAUUGUGAAAGAGGAAACAUAAAAGAAUGAGUUUCAGGAUGUUGGGGCAACACUUGGAAAGGAAAAAUUGUUUCAUGGAAUAUGACAUUUCGAGAAACAAGGAUCUUAUUGGUGUUUAGAUCCAUGAGUUUAUAACCCUUAAUAUCAGAAGGAUAUCCUAGGAAGAUGCACUUUGUGGCUCGUGAAUCAAAUUUUUGUCUGUGACUAGUUAAAGUGGAUGCAAAACAAAGGCAGCCAAAAACUCUUAAAUGAGAAAGGUUAGGUGUUUUGUUAAAAAGCAUUUCAAAAGGGGUUUUAUUUUGAAGUAGAGGAGUGGGAAUUCUAUUGAUUAUGUGGGCAGCAGUAAGCACACAGUCACUCCAAAAAAUUAAUGGUAGAUUUGCUUGAAACAUUAAGGCUCUAGCAGUGCUUAGUAGAUGUUGAUGUUUUCUCUCCACAACACCAUUUUGUUGAGGAGUUUCGACACAACUUCUCUGAUGCAAAAUACCAUAUUUAUGAUAGAAUUUUGUAAGUAAGAAUUCUGGUCCAUUAUCAGACCUUAUAGCUUUGACAGAAGAAGAAAAUUGGUUUGCUACCAUUUUACAGAAAUUUUUUAUUAAAGAUGGCACUUCUGAUUUAGCUUUAAUCAUGUAUACCCAAGUACACCUUGUGAAGUCAUCGACUAUAGUUAAAAAAUAUCGAAAACCAGAAUAAGAAGUAGUGCCAAAGGGACCCCAUAUAUCACAAUGGAUCAAAUCAAAACUUUUAUUAGAAUUACUCUGUGAUAUAGAAAAAGGAAGCCUUCUUUGCUUUGCUAAAGGACAUAUGUCACAAACAUUUGUAUGAUCAAGAGUGAUAGCAGAGUCAAUCUGUUUGAGGGAAUGGAAUCUUGAACUAGAUACAUGUCCUAAUCUACAAUGCCAUAUAUCUAAGUGUUUGUGAAUAGAGGACAAAGCAAGAGGAACAGAAUUAAACUGAAAUGAAUUGCAGGUUUUAGCUUGUGAUGAAGCUGGAAUUAGAUGGUAAAGUCCUUCUUUUUCAAGAGCAAUCCCAAUCAUCUUCUCCAUUGACUGGUCCUGUAAAAGGCAAUGAGAAGUAGUAAAGGUAAGAGAAAGAUUAGACUGUUUAGUGAGUUUGGAAACGGAUAAUAGAUUGAAUGAAAAAUGAGGAACACACAAGACAUUAUGUAAAAAUAAGGAAUCUGAGAGACAUACAGUACCAAUGUGUGUGGCUGGAACUAUAGUACCAUUAGGAAGAUUGAUGGAUGCAUUAAUUGGUUUAGGUGUAAAAUGGUAUAAAAGUGGUGAACAAAUCAUAUGGUCUGUUGCACCCGUAUCAAGAAGCCAAUAUGAAGUGGAAUUUGGCUUAGAAGUAACAGAAUUACAAGAAAAAAUUGGUUUAAGUGUAGGUUGAACUUUACCAGAAAAGUGAGAGGUGGUGACAAGGUUAACAGCUGGUUGGACAUUAUUCUGAUUGGAAGAAUUGGGUUGAACUGAAUUUGCAAGCGCCACUAGUUUAUGAAAUUCCUCUGGAGUGAAACAAAACUUUUGUUGCUCAUUGCUAUUUUGAUUGGGAACCUUUGGAGUAGUAAUGGCAGCAUGAGCAGAAGCCAUAUUUCUUUUUCCUUUUGGUCUAUUCCAGCCAAGGGGAUAACCAUGAAGUUGAAAACAUUUGUCCACUGUGUGACCAUUAUAGCCACAAUGAGUACAGUGUGGGGCAGAUUUCUUUGGUUUGUCCUUGAAAGAUUGUGGCUGGUAACUCUGCUGAUUGGAUUGCUUUGCCAUCAAAGCAUGAGUCUCAUUACAUGUAGCAGAAUUUGUGAGUUGCCUCUGACUUUCUUCUUGAAGCAGUAGAGAGAAAACCUUGGACAUGUUUGGUAAUGGAACCAUUAGCAGCAAUUGGCUUCUGAUAGAGGCAUAAGAAUCAUUUAACCCCACCAAGAAUUUGAGUACAUAAUCAGAUUGCUGUCUGAUUUGUAGAAAGUUGAAAAGUUCACAAGUGCAUGUUGCCAUCUUGCCACAAGUGCAUGUUGGAAAUGGCCUAUAGCUAAUGUACUCAUCCCAAAAGGUCUUAAAGGUACUGAAAUAUUCAGUAACAGACAAAGCACCUUGACUGAUGCAACUCAAAGAUUUCUCAAGUUGGAAAACCCUUGGUCCAUCACUCCUGAGAUAUCUUACUUUAAGCUCAGUCCAAAGAUCAACAGCAGAUACCACAAACAGCAAGCUAUUUCGUAUUUAUUUUGAAAUGGAAUUCAUCAACCAAGAAAGAACCAGAUUAUUUGCCCUUAACCAUGCUGUGUGUUUAACAAGCUGAUCAAUAGAGGGAGAAACAAUUGAACCAUCUAUAAAUUGUACCUUGUUUUUUACUGUCAAUGCAAUGACUAUCGAACGACUCCAUGCAACAUAGUUUUCUCCAUUGAAGAUUUCUGAUACUAACAAAGCACCAGGAUUGUCGCUUGGAUGUAGGUAAUACGGGCUCGAUGAGUCAUCUGAAGGAUUGAUAGGAGGCUGAUUAAAAGAAUUAGAUGAAGAAGGAAGCACAGGAGAGGGAUUGACAAGAGGAGAAUCACCAAAACUCAUUUUCAAGAAUUUAUUCAAGAAAAUGCAAGAAGCUGGAAGACGAUCAAUGCAAGAAUUCUAGAGCAGAAUUUCGCAAGGCAGAAGUUGAGAAGAAAUUGAUCGAUUUAGGUUGCGGAAGCUUUAGGGUUUGGCUCUGAUACCAUGUUGAGAAUCAGAAGAACCUGAAACUGAUGAAAAACACCAAGAACCAGAGGAUGCAAAAGAAAAUGGAUUGCAGAAAAGAAAACUAAAAAAUUACAUCAAACUUGAGUCCUAUUUAUAACACAUCAAUGACACAAUAACAGAGUAACAAAAAUAAACUGAAAUAACAACUUUUCUAACUAACUCUUCUCAUCUAACUUGCUUUCUAUUUUAAGUCUUUCUUCUUUCCUUUUUAGUUCCAUGCUUUCAAUAUGAGAUGCAACACUCCAACAGCCGGUGCAUUUUCUUUCUGUACAUGAGAGGUGAAUAGGCCAGGAAAGAAGGUGGACACCAAAGUCAACACUGGCUGGUACUAUGCUGCAGCUUUUUCAUUCCUUUAUCCCAUACCAUUAGUAAUCAACUUUUAUCAAUUUUUCUUAUUUUUUAUUGUUUACAUUUAGAAAUAUUAAUUUUAAAAUUUUAACUUAUAAAUUAAUUUAUAACAGCAGCUACAAUAAUAAUAAUAAUAAUAAUAAUUAACUUAAAAAAAAUGAUUCGGAGUAAAGCAUAUUAAAAGUUUGUUGUGAAUGAUUUUAAAAUUCUGCUUCCCUAAAUUGUCAUCAAUGAUUUGCCAAGUCCUUUUUUUAAAAUGAUAAAAUUUAAAAUAAAAUUGGCAAAUAGCAAAAUCCAUAUAGUGAUUUUUAUCAAAUAUAUUUAAAACGUGAGACCAUAAUUUAGAAAGCUAAAAUGAUGUGUUUUACCAUAAUUCUAAAAUCUUGGAAUAAGUGAGGUUUAAGUUACUUGAACAAGUUUGAAACUUGCAUUGAAUCUCUAGAAUAUGAUCAUUGUAAUUUAAAAAAAAAAAAAAAACGAUUAUUCUAAAAGAAAAGACAUGAUGUAGGAUCACAGAGCUAAUGAUUGGGAAAAAAAUUAAGUAAAAAAAAAAAAUGUGUGUAAUGCAUUGUGUAGAUAAGUCAACAUAUGCAUGGCUAAUUAUAGACGAAUUUGCCCCAUUGAAUGUUGGGAGAGAGAGAGAGAGAGAAUAAUUUGCCUAAUCAGAGACAAGGUCCCCACACGCUUUUUCUUUUUGACCAAGACUUGUGUUUAUAUCGAGAGAGAGAGAGAGAGAGAGAGAGAGAGAGAUGUUCUUUUUGGCAAGGUGGCAUCUCAGCAACUACAAGGCUUUGAGACGAUUAUUUUCAUAGCUGUAGAAUUGCUAAGCCCUAUUUGAUAUUUGAUUUUCACUUGGAAAAAUAAGAAAUGUUUUAACUUUGACUAAUUUUUUUUUUUUUUCCCUUUCGUUUUAUCAACCUCUAAAUUUUUCAACAUGCAAAUGCAAUUUUCCAUUAAAAAUUAAAUUAAAUUCAUUUUUAAAAUUUUCAAAUAAUUAUUGACUUACAAAAGUAAAUUAAAUUAUCUCAAUUUCAUUUUCAUAUAAUUGAAUUGAAAAAUGAAUUUAUUGCAAAUGAGGAAAAAUGUUAAUUGAAAAAACCAAACUAAUUUGAAAUAGGUGUUAUUUUUUAUCAAGAAAAUUUAAAUUUAAAACUUUUAAAUUUUUACUCAAAAGCAAAAUCAGUAAAUAAAAAUAACUUAAUUUGGUUAAGAAAUAAAUCUAAAAUAUGACCAUAAAAUUCAAAAAUUGAAACUAAAAUUCAACCAUAUGCAACGAAUAUUUUUGUCUAAUAAGGAUUCAACUUCUUGUGAAAUUACGUUUCAUAAAUUUUUAUAAAUUUUGUCCUUAAAAAAAAUAUAGUAACAUUAAAAAUCAUAUAAUUUGGAUUAAAAAUGAAUUUACCAUCUUUUUUCAAAGUUUACUUAUUUACAAUUAACAAAACUAAAAUCAACCAAUAAUCAUCAAAAUAAAUUUUUCUUCAAUUAGAAGUUUAGAAGGAAUCAACUUUUCCAAUUAUUUUUUGAAAAAUAAAAUAACAAGAUUUGAUAUCCUUCCUCAAAUUAAGAAUAGGAAAUUAAUAAAUUGAUUUCAACAAUGAACACAUAUUUAAUUAACAAAUCCAUAAACAUAAGGAUGCACUACAUAAAAAUCAAUCAUAAUAAAUGAAAUUUAACUUAAAUAAUGUUAAAAAUAAUUAGAAACAAUAAUUAUUACCCAAUUACCAAUUUAUUUAUUAAUUACAUUAAUAAUCAUUAACCAAUAUUUUGUUAUUGUAAUCAAUUUUUCUAUUUAGGUAUAUCUUGAAAUAUGCUAAAUUAUUUUUUCUUUUCAGAUAUCAUAUCUUUAAUAUAUAAAAUAAGAAGAGAUAAAUUAUUAACCAAUGACCAAUUUACCAACCAAUUACAUCAUUAAAUAUUAUAAAAUUUUAAUUAUUGUAACCAAUUGUGUGAUUUUGGGAUAUUUCAAAACAUAUUAAAUUACUUUGUUCUUUGAAAUCAUUAGCUUUCAAAUUAUUAUCUUACUAUAUAAAUAAGAAAAAAUAAAUAAAUUUUGUUAUUUUUAGAAAUUUGGAAAUACAAUAAGUUAUUUAAAAAAAUAUUAAUAUUCAAAUAUCUUUAUCUUAAUUAUAAUAAAAAAAAUUAUCUCAUUAUGUAGACCCCAAAAUUUGCCCUUUUCUUUUACAUUAACUUUGACCCCCAAUUUUGUCUUUAGAUUUAAAAUUUCAAUUACAUUAUUUUUUAACUCGCUCAUCAUUUAAUAGUUUUUAUUAUUUUGUAUAUCAUUUCAUUUUAUUUUAUUAUCAAUAUUUUUAUUUUAUUAUUAUUAUUAUAUAUAUAUAUAUAUAUAUAUAUAUAUAUAUCUCUCUUCUCUCUCCUCUCUCUGCUCCCCAACCACCCCACCUCUCUCUCUUCCCAUUCUUCCCACCCCCAUUCCCAAGAUUUUCCCCCCAUUUUCCGCCCCUUCCCCCCACUCCACCUUCCUUUCCCCCCAUUUUUGUUUUUCUCCCUAUUUUGCCCCCCCCCCCCCACUCUGAUUUUUAUUUAUUUAUUUUUCACUUUUUGCCCGCAGCCGGCCAUUGAAGAGUUUUGACACUUUCCUUUCCCCCCAUUUUUGUUUUUCUNNNNNNNNNNNNNNNNNNNNNNNNNNNNNNNNNNNNNNNNNNNNNNNNNNNNNNNNNNNNNNNNNNNNNNNNNNNNNNNNNNNNNNNNNNNNNNNNNNNNUUUGCUUUGAGUAAAAAUUAAAAGUUUUAAAUUUAAAAUUUUCUUGAUAAAAAAUAACACCUUUUUUCAAAUUAGUUUGGUUUUUUCAAUUAACAUUUUUUCCUCAUUCGCAAUAAACUUCAUUUUUCAAUUCAAUUAUAUGAAAAUGAAAUUGAGAUAAUUUAAUUUACCUUUGUAAGUCAAUAAUUAUUGAAAAUCUUAAAAAUGAAUUUAAUUUAAUUUUUAAUGGCAAACCCCAUCCCCCCUGUUGAAAAAUUUAGAGGUUGAUAAAACGAAAGGGAAAAAAAAAAAAACCCCUCUAAAGUUAUUUCUUGUCCUCAGUUUCCCAUUGAAGGUUUUUGGGGGGGGGGAGGGGGGGGGCCAUUUUUUCUUCCCUUCCUCCUCCAGUCGACCUCCAUUUUUUUUUUUUUUCCUUUUUCUUCUUCCCCAAAAACACCCAACAUCCAGCUCCCCCAUUCCUCUUUCAUUUUAAUUUUUUAUUUUAUUAUUUUUAUUUCAGUUUAUUUUAUUUUAUUUUAUUUGUAAUUCCCAAAAAAACCAUCCACUACUAUCGGCAAGAUCACUGGCCAGACGCCGUCGGCCGGCGACCUCCUUCCGUUUCUCUCAUUACCUCACUUCCCGUAUCACUUUAUUAUUAUUAUUAUUAUUAUUAUUAUUAUUAUUAUUAUUAUUAUUAUUAUUGUUAUUGUUAUUAUUAUUAUUGUUAUUGUUGUUAUUUUAUUUUAUUUUAAUAGUAAUUGUUGUUUGUGAAAUUUGGAUUGUUGAAUUAAUAUGAAAUUUAUGAUUAAUUUAUUGUGAGUAGAUUAAUACAUAAUUUGAUUUAAUUUAUUGUUAGUGAAUUAAUUUGAAAUUUGUUAAUUUGGAUUUAUGGGCAUAUUGUAUUUGGUGAUUAAUUUAGGGAUAUUUGGAUUAUAUCAAUUGUAUAUUGUUUAUUUGGACUUGGAUCUAUUGUUAAGUUGUUAUUUGUUUGACCUUAUUGGAUUGGGCUUGGAAUAUUAUUUCUCUUGAUCGUGUAUUUUUUUUAUGUGGGCUUGUUAAUUAAUGUGAAUUUUGGGGCCCAUAAUGUGGGUGAGAUUUGUUGGAUUAUUUCAAUAUUUGAUAUGGGCUUAGCCAAUUUGAAUUGUUUAAUUUGGACAUGGGACAAUUGUGGUGUAUAUUAAACUAGGCUUAGAUUAUGAAAUAUUAAAUUUAGGUCUAGUAGAAUUUAUUUUAAUUUAUCCAAUUUUAGGUUUAGUUGAUUGUGUUUGUAUUUUUUGUUAUUAAUUUGGAUGUUCUAGGUUAAGACCUAUAGUAAUUUGGACUCAUUUUAAUUGACGAAAUUUAUGGGACUGAUUUGAAAUUGGAAUUUGGGUUUGAAUAUUUGUUUGAGGUUUUAUAUAUCUCUGGAUAUUUACAUCUGUGUUAUUCUUGUUUUUGCAUGGACCCACUCUGCAAUCUUGUUAGCUGAGUACGACUUGAUGACACGUAGAGCUUGUUGUAAGUUUAUUUGGGUAUAUAUUUUAUUUCCCACUUUUAUUUGGUUUUAUUUUUAUUAGGUCUUGUAAAUAUUUGUUUGUAUAUAUUUAUUGAGUGUGCGUAGAAUUGAACAUUGAACAAACUAAAAUUUUUUUUUAAAUGAGAGGACGAAGCCAGUAAAUUUGUUUUAAUAAAACAACAAUUUUAAAAUAUUAUUUUUAAUAAAAGAAAGUUUUUUUAUUAUUUAUAAAAAUUCAUAAAAAUGCAUUUAGAAAAAUCCAAAAAAAAUAUUUUUAAUAGAAUUUGAAAAAUUGUUUUUAAUGACAUUGUUCAAAAAUUUCUUUGUUUAAUAAAAAUUGUUUUGUAAAUAAAGUUGUUCCAAAAAUUAAUUUUUAGUAAAAUUGUCUAAAAAUAUUUUUUUAAAUGAAUUCUUUUUCCUUAAUUAAAGUGAGAUUAAAAGUGUUUUUUCAGGAAAUAGAGAAUUUAAAUCUUUGUUCUUCUUUUUAAUUAAAUUUUUUUUUUCAAAUAAAGUUAUGUCAUUUUAAAUAAUUUAUAAAAAUCACUCUUUUAAAUGAAAAUGAAUCUAAAAACUUUUGUAAAUAAAAUCGUAAAAAUUCAUUAUUUUCUAGUAAAAGUAAGUAAAAAUAAUUUUUGUCCUCAAAUUGAAAUUUUGUAAUAAAUUCUUUUGAUACAAUAAAUGUAAAUAACUUUUUUUUUUACAAUUGAAUACAAAUGAAAUUGAGAAAAUAAAUUGAUUCUUUUUUAUAAGUAAAUAAAUGGAAAUCAUUAAUUCAAAAUCAUUUGAAAUUUCUUUAAAACUUUUUUUAAUAUCUCUUAUUUAUUUAAUUCAAUCAAUCAUUUUGCAUAAUUAUCUCAUUAUUUAUUUUGUGUAUUUUUGUAAUUAGAUUUCAUCAUUGUUUUUGUGCAUAUUAAUUUUCACUAUGACUUGUAUAUUGAUUAUUUUUUCUUGGUAUCCAUAAUUAAUUAAUUAAUUGCCGCAAUUUUCUCAAUUCGUUUAGUAAAGGUCGUACGUAUACGGGAGAGGGAUGCUAUAGCUCACCACCGUACCUUCCCAAUGAGUAACCUAAUUCCCGGACCCAGACUCGAUUUUUACAGACCUGUUUUUUUCCUUCAGGAGUCACACUUAGGGUUUUUCUUUCUUAUUUUGUUUUUUCUUUUAAAAAUAAAACAAAAAUAAGUGGUGACUCUGAGUCUUUUUCUAAAAUCAAAUUUUCACCAAAUAAAAUAAAAAACGAGUUUCGUCAUCGAGUGGGAACACAUCAAGCAAAAUACGGGGUCCACACAUUAUUAAAAAUAAAUAGAUUUAAUAAUUAAUAAAACAUUCAUAAAAUUAAACAAAUUAAUAUUUUAAUAAUAUUAUUACUAAAAAGCGUUUCAAAUUCUUAAUUAAUACAAAUUCCUUUUUAUAAAGUAUAUUAUAUGAAAUAUUUCCUUGAUGGGAUAUUAAAUUUCCUUAUAGGACAAGGAAAGGUACUAAGAAUAUUUUUAUAAAUAUUGUAGUUAUGAGGGGAAAAAAAUUAUGGGAUGGGGAUGAGUUUGUAAAGAUCACACUAGGUGGAUAGAAAUGUGAAAAAAGAAUGAAAAACACUUAGUGAAAAUAAAUAAAUAAAUUAUUAUAUCAUCAUUUUUAUUUUUGUAUUAAUAUCAUAUAAAGAAAUAUAAUUCUAAUACUUCUUAUUUAUCAUAUUAGAUAAUUAAAAUAAAAAAUUUUAUUUUAUAAGAAAUUUAAUUUUAAUAUCAAUCAAUUAAAAAAGAGUUUGGUUUACUAUAACUCUCUUAAAUUAACUAAAAUACGCUUUUUUUUAGAAUUUUAAUUUUAUUAGGUAAAGGAAUUACUAAUAAAAAUUUGCAUUUAAAAGAAGACAUAUUUUAAUAUAAAAUUAUUUAAUAAUAAAAAUGAUAAAUAUAAAGUAAAAAAGUGAUACAAUUUUAAAAUUCACCUUCCCUAUUUUGUCUUACCAAAAUUUAUGUUUUGAAAGUCAUUACCAAAAUUUAUUUAUUUUUCUUAUUUAUAUAAUGAAGAUAAUAAUUUGAAAGGUAUUAAUUUAAAAGAACAAAGUAAUUUAAUAUGUUUUGAAAUAUCCUAAAAUCACACAAUUGAUUACAAUAAUUAAAAUUUUAUAAUAUUUAGUGAUGUAAUUGGUUAGUAAAUUGGUCAUUGGUUCAUAAUUUAUCUUUUCCUAUUUUAUAAAAUAAAGAUAUGAUAUUUGAAAAUUAAUAAUUUGAAAAAACAAAUAACUUAACAUAUUUCAAGACAUACCAAAACAGUAAAAUUGAUUACAAUAACAAAAUGUUGGUUAAUGAUUAGUAAUGUAAUUAAUAAAAACAAUUGGUAAUUAGGUAAUAAUUAUUGUUCCUAAUUAGAUGUCAUUGCUAAAAAAAUGUUAAAUCUUUUUAAGUUAAAUUUCAUUUAUUACUUAUUGAUUUUUGUUAAUAAAAUAUGUGUUCAAUUGUUGAAAUUAAUUUAUUAAUUUCUUGUUCUUAAUUUGAGGAAGAUAUCAAAAUCUUAUGAUUUUUAUUUAUUUAUAAUUAAUUGGAAUAGUUGAUUCUAGAACAUAUUUAUUACAUUAUGAAUUUGUGUUUUGAACUUGAAUCAAUGAUUAUUAGUUUAUUUUAUUUUUCUUAAUUGUAAAUGACUAAACUUUGAAAAAUUAUAGUAAAUAUAUUUUUAAUCCAAAUUUUAUGAUUUCAAUGUUAGUGAUUUUUUUUUUUUUUAGAAUGAAUUUACAAAAAUUUUAUGAAGCUUAAUUUCAUGAGAAGUUGAAUACUUACAAGACAAAAAUAUAUGUUUAUGUGGUUGAAUUUUAGUUCUAAUUUUGGAAUUUUAUGGACAUAUUUUUUUAUUCAUUUCUUAAUUUAAGACAAAGUUAAAGCAUCUCGUAUUUUCGAGAGUGUGGAAAACCAAACAUUAAUGUUUAAGUCAAACAAGCCUCAGCAAUUCUAUAGCCAAGAAAAUAAUUUCAUGGAGAGCAACCCAAGAGCUCAUGGAAAAUAAUUGUCUCAAUUCCUUAUUAUUUUUUAUCAUUAGGUGUGAAAUUCUCUCGCAAAAACCUUGUAGUUGCCUAGAUGCCACCUUGCUAAAAGCGUGUGGGGACCUUCUCUCAGCUCAAAAACAAGGAAAUAACACAUAGGGACGUGCAAUGGGGGAAAACUCAUCCAUGGUUAUUCCUUCACUCAUGCAUUUAUUUUCUAUGUUGGAUGUUUUCAAAAUUGGACCAGAGUUUAAUAGUCAAACCGAUGAUUGAAUUAUAAUGACGUUGGUGGCAUCAUAAAAAUAUAAUUUAUAUAUUAUUAAAAUUAAAAAUAAUUAUAAAAAUUAAAAAACGUAUAAAUAGUUAAAAAAUUUAAACACAUUUCAUCAUUUUAUUGUCAUUAAUAUUGAUAGCUUAAAUUAUGAUAAAAAUAAUAUAAAGAUUUAUUAAAUUAUUAUCAAUUUUAAUUUUAUUAAAUGUAUCAUUUUUAUUAUUUAAGUUUGUUUGAAUUUCAAUAGUUAUAUAUUUUACUAUCUUCAAAUUAUUAUUAUUUUUAUUUAAAUAUUAUUGAUAAAUCGUAAAACUUUAUAUUCAUUUUAAAUCUUGCAAUAAUGUGUACAUAGUUUUUCUUUAUUUAUUUUUGUUUCUGAAAAAACCAUAGGCUUAGCUUGGUGGCCUUUUUGAUAUUUCCAUUCCAAAUACCCUGGUUCAAAUCUCAUUGUUCAAUGGCUUUUUCCCCUGAAAGCCGAACAAGCCCAUAAGUUUGUCAUUAACAUAGAAAUGGGCUUGGGUGAUGGGUGUGGGCUUAAGCGCCCGAGUGGAGCACUUGGACUAUGGGCCAAUAGCUGAGUUUGGAAAUGAGAGUAGCUUCUAGAUCGGCCGUGCCGCGAGAAAUAAUUUUUUCUGGAAAUAAAUUAAUAAAUUAAGGAAAAAAAAAUUCAAAUCGGAAUGCAUUUGGGAUAAGAUUACUCAAUGGGACGGAUAUUAGUCACCCCAGCAAGCCCAAAAAAUUCAUCAACUCUUUACCAAGUAAGUUGAUACAAUUUCCACAUUUUUUUACUUAAUUGAUGGAUAUUCAUAUCAAAAAUAAAAUAACACAAAUUAAUUUAUUAGAUAAAUUAUAAUUUUCUUCAAUAUCAAUUUCACUAAAAUUAAUUUAUAGGAUAAAAUCAAUUUAAAGGACAAAAUUUUAUUUUUCUUCAUUACGAAUUCCACUAAAAUUAAUUUAUGGAAUAAAAUCAUUUUUUUUAAUGUCCAAUGAAUUUAUUAAUUAAAAUUGUGAUUUGCUAAUUUCAACUUUAUAAUAAUCGACUUAUGAAAAUAAACCCGAAUUUAUCCAAUAUUGCCUUCAUAAUAUGCAACUUACAUAUAAAAUUAUAAUUUUAUUCGCAUCGUUAGUAAUUAAUUUGCACAACCAAAUUCUAGUUUCAUUAAUGCAUAUCUUAUAGUAAUCAAUUUAUGAAAUAAAUUCUGAUAUUACCCACAUCAAUCUUAUACAAAUCCAAAAAAUCAUAUUCUAAUUCUGUCAAUACCAGCUUUAUAAGACUGAAUAUAGUAGCAUCCCCAUUUCUUCAAUGUGAAUUUCAUAAUGGUCCAUUCAUAGAAUAAAAUCUAGAUUCUAACAUCAUGAUUUUAUGAUCGAACACCAAUUGUAUAGUAAAUGAGUUGGUGAAAUAUGAUCUUAAUUUGAUUAAUAUUCAACUUUGUAAAAUCAACUUAUGACUUAAUUAUUGAUUCCAUUACGAUCAAUCUUAUAAGAAAUCAGUGUGUGGAAUUUUGUGACCUAAAUAUUGGUUUAAUUACAUCAAUUUGAAUUAACAUCUGAUUAAUUUUAUUAAUUCUAGAAAUUAUAGGUAUUAAAGUAAAUUACAAAUUAUAUAUGCAAGUACAUCAAAUUUCCAUUAAUUUCAUAUUUGCUUGCAUUUCUUCUUCGGCCUUAAUGUGUUAAGUUCUUGUUAUUGCUUUCUUCCAAGUGGUUGUAAGCAUGAGAGCUUGUACUACAUUGAUGCUAAAACAUGCUUCUCAUGCAAUAUAGUGGAAACAAGAACAUGGUAGAAAGUACAAGAAACCUAUUUAGAUGUGUUUUCCAUCAUGCCAAAAUAUUAAAAGUAUUAUCAUUGCCCAAAACAAGGGAAGGAGUUUUAGGAUAAUAUUGUAAUUUCAAAAACGAAUUACAACUUGAUUUCCUCUUUUUUGACGAAAUCCCAAGAAGGAAGCUUACUUUUAAAGGAAGAUGAUUGAGAUUAAGAAAUUUGUGCAAAAGAAAUGUUGGUCCAAUAUUUAGAACUAUAUUAUAAAAAUUGUUAUAAACAUUUAUGGUAAUUUGUAAAAAAUAACAGUAUUACCAUGUUCGUACUAUUAUCAUAUGGGUAUAACCGAAAACGAAGAACUAACUUAUUCUCUCCUCUUUGUUCUCAAUUAAAUUUUACAUUUAAUUUAUAACACAUUACCAACACAUCAUUUUGACAAUAAAAAGAGAAGAUAAUUCAUUCACAAGAGUUCUUGCUUACCGAAAAUACAAGAAAAAAAUUCAUCCAUAAGAGUUUUUGCUUGCUUGAACACUAAACCAUUUUUAUAAAGAUAUAUGGUCAUAUUUUCUUCAAACACUUUGAUUUCAAAACAUAUAUUAAAAGUGAUAUUUCUUCCUGUUAGGAAUUUGAGGUUAAUCCAAAUUAUGGUAAUCACCCUAGAGGGGGGGGGGUAAAUAGGGUGAUGGUCUCUUUUUCACAAAUUUAAACUAUGCAAAAAUAAGAGACAAUUAUAUGCAAAUAUAUAAUAAACAAAAUAAACACAAUUGCAUAUAAUUUAAAAGAGUUAGGGAAGAGAGAGUGCAAACACGAGAGUUUAUAGUGGUUCGACACUUCCUUGCCUACGUCCACUCUCCUCAACCUCAUAACCGAGUGAGGGUUCCACUAUCUUGAAGCUUCAACCAAGCUUCCAAUCUCUUUACAAUUGAAUUAUGGUUCCAAUUCACCCUCUUGAACUUUUGGCUCCAAGCACCCUUUACACUUCUUCAAGAAAUAUCCUUCUCUUGAACAACCUCUCAAGUGAUACCCCUUACUUGAGAAAAUUCCUCACAAAGAUAUACAAAUAAUGAUCUCUCAAAAUCCUAGUAAUAGAACUUUAGGUUCAAAGAUACAAGAAAAACUAGGAUUGAAUGGUGUACUAAAGAUAUGCAAGUUAUGAAACAAUGGUGCACUCAAAAAACACUCUUCCAAGGCUCAAAUAUAAUCAAGAAUGAUUUGGGAAGGUUAAACUUAUGAAACAAUGAAGAUUGGAGCCUUUUUAUAGAAGAAAAAAGCCAAACUAGCCAUUGGGGGUUCGACCGGUCGAGCUAGGAGUCAACCGGUUGACUAGCCGUUAGGGAAAGUGACUGUUGGGCCUCAACCGGACCUCAAUAGGUUGAGGUUCAACCUUGAUCGGGAAGAGAAGGCCACUGGGAAAGAGAGAAACUUUUUGGCCUCCCUCAACCGGUCCUCGAUCGGACAAGCACAACCGGUUGAACUGGUUGAACCAUUUUUUUGGCUCAACACUCAACCUUUUUCAACUUAAAACCUUUUAACACAAGUUUGAAAAUCAUUUAACACAAGGUUUUAGUUGAAAACAUGAAAUCAUCCAAUUCUUAAGAUAUUUAAAACAAUAUUACUCUUGGAUGAUUUUGGUGCAUAAAUAAAGAAUGAAAUGCAUGAAAGUCCUAGUGCGCCAACAACCUUACAAAGAGAUCCUAAGAAGCUUUGGUCUUGAAAAACUCUUCUCUUUGAGGUGGUCUUCUUCUUCAUGAUUUCUCCUUGGCUUGAUUUGUCUUUGGAUUGCCACUUUGGAAGUCGUCUUGCCUAAUCACACUUCAAAUAUGAUCAUUAGUUCUAAACCUUGUUUUGUUAUCAUCAAAAUCAAGAUUAACCAAACCUUGAUUUCACACUUCCUAUUUUGGUUUUAUUAUUAUAAUUUUUAUUUACUUAAUCUCAUAACUAAAAACUAUGAAGAUAAUUUAUAUUCAUAAUUAUCUUAUAGUAAGACGUUAUGUAGACAAUUUCUAAUUAUCUUGUAUAAACAUAAAUUAUACAAAAAAAAUUAGCAAUUAGCAAUUAGCAAUUCUUUAACAAGAGUUAUAUAGACAAUUUCUAAUUAUAGUGUACAAAUAGAAGGUAUAUAACAAUAAAAAAAAAUUAUUUUUCUAUAAUUAUUAUAAUUUAUUAAUUGUUUUAUAUUACGACAUCACUCAAAUUCUAAUUACUUAUAACUUGAAGUUAAGCAUAAAAAGCUAGUAAAUUAAUAGAUGUGAAAACUCAUAUAGCCAAAAGCUAUAUAAAUUUUUUUAUAUUAUAAACUAAUAUUAUCAUAUAUCGUUACAAGUUAUAUUAUUAUUAUUAUUAUAAGAAAAUUAACAUUCUUUGUACAAUCAAGAGGCUAUGUUUGUAGGAAUGACCUUAAAAGAUCAUUCCAAGCCCAAGAUCAAUAGGGUGUUUACAAAUCUAUCCUAGGGAUCUUUAGAUCUAUGCAACGAAAGUAUAUAUUAAAUAAAAAUUAUAGAUCUAAGUGCUCAGAAUACUAUACCUACGAUCCGGAUGUUCUCAAAUUGAUUUGAAUAAGUGAAAAUAUGAUGUGGAUCUUGGAAACUAUGAGAUCUUUUGCCCAAUAACACUCUUUUUUAGAUCCUAGCAUGUGAGGAUGGUGGAAUCCUCUUUAAUCGGGUGGAGACUAAAGUUCAUCUCUCUGAAAGAUUGAAUAGCAAGACUGCAAACCCUAAAUCCUUGAGGAGGUUUAUAUAGGUUUACCUAUAAGUAUAAGUAACUUAAACACAUUGUUAGGCUUGGAUCACUUAAACUAGCCUAUUAGGUCCUAAUUAAUUAAUUAGUCUUAUUGUGUUCCAAUUGAUUAAUUAUCUUAAUCUAGAGACAUGCACCAUUCAUAAUCUCUUGCAUACUCUUGCAUAUUUACCAAAAUUCCUUAAUUUAUGCACACAAAUGAAUAAAGAACCUAAAUAUAUCUUAAGUAAUAUGUCAUUGAGGAAUAUUACUUCAAGUAAGAAUCAUUGGGACCUAUAGAAAAGUAUUGGCUCCCUUAUGAUGUAAUUUUGAAGUUGACUCAACAUUCCACUAAAAAGAGUUAACUGCAUUCUAGUAUCUUAUAAUAUUAGCUCGAGAUAGAAUACUUGGGUUCAUAACCUUCUAACGAUUGCAUGCAAGCUUCCCAUGAACCAAUGUUUAUAAUUUAACAAGGUGAAUGUUAUCACUCUCUUAAAAUUACUUUUACAGUAUUUUAGUCUCAAAUCCUCUUAUUAUAUAAUCAAUUGACACAUUCUAACUCUUUAAGCACAUAUAUCAAAUUCCAUUUAACUAAUUAUUAUAGUCAUAGAUUCGUACUUCUAACUUUCAUCCAUCCUUUCAACACACUUCUAUGACACUCAUACCAUAGGGCCUCUACUAUCAGUCUACUAUUAAACUUCUUGAGAUGUCUCAUAUCCUACGAUUUAUGGAUCAUUUCAUCAAGACCAACAUAUAUCCUUUUAACCAACAUAAUAAGAGUUCUAAAGCGACUCAACAGGAUUGUACCACGUGUAUAUGAGGCAACUGGUAAAGCCUAACUUGGCUGGUUCUAGAUGUCAUCUAUUAUUUUCUAAGGGAAGUGAAAGAGAAGUUGUUAGCUUUAGCAUGUUUAAAGAUACAACACCAACUCCAUGGUAACCAACUCAAGUGCACUGUAUUCAAGAUCACCGACACAACAGUUACACAGUUGGCAUGACUAUUAGCGCAGUUAGCUAGGUAGUUUUCCCUUGUUAUAACAAACUCUAAUAGUUGUUAAGAACCUACUGCUACUUAAGGAAGUCACCACCUGUAUUGUAAACUUAAAUGAACCAAUAAUGAGAAAUAGCUAAUAUUUUCUUUCAUUCAUUUUCUUUUGCCUUUUAACACAACACGACAAUAUCUCAUUUCAUUAUCUAAAUUGUUCUCUUAGUAUCCAUUGCAUUAAGGCUACCAAUUACCUAAUUUCGAUUGAUGACUUGCACACUAUUGUCUACUCUAUUGAUUACUGAAAUAUUGUAUUAGUUCACUCUGAGUCUUAGCUAGCUACUCUUGGCACUCGUAGGAAUAGGGUUCUGCAUAUUUUUUCCUUUUCAUUUGAUGUCGAAAGCAAUCCUCCUACCCCAAUUGCCCUUAUGCCCACUGCACAUGCAAGUACUUCACCUAUUUUGUCUGCUCCAUCUCAGACUAUCUCUACUACUCCUACCCCUCUAUCAUUAACACCUAUUCACAACAUUCUUAGACUUUCUCAGCCUCAGGUUGAUGAUCAUACUCCAAGUUUACUACAAGUUAUGACCUAUUUGGCCAUGCUUUAAGACCUCUUUAUGAGCAUGGACUCUUGUAUUGAUUUCAAGCUCAGUUGCAUGGAGACCUGCAUGUGGGCGAUUUGACUUUUGUCAUUCAACAACUUAGUUUUUUGGCUAGAGUCCUCAAAUUGAGAGAUGGUUUGGUACCACCAGCUUAUGGAAACCUAGAGGUAGAUGGUGGUACUAUGGUUUGCCUCCAUUUUUUAUACCAAAGUUGAGGGAGCAAUGCCUGUAGCCACACCCAUCCUACAACUCGGGUGCAUUAGGAGUUGCACUGAAAAUCCAAGUCAUGGGUUCCUUCCAAGUUAAAAAAUUGUUCAUAGCUAGUUCAUAGACUUAGAAAACCUAUUUAAGGUUGUAGUGUACAACCUCUUAAUUGGAGGGAUGAUUUGUCUUGGUCAUUAUGAUGAGUUUCUCACGGUAAGUGCAUUGUGUGCAUGGUUAUACAUUGGACGAGGCCUAUAAUGAAUCAUGACAUUUACUAUUAGGGAGUCAUGAUUUACCAAACUACUAUGUUGACCUUGAGAAAAUAUCGAGAUAAUACUGAGAUCUUUAGUGGCUUUGGCUUAUAAGUGAGACCCUAAGGUGGUCAUAUAUUCCCUAUAGAUUGAUCACUAUUGAUUAAAGCAAGUGACAAUAGGCAUUUUCAAAAUAGGCACCAUAAUAUCUUAUGGGAUUAGGACAAUGUGUCCCCUUGGGUGAUUAUAAGUGAAUAUGAAAUCUAUGGCGUUGUAGGAAUCCUUUUAGUGGAAUUUGACAUAUGCUUUAUGUUAGUUAGAGUAUGUCAAGUGAUCAUAUAAUAAGACAAUUUGAAACUCAAUGAUUGUAGAUGAAAUCUUGAGAGGUUGAUAGCAUUUAUCUUGUUAGAUAAUGGACACUAGUCCAUGGAGAGUCUAGAUGCAUGUGAUAGUAUGUCAUGGACCAAAAGAAUGAUUAGAUUGAAUUUGAUCAAUUUUUAUCUUGAUAACAUAGGAUACUGGAGUGAAAUUAACUUUCUUUAAUGGAUUAUUGAGUUACCUUCGGAACUGGAUUAUAAGGGAGUCAAUAUCUUGAUAUAAUAACAUAUGAUACUAGAGUGCAGUUGACUCUUUUUAGUAGAUUAUUAAGCCAACUUUCAAAACUAGAUUAUGAGGAAGCCAAUAUUUUCUUAUGGGUACUAAUGAUCCUUACUCAAACUCACAGUCUUUGUUGACACAAAGGUUUAAGGGAAAUUGGAGAUUUAAUCAUAUGCUUGCAUAAUGACAUUUAGGUAAAAGAACAUGAUUACAUAUGAAGUUAUGAUGAAUGUUUUCAAAAUCGGAUGGGUCAUUAAACCGAAAAAAGUUGUCAAUUGACGGUUCACUGGUCGAACCAAAGAUUGAAUCGCAAUCAAACUAGUAAUGUAAUAAAUAUAUAAUUUAUAUACUAUUAAAAUUAAAAAUAAAUUAUAAAAUUUUAAUCCAUAUAUAUAUAUAUAUAUAUAUAAAAUUAAAAUUUUAAUAAUAUUUCCUUUUUUAUAUUUGAUAUGUCAAAUUAAAUGGUAAUGAUAAAUAUAAAUGUACUAAUAUAAUAAAUUUUAUUAAAUAGAACAUGUAUAAUAUUUAACCAUGAAAAUAUAAUUAAGAUGAAAAGAAAAUUUUAAUAUUUAAUUUUAUCUCUAUCUAUUUUAUUAUUUUAAAAUUUUAGAAAUUAUUGUAUUGCUUUUAUACUUAUCAUUAUAUAGUUGUUAUAAAAAUAAUUGUGAAUAUAAAUAUUUAUAUUUUUAAAUAGACUUAAAUGAUAAAAAUUUGAUAAAAAAAUCAAUAUUUUAUUUUAUUGAAACAUUUAUUAAGUUGGUUGCAUAGCCUAGUGGUCCAAGUAUUGGCCUUUUUAAUCCAAGAUCCUAUGGUUCAAGCUUUCUUAAACAUUAUAAGUAAUCUCACAUUGGAAGUUUACAAAUUAUAUUUCAUGUAUAAAAACCUUGCUUAUUCUUGGAGCUUCAAACAUAUUGUUAGGCUAGAGUAUGUUAUGGGGCUGCAGUCAAAGCUCAUUAGGCCAUAAAUGAAAGGGGUUCACAUUAUGAUUUUGGUCAAAAUAUUAGUAUUGAUUGGUUCAAGGGAAAUGGGACAGUUUGUUUGGUUCGACAAUCAAACCAUCGGUUUGGAUGAUUCAAGACCAAUCUAACAUAGCAAUAAUUCAUUCCAGUCAACUAGACCGAAGAGCUGUUGAUUGACGAUUUGACCAAUUUAAUUAAUUGAUAUGAUUUGACUUUUAAUCAAAGGAGUCAUUGAGCCAAAGAUUGUGAGGUUUUGAGAAAUCUUUUAUAAAAAAGGAUUUGAGUUUGAGAAUAUCCAAACCCAAGAAUGGUUUUUAUUUGUUAUUGGGUCCUCUUAAACAUGCAUCAUGUUGGUAUAAUGACUCAAAUAAAUAUAAAAUAAAAUAAAAAUUUUAUUUUAUAGACUCGAUAAUUUUCACUUGUGAGAGCCGAAACAAUAGAAUAAAUAUAAAAUAAAAAUUAGAAGAUAGUUUAGGUGACCUUUACAUACAUUUUUUGCAAAACUUCUAUAGAAAAAAAUCAUGAUUUAACCCAUGCUCUCCAAAGCUACUAUUAAAAUUUUAAAAUUUUGAAAUAAUUUAUAUAUAUUAAAUUUUUUUUUUAACUUCUAUAAAAGAAAAAAACAUAGAAAUUGACCUUAUGUUCUAAAACAGUAGUGUAGACCCCUUUUGGUGAAGGUCCGGGAGAGGGUUGUUGGCUUUUUAUGCCGAGAAAACAGCCGCAUGGAUAGGUGGCCCAGGGCAUGGCUGGCCAUGCGAGUGGUUGAAGGAGGCCAUGCUGGCUGACCGAGAAACAGGGGAGUGGGUAUAGCUGAGACAUGAGGUUUUCAGAGAAGCAAGGUGGAGAAGGAAAGGGGAAGGCCAGGCUGCAGGCGGAAGGUUGAGAGCUUCAGGGGGUUUUCCAGGAAGCAAAACACCCAGAGAGAGGGCAAAGAGCUCGGAGAAGGAGAAAGGAGAGGUAUGAAUACCAUGGGUCCCUGGAUUUACUUUAUCGAUAUAUAGUCUCAUUUCUUUUUCUCAAUAGUUUAUGUGGAUUGCUUGAUUAUAUGCUCAGUUUCACGGAUCAUGUGUGAGCUAUGGUUUAUUUGUUAAUAUCUCCUUCACUUCUUUGGGUUGCUUUGAGAGUAAUGCAGCUCUGUUCUAACUUUACCAUGCAUCGUGUAGGAGUCUUGUUUUGUUUUCAUUUCUAUGAGAUGCACUCUAGUUUACUCACCUACAGCUAAACUUGUUGAUUAAAACACGAAGCAUGACUUGGGUUGCUUUAUUUAGCUUCGUUAGUUUGUGCUCUGUUUUGUUUCGUCAUUCCCCUGUUCCUGCUUCUGGUACUGGGUUGGCUGCUGUAUGAAGUAGCAAUAUAGCGGAAGAGGAUGGUUUUGACGAGGGGUUUCCUGAGAUGGAGAAUUUUCAGCACAUUAUAGACUCGAAGUCUUGUGAAAGAGUCUGAGAACCGUGAACGCAGAAUUGUCAUUUGAAAGAAACGAUUUACUGUGUCUGAUUGAUAUAUGGGAAGGAAGAAGAGUUUUUAGGUUCUCGUGGACAAAUUCUUAAAGAAGAGUUUGGGAAGAGGCGACUGUGAUUGAGCACACUGAUGUUGCAUUGCUCUGAGACAAUGAGAUCAUCUAUGAUAUCUGCCAUGGUCCGCUGAACAUGAAGAUACCCAUUUAUACCAACCUAAACAUGCUUGGUGCUCAGAUAUUUUUUUUUUAUCAAACUGCAUCUCUCUGUUUCGAUGGAGCCUUCACUGUAGUUUUCUGUGACAGAGAUCACUAGCAGGGCCUUUGAGCCUCUGUCUGUAAUGGCCAAAUGUGACCUACGCCCGGGAGAAUGCGUGUUUGCUGUUUGGUGAAAUAAAAAUGAUGCAGUGAAGUGCAUGCUGCCAAAGCCGCCAUCUCCAUCACUUUUUGCAUGGCCAUGCAUGGCCCACAAGUUUUUUUUUUUACAAAAACCACCCUGCAUACCCAUUAUCCUAUAUACCUUUCUACCUCUUAAUACCCAUUGAAUCUACUCCUCACCAACCUCCAUUACCCAUACUCAUCACCUAACCUAGAUACCCAUAUCUCACCCCCUCAUGCGUUUCCAUUAUCCCCAUUACCCAUACUCAUCACCUAACCUAGAUACCCAUAUCUCACCCCCUUAUGCAUUUCCAUUAUUCCCAUUACCUGGCACGCCCAUAUUCUUCUCAUAAUGCAUCUAAUAAACCCAUUUUUUCUAAUCCCAUUUCUAUUACCUACCUCUCCUAUCAUUUUCCCAUCUUUCUAAUCAUUGAACUCAUAAAUCUCACUUCCCCUCACCACUUUCUAUCACCCUCAAUGGUUCUUACCAUACCCAUAUACCCACCGAACCCUAUGCAUGGCCACCCUCAUUUCUCUCACAUCUCCACUCAUGAUCAUACACAUUUUCUUCAUCAAUUUCAUCCACUACAAGCAACCAAUUCCCUCACCAUGCUCCAUUUCUUUUUAUUCGCAUGCUCAUCUUCAUACUCACUUCUCUCUCUAAACCACCACAUGUCCAUCACCACCUUCUCUCUCUCUCUCUACACCACGUGCCUUUCAAACCUAUUUUUUUCACGCAUUAAACCCAUAUCUUUCAUCUUUGCAUGGCCAUGCAUGGCCACUCCAAACUCCAUACCCGUUUGCCAAUCCUCACGCAUGCAUGGCCACUCCUACCUCCAUACCCGUUUACCAAUCCUUCAUUCUCACCGUUUCCAUCAUUCCCAUGCAAACAGUGCAUCAUGCACAUGGCCACUCAUGUCACGUUCAAUUUCUCUCCACCCUUAUACCCAUCUUAGCGUGCCCACUUCUCUCACUCACCAUCUUUCCAUUCCUUCCAAACUCACAAAACCCUCUCAUCUUGCUACCCUUCAUCCUUCGUUCCAUCAAUAACCACCCGAAGACCAAGAAGAUGCUGCAGUUCCUACGCUUGAGACAAAUAUUUAAUGGCGUCUUUUCGAAAGUGAACAAGACAACAAUGAAUAUGCUGCACGGGUUGUCCCCUACGUGACAUGCGGAUAUCCUAUUUUAAAGAGUGCCUAGGAAUUGAUUUGCAAGCCGGAGUGCAUAUCCGCUACAACGAAGUGUCAUAUCUCUCUCUUGGUGUUCAAGUUGUGAAAGGAGGUACCGAGAACGUUGAGCCUUCUUAGUGAUCCCAUGCGUGAUGGGUGCUCCAUUGUCGGUGAGGGUGGAGCCACAGAAGCACAUUGGUUUCGCUAACACAUGUCCCUUUGGUGGUGGUCGCCCUGGGAGAGUGAAGAGAAAGGACUUGAAGGCGGCUGCCAAGAAGGCUGCUGGUGGAGAUGAUGAUGCCCGGUGGAGAGGAGGGUCGUGAUGGAGAUUGAGGUUUUGGGCUCGCCCAUGAUGACGAAUAUGGGCUUGAGUUGGAGCCCAGGCCCAAGUUUGUUGAUGGAGGGCCUCAUGCCCCUCAUUCCCAUCACCCUUAUGACCCAUACCCAUAUUGAGUCAGCCCAUUUGGCUACUUCAAUUCUAAGUAAUUGUCAAGCUUCUCAUUUUCAUAAUUUAUUUUUUUUUUAAUUUUUUUUAUUUAUUUUGUUUUAUCUUAUUUUACUUUCACAUAUUUUUAACUCAAUUUAAACUCAACUAAAAGACAAAUUAUUAGGAUUGAAUAUCAUUUUCGAAACUUAAAAUAAUUUAUAUUUUAUCUUCUCUUCUUUAGUUAUGUCUAAUCAUCGUAUAUGGAAAUUUUUUUUAUAAUUAGAUUAUGUUGGUCCCAAUGAAUUUUCUAGAUUCCAAAUUUUAAAUCUUAUUUUCAAAACUUAUGUCUUUAAGCAAUUUUUCAAAGGUCCGACUCUCAAAUUUAAUUUACAAUCUCAAAAACCCCACCAUUCACUUUCAUUCGUUUAAAUAUCGUUUUGAUUAAUCAUUAAUGUUAUUCCAUAUUUAUCUAUUUAUCUUUUUUUAAAAUCUCAAUCAUUAAAGUCUAAUUCUUCAAAAAUCCGACUUUCAAAUUUAAUUUUCAAUCUCACAAAUCCCAUUAUUCACUUUCAUCCGUUUAAAUAUCAUUUUUGAUUAAUUAGUAACGUUAUUCCAUAUUUAUCUGUUUAUUUCUUUUAAAAAAAUCUCAAUCAUUGAAGUUCAAUCUUUCAAAGGUCCGACUUGCAAAUUUAAUUUUCGAUCUCAAAAGUCCCAUUAUUCGCUUUCGUUCUUUUAAAUAUCAUUUUUGAUUAAUUAUUAACAUUAUUCCAUAUUUAUCUGUUUAUCGCUUUUAAAAAUCACAAUCGUCAAAGUCCUAUUAUUCAAAAAUCCGACUUCCGAAUUUAAUUUUCAAUCUAAAAAAUCUUACUAUUCACGUUCACUCGUUUAAACAUUAUUUUUGUUGUUAUUAUUGCUAUUCCAUAUUUACUAGUCUAUUUCUUUUAAAAAUUCCCAUCAUCAAAGUUCAAUUCUUCAAAAAUUUGUUUUCCGAAUUUAAUUUUCAAUCUAAAAAAUUUCACUAUUCACGUUCAUUCGUUUAAGUAUUAUUUUUGUCAUUACUUCCAAAUCUAAUUCUCUAUCUCAAAAAUUCCACUAUUCACAUUUACUUGUUUAACGAUUAUUAUUGCUAUUAUUAUUAUUCCAUUCACUUAAUCAUUUACUUAAAAUUCCGCCUUUAAAUAAUUCUUUAAAAUUUCGAUUUCUAAAUUUAGUUCUCUGAAAUUCUAAUUUUCUAAUUUCUGAACUUAAUUUUCAGUUUCCAAUACUCCAAUUCUUGCAUUUAUUCUGUUACUUAUUUAUUAUCAUUAUUAUUAUUAUCAUUUUAUUUAUUUAUUUCUAAAAAUUCUACCUUCGAAUUAUUUCCAAAAUUUUCAAUUUCUAUAAUUCAAUUUUCAUAACUUCUACUUCUCAAAUAAUUUUCAAUCUUGGUUUCCUUCAAAAUUUAAUUUCCAAGGUCCCAAUUUUCGUAACUUAAUUUUUUUUUUUAAAAUCCCGAACUCUUAAAUAAUUUUCAAGAUUCCAAUCUCUUUCAAAUUUAAUUUCUAAAAUUCUCAUUCUUACAUUUAAUUUCUAAAAAUCCAAUUUUCAAAUAAUCUCUAAGACUCCAAUUUUCAAAUAAAUUUCAAAAAUCCAGUUUUCCCUCGAACAGUUUCAAUUUCUAUUUGGUGAUGUAUGUGAUAUGUUUUGUGCUCUUUAUUGUACACUGACCCCAUUUUUAUGAUUGCGCGUUGCUCGUUCGUGGCCCAAUUGCGCAUCCACUCUCUUUGUGGUCAUUCACUAUGCAUGUUUUGGUUCCCAUAUGUGCAUAAUCGAUUUGAGCAUCCCUUGAUUUUCCCAUUGAUUGUCACGUCAACUUCAUUUUAUUAGUAGAGACCCGACUUCAGGGACUUAGAGGAGUACUACGGUCUUUACCAUACCUUCCUGAUAAGUAACCUGACCCCGAUCACGAUCCGGUUUUUCAUAGACCACAUUUUCCAAAAUAAAGAGUCACAUUUAGGGUUUUCUUUCUUAUUUUGUUUACCCUCUUAAAAGUAAAACAAAAAUAAGUGGCGACUCCAAGUCAUUUUCUAAUAAAUAAAAUCAAAUUUUCAAAUAAAAUCGAGUUUGCCAUCGAGUGGAAACGCAUGAGCCGAAAUGCGGGAUCCACAAGUAGUUACCAAAAUUUUUAAAAUUUGAGAUGGUAAAUUUUUUUUCAAUACCUAUAUAUUUUUCUAAACUUUUUUUGAAAAUCAUUGUCUUGUUAAAGUAUGCAUCUUUUAGUGGCUAUUUUCUAUUUUCUAAAAAUAAAAAACAAAAAGGUCUUCGAAUACCACCAUCGAUUUUACAUUCAAUUUUUUAAGUCACUAAUAUUUAUAGAAAUUAUUAAAAUAUUGUUUUUUUUUUCCAAGAACAAGAAUUUAACUUGAGUGCAUUAAUAUUUUCAUUUUGUAAUAACUUUCACAAAUUAUGGAUUCGGAACAACAAAUUAGGAAAAAUUAAAAGAUGUUUUAAGUAUUUUUUGCAAGAUAUUUGAGAAAAAACUUUAAAAUAAAAAAGUAUAUAUAUUACUAAACCAAAGUGUCAAAGAAAGAGAGACUUUCUCAUGAAAAUUGUUUUCUUUACAUAAUUAUCAGAAAAAUAACUAAAUUUUUGUAUUAAAAUUAGGAAACCAAUGUUUAUUUUCUUAGUUUCAAAUGAAUUUGUUUUCUUCUUUUGAGACAUUAAGUGAGAUUACUUGUAUAAGUCCAAUAGUUAUUUAGUAACAAAAAUAAAAAUAAUUUUGUCUUUAGACCAUAGUUUGCAGGACUAUAUAUAUAUAUAUACACAUAGAGGUGAGUUGGGAGUGGUGUAAUUAAAUUUCCAAGGUCAUGUUUUGUUCAGAAGAUUAUUAAAAAAAAAUUGGAAGAAAAUCACAUUUAAUUUUGUUGUGAAAGAAAGAAAUAAAAUAAAAUAUAAUUAAAAUUAUAAAAAUGUGUACAUUUUAAAAUCAUUUGACUUUUAUAAAAACAAAAAACAAAUUAAAAUAAUAUACAAAAAUAAUUUAUUGAUUUUAAACUUAUUUUUUAAUUUUUUUUUUCAUUUUCUCUCUUUUUUCGAUUUUUUUUUCUCUGUUUUCUUUUUCUAACACUUUUCCUCAGAUUUUUAGAAACUAAAUCUAACCUUAAAAAAUAAAAAAUAAAAAAUAAAAUAGUAUAUGCACAGGAUGAGAUUUUACACUGACGUUUCAAGUCAUCAAACCAUAGUCUGCAUUAAACCUAGGCUUAGGGCUGAGUUUAAGCUAAGAGUUAAAUUCCAAGUAUGGGCCAAGCCUAAUGACUUUUCUUAUUUGGGAUAAUUGUUGAGCAUGGAGUGGGCACAUCAACUAUCCCAUCACAAACUAAAUUGUGUCCCACUAAAUUAUUUUAUCGAGGGAAACAUUUAAAAAAUAAAAUUUAUUCAUCCUAAAUGAAACUAUGAACAUGUUUGUAAUUGUAUUGUUUUUUGUUUUAAGUAUUCAUACUUUAUCUAAAAAACUUUUCAAAAAUAUAUAAAAAUAGGAAAAACAAAUCAAUCUCCUGUCAAAAUCUUGGAAUAAAAUUGCUCUUCAAUGACAAAAAAAAUAUCCUAAGGGAAUUUAAAACUAGGCUCAAAAUUAAUGUAAAGAUAAAAUUGGAACAAAUUUUGGGGUCUACACUUAUGUUUAAGAAUAUCUUAGGUAUAAAUGAGUAGAAAUGUGUUUUCUUUUAUCCAUCCUAAAGGGAAUAUACAUGGUCUUGGUAGAUAGAUCAUUGUAAGAAAUAAUCUAAAAAAGAAAAGAAAUUCUUGAGUGAAUCUAACUGAAUAAGUACCCUUUUGUUUGGCCAUGAGGGAAAGGGUGAGAGAGAGCCUUCUAUUUUGUGCAAAAGAGAGAAACAAAGGUUCAAUAUCAUUGACUAGUAAAGCAUUUGUGGAUUCUUUUCUUGUGGAUAUAGGUGAUUUUCAUCAAACCACGAAGCAUCUUGGUGUUGUGAUUGUACUUUAUUUUUUGUUGUAUUUAAGUUCUUGGGCUUAUUUAAUUGAUCUUGUCGAUGUAAAAUCCCCUUAACAAACUGUUAUGAGAGCCUGUAGAUGGAUUUAACAAAGGUUGAUAUUCAAUCAGAAGAAUGAUUUGGCACUAUGGAGAAUGGAGAUGAUAGCAUCACUAGUUAAGAGGCCUUCAAGAAAUUCCUAAGGGUAAACUUACCAAGUUCUUUUAUCCUUUGAGGACAAGACCAAGAUCCCUGAUAAAACACACAAUGUUGUUUUUUUGAGUCUUAGUGAUAAGAUGUUAUGUGAAGUCUUAAAGGAGUCAACUAUAGCUUUGAUAUGGUUGAAAUUGAAGCAUCUGCUCGUGGCAAAAUCUUUGACAAAUAGACUAUACUAAAAGUAGAAAAUGACAUAACAGGUUGAAGACUGUAUUGACAACUUCAAUAAUAUCAAAUUAGAUCUUGAAAAUAGUAAAGUGAAGAUUGAAGAUAAAGACCAAGCAAUAAUCCUCUCAAAUUCAUUGUCUGAGUUAUAUAAGCACUUUGUAGACACCAUGAUCUAUGGUAGAGGGUAUUUAUUUAUGCAAGAAGUAUAGGAUGCCCUAAAUUCUAAGGAGUUGAAGAAGAAAUGUUAUAAGAAUAAAGAAGAUGACUCAGGGGUGAGGGGCACAUAGUGAGAUGGUGAUCUUGUAAGAAACUUUUUUAGGAUAUAUAUAGACCAAGGUCAAGGUUGAAAUAUAAGUACAUAAUGUUUUCUCUAUCAUAAAGAAUGCCAUGUAAAGAAAUAUUAACUAAAAAGAUAACUUCAAGGACCCUAAAGAUAUUGGCACUACAUCAAAGGGGUAUGAAAGCAUUAAGGUAUUAUCCAUUUCAAAAUCUAUUGAAAAUAAUUAAAUGAAUUAUUGAUUUUGGUCACACUUCUCACAUGUUUCCAAAUCAAUCUUGAUUUUCUUCUAUUAAAUGAUUGAUGGGGACUAAGUGUUGCUAGGAAACAAUAAGGCAUGUCACGUGAUUGGAGUAGGAGUUACAAAAAUCAAGAUAGCAGAUUGGGUUGAAAGCAUAUUGUAGGUGUGAGACAUAUACUUGAAUUGAAGAGUAAUCUAAUUUCACUGAGAAUGUUGGACAAAAGUGUAAAAGAGAAGAUGGAGACUUGAAGGUAAUUAAAGGAUCACUAGUAGUGAUGUAAGAUUUCAAAAGAAUAAUUUGUAUAUGCUACAGGUGGAUGUUUUGAAUUAUGAGGGUACUACAACUUCAAGGAAUAUAUAUUCUAGACAAAGUAAAGUUUUUGACACAUUUACUUAUAUAUUAGUGAAAGGAGUGGUCUAAAUUAAGUAAACAAAAUCUUCUUUGGGGAGAUAAUAUGAAUAAGUUGGAAUUUUCGGAAGAUUGCAUUUAUGGUGACAUUUGAAGAAUUAAAUUCAAUAUAGCAAAUCAGAGGACAAAGGAAACUCUCGAUUAUGUUCAUUUAAAUCUUUUGGGCCAACAAGGAUUGAUUCUUUGAGUGAUUAGAUAUACCUUACAUUGAUUGAUGAUUAUCAAAGAAGAGUAUAGGUGUAUAUAAAAUCUAAAUGCAACAACUGUAUAGAGGGCUCUAUAGAAAAGAAAGGAGAACCAUGGAUCCAUGCUUAUCAUAGUAUGGCUUAAAGUAGUUUCCAAGGCAUUGGUACAACAGGUUUGAUAUAUUCCAAUUGAAAUAUAGUUUUAAAAAAACGUGGAUGUGAUAGUUUUUUUGUACUAUAAGAACCUCCUAUCUAAUACUGCCACUUAUUUUCCAUUGUUUUUGUGUAUUAUAAGAAUGCCUUAUAAUGCCACUUAUUUGCUAAUCUAUGAUGACAUGUUCAUAGCAUCUAAUAGACUAAAGUCAUUUUUUUCAAAGUGAGUUAAAGACGAAGGAUCUUGGACUAGCCAAGAGGAUUCUAGGGAUUGAAAUCAUAAAGGUUCUUGAUAGGUUUGUGAAGUCAAGGGCAAAUCCAGUGGGAACAACAAUUGCGUUGUAUUUUAAGUUAUCCCAAGCUUAGUCACCUUGACCUAAAAUUGGGGAUAAGGAUUAUAUGGUAAAGGUACCCUAUUGUCACGGACUUAGUCGUUCACUAAGCUCAUGCGACACUUAGGCAAGUCAAGACGCUUGAUCUUGCUAAGUCAGCCUUGCUCCCAAUGCUUAGCUAGCUAGGCUAAGACGCUCACGACUCAAAAGCUUAAGAAGCUUAGUAGGCAACUCUUUAGAGAAUGGAAGCUCUUAUUAACUCAAGGAAGCCUUUACAAGUGCUUGGAAGCCCACUUGCUUGGUCAGGAAGUGAUUUGAGUGGUGCCUUGCCCAAAUGAGGGCCUCACCUAUUUAUAGGCAUCAAUGGAACUCUCUAGAACCUUGGAGGGUUCCUUACAAGUCAAGAAUAUUCUAGAACUCCUUACACUAAUCUAUGUACAACCCUAUGUACAAGAAUAUACAAGAAAUCUCUAGAAUUCUCUACAAAGCCCUGGACUCCUCUCAUGCCUUCCACCAUAGUGUAGAGAUGUGUGGACUUUUCUAGACAUCUCUAAAACCUUCCACACUCUUCCCACAAAUGUCUUAGUGUAGAUGGCUCCAGGAGUCUCCAGAAGCUUCCUGGGUUCUAUAUAAGCCCAUGGGGAGGGUCAUUUGAAACAUCCUGUGACACUAUGCUUGUGUAGUUGGAAGUAUCAUGUACUCUUUGAUGUGAUAAACCUAAUUUAUGUAAUGCUUUUAGUGUGAUCAGUAGGUAUGAAAAAUCUAGAAAAUGGAUUGUAAUGUUGUGAAAUAGAAACUAGGGCAUCUUAAAUGUAUUAAGGAUGUUGGAUUGAUGUAUUAAGGAGGGUAGAAUACAAUUCAAUAGGUUAAUGGCUAUGUGGAUUCUAAUUAUGCAAGAGACUUGGAUGGUAGGAGAUUAUUGACAAGUUAUAUUGUUUAUCUAGGGAGAUUCAUAGUUUGCUAGACAGCCUCAUUAUAGUGCAUAGUUUCUCUUUCAAUCAUAGAGGUGGAAUAUAUGGCAAUAGCUAAAUCUAUCAAGAAAGCAAUUAUGCGGACAUAUACAAGGGUUGGUUAGUAAGCUAAGCAUGAAGCAAGGGUUUGUAACAGUGUUUUAUGAUAGUCAAAGUGUAAUUUAUUAGUCCAAAAAUCAAAUAUAACAUGAGAGGAUAAAUCACAUUAAGGUAAUACUUCAUUUUAUCUUAGACAUAAACAUUGGGGGAGUAUUACACAUAAAGAAAAUCUUAACUCUUGGGAAUCCAAUAGAUAUAAUCACAAAGGCCACAAUGUUUAAUUAGUUCAAGUAUUGCUUGGACUUAGUUUAUGUAAAAGGUUGCUGACUUAGGAAAUAGGAAAAGGCUAGUGUUGCAAGUGAUUUGAAUUCUACAACCAAUAUGGAGGAUUGUUGAGGAGUGAGUUUGAAAUUUCUCACUUAAACUACAUGAACGAGUGAAAUCACAUUCAAAAGACACUUUGUUCAUUUGUGUACAUUAGCAUAGAGUAAGGUAAGAGCUCAAAGGUGUGUACAAAGUGACAUGUUCCAUUUUGAAAACUUUGGGUGACGUAAGGUAAUGCACACCAAGUGGACAAGUCUCUUUAUGUGGUCUUUUCAGUACUUUGGGCACAUACACUAGUUUUGCUACCAAUAUAGAUUAGGUUGUUUAUUGAGUUAAUGUUUAUUAUGAUUAGUUGUUCACUUCUAACAACUUUUAUUCAAGAUAAAUGAGUACUAUUUUACUUAUUGUAAAGGGAAUCUAGAUCGCCUUGAUAGAUAGAUCGUUAUGAGAAAGAUUCUAAACACGAGAAAUGCUUGUGUGAAUAUAACCAGGAAGUGCUCCUAUGCUUUCCUAAUAGGAAAGUAUGAGAGAGUAUUGAAAGAAAAUAUGAGGGUCAUAUAUCUCAUUGAUCAAUUAUGAAGCCUUUGUAGAUUCAUUUCAUAUGGAUGUAAGUGGUCUUCACUGAACCAGGUAAUAUCUGUGUUUUAAGUGUGUUGUAUUUUUUGUUAUGUUUUUGUGAUUCUUAGGUUUGUUUAAUUAACCUUGUUUGAGAAAAAUCUCCUUAACACCAUCCAAUAUAUCAAAGGAUUUCCUAACUAAAUUAUGAUUCCAAUUUAAAGUGCCUCAUGACAUGUAAUGAAAUAAUUGAAAAUCAUCUAAAUAUAUGAAAAUGGGGUUUCAGAAAUCACAAUGGGUCAUAAAUUCUCUAGCUUCAGAUAUAUUAUAUUAAAUUAAGAAGAAAGAAAUCCAAUUAAGAUAAGAUAAACAUUUCAAAUUCAAAGGCACAUAAAAAUUUAAAACAUGAAUCAUUCUCUAAAGAUAUAGCUUAGAGAAGUUGUUUUCUAAUGGAGAAAGUAACAAAAAAAAAAUUAUGUAUUAGUACCAUCUAUAAGAAAGUAACAAAAAAACAUUUAUGUAUUAGUACUAUGUAUCAUAGCUGGUCUUGUGUUUACUUUUAGCUAAUCUUAUUUCAAUCAGAACACAUGAGUUUGGACCCAAAAUUUAGGUGCCUAGAGUAUUGGCUAAAGGGGGAAAGAGGACAUAUUUUCAUGAAUAACCUUCCUAGUGAAGGUUAUAAAUCUAAUCGUAUCCUAGAUGGAUAAUUCAAAAAUUUUCCAUUAGAGUUGUUUUAACAUUUGAAAUUGUGUAAAGUAGUCAGUGAAAAGCUAAUAGGAACUACUGUAACAUGAAUGUUAAUAUCCUGUGCCGAAAAAAAAUAAAAGAUUUAUGCUAUAAUUGAUUCCCAUCUGCUAGAGUUUGUGUGCACUUUUAAAGAGCCAAAACACUGAUAUCAAAUUAAUGAAGGCAUUUAUAAGAAGACAAUGGUUGUGAACUUGGCAACAUCAGGAAGAUGGUAAAAGAGUUAAAUAAUUCUUAAGGUAAAGUUGUGGCUUCAUGAUAAAUAUUUUAUAGUUUGGAGGACACUUGGAAAGUCUUUUGUAAAUUGCAAGGAAUAUACAAGAAGUAUUCAAUGGAUUAAGCAAGAAGAACAUGUGGAAAGCACAACCAAUCCAUCUGCCUUAAUAUGUCUUCAAGUUGGAAAUUGAUAGUGGGGACUUUAGACAAAUGCAAAAUGACUAAAAAAUAAAUUGCUACCAUUGAUUCAAAUUCUAAUAAUAACUCAAAAAGAACUACCACUAAAGGUUAAAUGAAAGUCGCAUUAACAGACACGAAAUACUAAAUCAGAGCAUGUUGGGAACUGAUUCAUUCAUUUUGCCUUUUACUAUGGGCACAAACUAAAGUACUAAAUGAUCAUAAUCUAUGGAUGGCCUCAAAUUGUAUCAAAGGUUUCCUGAAUAACAACCAUGCUGAGACUACCUAGCACAACCAUGGUUUGAAAUGGUAUAAGCUAUAGCCAUCAAGAUCAUAGAGUCUUGAAAAUUAAUUUUUGUGGUCAUCUGCUUGGGUAACAAAAAGAGGGGUUUGAGGUAGGAGAAUCGAUCUUCAUGCCAAUGCCAUCAAAGUAUGGCAUUGGCAUCAGUUUUUGAGGUUUGUCCACAUUCAAUUGCAUGUUCUGCAAAUAAACAAGUGAAAAGUAUUUUUGUAUUUCACUCUCAAAGCCUCCUUGUAAACCCACAUUUGGAGAUAUUAUACUUCUAUUAUAAGAUGUUCCUUCCUGCAAUAAUGUCCUACCUAAUGACGAAAAUAUCGAUAAUCACAGAUAUAUCAGUAGUUCAAUUUUACGGAUAUAUUGGAUAUAUCGGCGGAUAUUUUGAUACAAAAUAUCGAUUGAUUUAAAAUUGAUCAAAACUUUUGAAAAUAUAAAAUAAAGCUGUUAGAAAUGAAAUUAGAAGUAUAAAAGACAUUUUAAAGUUGUUUUGUUGAAGAAAUUAAUAUAUAUAAGUGUACAUUGAUUAUUAAAUCACAUCAAAUAUUAUUCUAUAAUAAUAUUGUGAUAUUUGAUUAUAAUAUGUUUAAUUUUAAAAUAUAUUUAAUAUUAAAAUUAUGAAUAUUUAAUUUAAUUGUAUUAAAUGAUAUAAAACAAAUGAUGAUAAAUGUAUAAUUUUUUAAUAUUUAAUUAAUAUAUUAAUGAUAUGUAUUAAAUGAUACAAAAUAAAUGAUGAUAAAUGUAUAAUUUUUUAAUAUUUAAUUAAUAUAUUAAUGAUAUUAACAACUUUUUGUUACUCAAUUAAAUGAAAAAAAUUAUUUAAUCAUAAAAUAAUUAUAAUUAAUUUGUUAUUUAAAGUAUUGUUUUAAGAUUUUGUGUAUAUGAAAACUUUUAAUAUAUGUAUAUAUGGUGUAGGAAUAUUAACAAGGAUGCUCCCCCAACCAAAACUCCCUGGGCAGCAUGUAAAUAGCCCAUUUUUGAGCUUUGACUUGGUCAACGCUGAGAUUUGCCUCGGUUAAUGCCGACGUUGACCACCGUUAUUUCUGUGGAAAAUUUUGUUUCCACAUGUACUGACACACAGAUGUUUUGGCGAUAUAUCAUCGAAAUAUCUCGAUAUUUUCCUCCAUGGUCCUACCAAGGUUGGUGGGAUCAAAUUAAUCCUUUUUCUGUGGUUUUUGAGUAACACAAAAUCCCAAGCCAACAACAUUGGACAAACUUCCUAGGCUAACACCAAAUCCCAAGAACAUGCUGAAAACAGGGGAUAUUGCAUACUUUUCCAAUGAAACUGGGGAUAGCUGUAGUAUCCUAACAAAUUAGUUGAUCAAAACAGGGGAUAAUUGUGGUAUCCUAACAAAUCAGUUGAUCAAAACGGUUUUCCUCUCAUUGCAGGAAAGAAGAAGAUUACAUUGCAUACGUUUCCAACAGAACUGGCUAUUCCUCUAAAAUUUAAUUUCUCAGUAUCUACGUAUUCUUUGGGAAAAGACGUACUUGGUUGUAGAUUUUGGUGAUUUAAUAAUAAUUUUUUUUUUCACACAAAACAUUUGAUUUUCAGUGCAGUCCAGAUCAAAGCUCUUAAAAUGCAAAGAUGAAAUAGAGAUUGUUUAAAAUUAUCUCAGAUCAAUGACAUAAGAACAUAAUUCACUGUCAAAACUCCAAGAAAAAACCCAAGAAAUUAAUAUUACCUGUCUCAAACCUCAAGAAUAGAAAGAAAGAUAUGACAAGAAUCGAUGUAUAAGAGCAGCAAUGCGAUCAGUUGAUAAGCCUUACUACCAACUGUCAUAUAAUGAAGAGGCAAACCUCCAUUAUCUCAGUUCUGAAACUUUCAAAUGCGAAUCAGAAUCUAAAUGGGUCAUGGUUAGAAUCAAAAUGGCCUGUGAUUGAGGUGUAAAGUACCGUAACUUAUUAACCCAACAAUGACUCUAAAUUAGAAAUUAAGAAGGUGUUAUGCAGUUUAAUAUAAUUUAAUGACUUAAGUUAUUAAGUAGUUUAAACAUGUUUGAUAAAAUAAUUUAAUAUCACAAUUUUAAAUAAAAAUUAACUUUAAAUAUUAUGUUAAAAUUGUUAACUUAUUUUUAAUCUCAAAUUUCUUUUGCCUUAUUUAUUCAUGUUUAGCGAACGUAUAUUUUAUAACUAUGAUCCUACAUUCACAACUCAUCUUUUAUAAUAAAUAUCUUUGUAGUUAAUUUAUGUCCCUAUAAUACUUUGAAAAAUAUGAAUGUUUAACAAAUAAAUUUAUUACUUAGAAUUAGUAUAUUUUUUUUAUGAAUAUUAAUUAUAAAAAUAUGGAUAUUAAUAUCUUAUAAAAGCAUAAAUAUUGAUUUAUUUUAUUUAAAAUAAAUAUAUAUAAUUGAACAAGUAAUAAACAGGCCUUAUAUUCUUCCAACAUUAAUCAGUUUGGUCUCACUCCUCCAUUCUAAGGAUUAAAUGAAGCUAGAAUAGGAAAAACAACAUUAUCUAUUCAAUUCUUAGAUACCGCAGCAGCAGCAGCUGUAUUACCAAGAAGAUAAGCAACAUUAUUUAUGAGGCAUUAUAUGUCUGAUUUACUUCUUCAAACAUAUAUAGUGAGUAAAAAGCUUCCCUAAAGAAAUGUAGGGGAAUCAAUCAUGUCAUUAAUUUUGUAAAAAAUAAAAAUAAAAAUAAAAAUUACGCCUUAUGUUCUCAAGGGUAUCAAAGAAAUUAACUAGAGAAUCACUUGAUAUGAUCUGCAUUUAUCUACAGAGAAAAUAUAACAAAUUAAAUAAAGAAAAUUAAGUUCUUUUAGCCUCUAUUUAAUCUGUCCACACAUAAAUUUUCAAAAUUUGUAACGUCCAGUCUUAUGAGAUUUUCUAAUCGAUCCCUCAAAGAAAUCACGUGACAGUUGUUACAAAUCAUUCAAAUUGCAACAACUCAUCUGCUAUUUCGCUCUCCAUGGAAUUUAUAUUAAGUAAUCAACUCAUCAAGGUGACUACAUGAAUUAAUUUAAAAAAUCUGUCUGGAGAAGGCUGGCAGCUUAUUCCAUAACUCUCAUCUCUCAUUCUUCCUUUAUUGCAAUUUUCAUUUUUCAUAUGCCUCAUACUCUGCAACUGAGAACCUAAAAAUAAAUAAGAAAGAAUAACAUAGAGAAAAGUGGUUAUUUAAAUCACUUUAGAAAAGACCAUAAAAGUAGAAGCCCUAGACCUAAAGUAGGUCGCGCUUUAAUCGAUGUAACUGAUGAAGUAGUUGUACUGAACACCACAUAUCAAGCUUUCACCGUUGUGACAUGCUUGAUGAGCGUGGCAACAACAUCUGAUGAAACCCUAGAAGCAGACUCUUUCAAGCUUUGAAUCUUCAUUGCAGUUUCCUCAUCAAGCCGUUUUACAUUUGACCCACUGCUUCCACUCGUCUAUAUAAAUCAAAAGUGAAGUUAGACCUUGUCAUUCUAAAACCUUUGGCAAUGACAAUAUUUGUGCUGAUACCUCGGAAAUUUUCUUCUGGUGGGCAGCUUCCAUAUUGGAGUGGUAGAGUUUCACUUCCCUCUCAGCUUCUUCUUUAGCUUGUUUCAACCUCGUCAACUUUACUGAAACACAUUGUUCAAUCAUAGCAUCAUUUCGGAUUACGAGUACUGUAAUUUUGGAAAGAGAUAUGUAAGGAUUGGGGUUUUACAGUUUUUAGCAUUGGAAAUAAUCUGUCGGGCCUCCUGCUCUGCAGUCAGCAGCAUCUGGAUGCCUCCUUGUCCUUUCAUGGAAUCCAUGGAAAAUAUGCUACCUAAAAUACAAGACUAAGCACUUUUCAAUCCCAUAUAUAGAGAAAUAUAUCACUUAAUUACUUCUGUAUGAUUCAGGAUAUAUUUUUGAGAAAUUUUAAUUAGAAAGAAAAAGAAAACAGAAGUAGCAUCAUUUCAUAAAAUUCUGCCGAAGAAGAUCAUUCAAUGUCUCAAUUGCAGAAUGGUCCUGCAAUUUGACGUAAAUGGAUCAUUCUAUUCCAAUGCUUUCCAAAUGAUUCUAAAAUACUUAUCUCAAAUGCGUUCCCCAACCUGGUGGAUCUGAGAGAUGAAAAAACAAAAUGUUGUGACUCAAAUCGAUGUAUUUAAGUGGGUCUUCCAAAUUCCAUAUGCCAAAUAAAAGACCCAAUUCUUCAAAUUGGAUUGUGAAUAAUAAUAAAAUUUAAAGGGAGGAAAUUGAAUUAAAAAAAACAAAAAAACAAAAAAAAACAAAAAACCAAGGAAAUGAACCCCAUACCUGUGUUUAAUUUCUUCAAAGGGAGAAGGUUGCAGUUAGUUUUUCAAGGCAAAAAUACUGAGGUAGAGGAGGAUAUCAUUUGGCUCUGGUAGUAUUGAGAUAAAAAUGGAUCAUUUGCCACCUGUUCACCGGCUUCCUUGGUGGCUAGCACUAAUUGGAUUAAAAAAUUGUUACAUUGAAUUAUUUAUUUUACUUCAUUUUUUGGGACUAGCCACCUCCUAUAUUCCUUUUAUUACAAUUUAUUUAUUUAUUUAUUUAGGUGACACUAGUGAUAGGAUGUAAAUUAAUAAGUAUUAAACAUAUCAAUUGCUAUGUCCCAUCACUACUUAUCAUAUAAGCAAGUGUGGCCAUCAUAGUUAUAACAAAACAUUUGGACUAUUAUUAUGAUUGUGAUCACCCUUAAGGAGGACACCUAAAUCAUAUUAUAUCUUAUCCUUUGCAUCUUUUUGCAUCCUUAUUAAUUUAUAGCAUGUUUUAGAAGACAAUUUAUAAGACCUAAGUUAGAGUUGAAGAGAAACUCUUGAAAGUAGAUUAAGAACAUCUUCGUAUCUUUAAAAACGACUUCAAAUCAUCUUUCAAUUAUCUCGAAAGUUUCUUCAAAUUAUCUUCAAUUUCUUCAAAGUUCAUUUGAAAUAUAAAAAUCUUUAAAAUUUUCUAGCUUUCAAGCUUCAUCUUCAUCAAUCAAUGUUGUAUAAAUCAAGGUUUAAGUCAUAUUGAGGCCCAAGUUGCAAUCAAACUUAGGUCAAAUCAAAGCUCGAUUCAAACCAAAACUUAAGUCAAUUCAAGAUUCAAAACAAAUGUCCAAGCUAAGUGCCCGUAAAAUCACAUCAUCCAAAAUCUUUAUUUGAGAUCAAACUUCUUCAAGCUCUCAUAAAAAAAAAGGGUAAUAAAAUGGAGAUUGCACUUAUAACAUCCUCCAAAUAAAUGAACUCUUAAUUUAACUUCAUAACUUUUGAAGAGAAAUUUUAUUUGUUACAUGAGGAAAAUUCAUGGACUAUUUUCUUAGACUAGAGAUUGUGCUCGCUUCACAUUCCAUAUUCUCAUUCCCAUAAAAGAAGAUAAUUAAAUGUAUGCGUUUAAGGAGGUAUUUGUCUUUAUUUAUUUUUUGUGCACAUACCUACCAAAUUAGAGAGAUAUCAACCCACCAAAAAAAUAUCAGCAUAGUAGGAGCUUGAAAUUUUAAAUCUGACAGUGGAUUGGACAUGUGGGCGCAUCUCUUACGUGGAUCUAACCUCCAAAGACGUGUUCUACACUCAGUUCUUUCCAUAACCACACCCAUUUGCCUCCCAAAUCACUAACCCUUAAUUUCCCAAAUGUGUUAUCCCUCCGUAGCCAGCCUCUGCCGCCAUUGAUUUGAUCUCUUGAGUCGCAAUUCACUUUCUCCCUUUCUCGAAAAACUCCUCGUUUCUCCCUCUACACCCUUCAUCUUUAGGAGGAUUCACUGCUUCGAUGACAUUCAAAGAACAGCCAGACCUGGUAUUCUCAUAAUCUUUUCCUUUUUUUUUUUUUUCCAAAUAUAUUUUUCUUUCGGCUUUAGAGGUUUCGAUAUCAUGAUUUUGUUGAUGUUGCCUUUUUUUAUCCAUUAUGUAAUGGAAUUUUCUAUUUUUCAUGCUUCAAUUCAUUUCCAUUUUUGCAUGAUUGCUUUCUUUGAUAUAUUUCCUCAUCUAGAUUUCAUUGAUCUUGGUAGCUUGAAGUUCAUAACCUUUCACAAGAUUUGAGUUCUUUUAUUUUUGGUAAAUUUGGUUUUAACGGGAUUUCAUUUCUUUCUUCUUUGUUUUUUUAGUGGAUUUGUUUUUAAUGUGCUUAAUUUUCUUUGAUUUUCUUCCACAUGCAAUUUGCAAAUGUCAUUGCUUUAGAACAUAGGGCUUGAUAUAUCUCUAAAAUUGCUUUUCAUUUUUUCUUAUAAUUUCUUUUUGUGUGAUGUACCUGUGGUGAAUAAAAAAGGGAAUGGCCUAGGUCCAUGCAUCUUGGCAUAACCUAGAUCAUAUUUGAGGUGGGACAAUGUAGCAGCAAGAUUCUAGUUUUUUUAAUAGAUGGGGAUGAAGUCCAGACCCUAAGUCGCCUUGGGUUUGGUCUGGUGGUGGGAAAGUGUUAUCCUACAAGGGCAGAGCCGAAAAAAGGGAAAACCCAAGACUUGCCCCCAUAUUCCUUAGUGAAGCCUAGCCUCUUGGGAGGCAUUCUUUAAUGUGAUGACUCAGUUUAAGAAAUAAGGGUAAGAGAUUUAAACAUAGAUGUACUUGAUCUUCCCAAAAUAUUCCUUGGAAAGUGUUUACUAUUUCUUCUUUUUAGUUUUUAAGGAAGUUCAGACUAAUAGAAAGCAGCCUUAAAAUGAACUCUUAAUUUGGAAAUAAGACUUUUUUAAAUGGUAUUCUAAAACUUACAUAUUGAUUAUGAAGAAAUGCAUAUCAAUCAAGCAAGAAGUUUCAUCUUUGAUUAAUUGAGUAUUUGGGUUUUGAAGAUAUAACAACAAAUUCACCAGUCAUGACUAAGCUUUGAUUAAUCAAAAGCUCAAAUUGACUAUUUUUACCUUUAUUUCCUAAAUCCAAUUUUUUUCCCUUAAAAUAGAGUUUGAAAGUUCUCAAUAUGUUUUGGGCCUUAUAAAUUUUAGUAGAUUUUCCAAAGAAAAAUCCUAAGGUUUCCAAGUAACAUGCCUAUCUAAUGUGCUUGGGACAAUUAUUUGCUAUAUCUUCCAUUUGGAUGUAUACGACUAAGUCCUUUAACCUUUAAGUUGGUCAGGGAGAUGGAUGUGUCAUUUCUCAACCUUUUUUAAACAUUGUUUAAUACAAGAUUUGAUGUUAUGAUUUUGAUAUAUAUUCAAAAGUCCCUACAAUAUGACAAUGAAAUUGAAAUUAUGGUUGUUGAUAAAAUUUUCAUUUCCAAAUUUGACUCUUCUUUGUGUUAGUGUUAGUGUUUUAGGUGAUAAUUCUCUCAUGAAUAGCAUCUUGUCUGGAAACGCUACGGAUAAGAACAUGUCACCUUCAUCUAGAGGUAUGGGUUCUUUUCCUUUCAAAUUCUACUUCUAGAAAUGAUGAGACAUUUAUCAUUUUUUAUUUCAUGAACUUGCUAAGAUCCUCUAAAAAUGUGUGGAUUGCGACUUGAAUUUCUAACUCUAAUAUCUAGUCGACAUCUAUCUUUGGGGUUGUAAUGCACUAGAGGAAAUAUGUACUUUGCUAGAAGAUGAUGUUAGUGUUUCUGGGCUAGAUGACUUAUUUGAAUUGUUACUUGGAAGAAGGACCUUACCAAGUUGAGUCUAUUGUCAUUUCUUCUUCAAUGCAUAAAAAAAUUUUGUAUUUCAUAAUUCAUUACUCUGCAUUUGAUAAGGUGGUAUAUUUUCCCUUUUAGUGUCAGGAACAAGUGGUUGAAUAAGUCAAUUUACUUCAUGCUAUAGAAGUAUGAUGUAAAAGGAGUAUAAUGAUACUGGUAUAACAAGAUAAAAGACAUAAUCAUUUGUUCGUCAAGAAGAGGUAUGACAACAAAGCAAUUAUGUCAAACAUCCUAAGAAAUUAAGUAAUUCCUUCAAUAUGGUGAUGCUACAAAUCAUUGUUAUCCUAAAUAAGAUAAAACAUAUAUAUUUUUUUUAUUGUUUAGGUUUGUUUUUUUGGAAAGUACAAUAGCAUGAGCGGAGUCGGAAGAAGGUAUGUAUUUUACAUUUAAUUUUAUUAGCAAUACUAAAAUUAUAGAAAGGCCAAUUUUUUUUUUUUACUAAGUUUUUAUGUCUUAUAUUUACUAGCUUGUAAGAGUAGGACAUUUUUACUUGGACUAAUCCAACUAACCCAUUGAUCUACUUACAAUUAUUAUUAUUAUUAUUAUUAUUAUUAUUAUUAUUUUGGGGGUGGGGAGGGGGUUGGGGAACAAUUUCUUUAUAGCAUCAUUAACUUGACCAUGUAUUUCAUUUGCAUUAGCUAGGUUCUAAUAUUUCCCAAAGAUAGUCUAAAUAUCCCACACAACAUACCAAAUGGCAAGUGAGUGUUAACUUGUUAAUUAACAUAGCAUACUAAUAUAACUUGUUGAUUAACCGUAAAUGGAAUUGAGUUACCAAAAGGAUUUAUUUUUAACAAGGUUCAAGUGUGGCAACCCUAACCUUGAGGAUGGGCUACAAAGAUAAUGGGAUCGCAUGAGAUUGAGACCAAUUGUGUAGCCACUAGCUCAACAUCAAAUGUUUAAUAAAAUAUGAAAAAUAAUGGAAAGAAUGUUUAGAAAACAACAAAAAAGUUCCAAACUAAUGAAAACAAAAAGACUAAGAGAUUAAGCCUUAUGGCUCUAAUACAACCCAAGUUUUAAAUUAUGUCUAGUAGAAGAAAAGACAAAUGGACUCCAUGUCUAGAGGCAAAGACACAAUAGUUUUAGGGGCUUGUUAUGGAACUGCUGAUCCUCAAAUUGAAGCUUCCUAAAUGCUAGGUUUUGCUUGAGAAAAGAAAAAUUACAACGAUAGAGGAAACAUGAGUACAUGUAUGAUUGGAACCAUUAGGAUAGUCAUGGCAUGCUCAUAUUUCAUAAAUCAAAAUUAUGAAUUAAUAGCAUCAUGUUGAUCUCUAAACAUCAUUUCUAACUCUGCAUCAUGACAAAAAUUAAAUUAGUUGACUAUAUCUCAUGUUUCCCCAAGUCAUUAGUUAUAUAGAACGUAGAGAAGAGAUCACUUAUAUGGUAAAUAAUUAUAAAAGCAUUCACAUGAUAAGAGUAUUCACAUAAAACUCAUAGUCGGGGUUUCCACACAACUCACAGUCAUUUGAAUACUCCCCUAAAUAUAGUUCAAGCACAAAAUCAAAAUAAGGUAGAAGGAAGGAAUUGACUAAACUAUAGUAUGGAAAACUGGACCCUAAAUAGAAGCCUUAUGUCCUUAGGAUUGUUAAAAUUUCCAAUAAAUUCAAACAAAUUGGUUUGAUUUUAAAAAAACCAUUAAGAUCAGUUCGAUUUGGGAAUUUUAAAAAUUGACUUAAUUGAUUUGAUUUUUUGUUUCAUUAUCUCCAAAUUGAUAAAAGCUAUACCAAUUGGAUUUAAAAUCUAAAUUAAUUUGAAUCCAACAAAUCAUUUAACUAAACCAAACCAACAUUAAACAAUGUUGGUUUGACUCAAUUUUUCAUCACUAAAAGGUUGGUUUUGUUUUAUUCAAAUAAAAACAACCAUGUCGGUUUUGAUAAAUUCUUUUCCAAAACUUAAUCAAAUCACACCUUUUUAUACCCCUAGUUUCAACUCUAAAAGUUUUUUAAACAAUGUACAUUCUUCAAGAUCUUAGUGCACUAGGGGAUGUUAAUUAGUUCUCCUCAAUUAUUCAAUACAAGAGAAUUAAGGUUUUCUUGAAGGGCUUUUGCAAUUCCAUGAGUGCAUAAAAAAGCACUUAGGAUGCUAGGGUUUAUGAAAAAGAGAGGAGGUAGAGAGAUUUCCAAAAUCUUCAAAUUGUCUUCCACUAUUCUCUUAUAUAGAGAAUAGAAGAGAAACUCAUCAGCUCAUGUCUUACAUUAGACAGACUUACCCUCAAAUUUGAUAGUUUUGACUUGUUUUCUAAGAGAAAGUAACUUGUCAAAGUUUAAUAGCUUUAUUUCUAUAUUCAUAUAGUAGUCCACAACCAAUUUAGUCUAUGGAUAAAUACAAUAGAUUCAAUUUUUUUGUUACCGCUGAAAUGUCUUAUCUCAUACCUAAACUCUUUGUAGGACUCAUAAGAAUGGAUUUAUGAUGAGAAAAAAAAUACCAAACAAGCACAAUAGUUUUGUUUGAUCCACAAUGCAUUAGGGGUGUAUUCGUCUUAGAAAUUAGAUGGUGGUGUGAGUUCAUCACAAUGACAAAAAUCUACCUGCACUAGAUUUGUGAUGAGAAAAAACACAAAUCAAGCCUAAUAGUAUAGUUUAAUCCACAAUACAUGAGAGGUAUUUGUCUUAGAUUCACAAUGAGGCUAUAGGAAAUUUUCGAUAAAAAUCCACCCGUGCUAGAUUUGGAUGUCCAUUGCAUUCUUACCCAAUUCUCUUUCCUCAUUUGACUCCACUUUUGAUUGAUUUACAUGCUGCUUCAUUGCUAAAAUAAAACCAAAAUCCUUUUAUAACUUGAGCACUAGACCAUAUGAAGCCACUUAUGGGGAUCCUUGUUUUUUCUUUUUAUAAGUAAAUUUUUAUCCUUAUUGGGACUUGAACCUAGAAUCUCCCAAACUUGAGCUAGGCCUUAAGGGCUCUACUACUAGGGAUCUAAGUAUCAUCCUACAUUUGGUUUCUUAUCAAACACCAACUUUCAAAACAGACCAUAGGAUAUAGUUGAUGCAAAUAAUGGAAGCAUAGCCUAUUAUGAUGCUAUGGUUGUGCUAGCAAUAGCAUACUAAGAUCCAACUUGUUAAAUACUUACAUUUAUGCAUUUCUCAAAUUUAUGGCCCAUCCACAUAUUAUCACCAACAAUGUUGAUGAGGCUUUUGAUAUUUAUUUAAUAUAUUAGGCACUAAAAAUUUUAAGGUCACCAUAAAUUUUUUAGGUAGCUAUUAUAUUUAGAUUUGUUUAUUCACUUAAACUAACAUAUUCUUGACUCCUAAUAUACUAAGUAUAGAUUUUGUUGCUUUUGUUCAUUCUUAGGACAAAUAAUUUAAUCUUUUUGCCAACUAUAACUUCAUUUGAAGACUUGCUUUUCAUUUUUCCUUAGUUGGCUGCAUUUUUCCCAAAAAAUAGUUGUUUCCAUAGAUCUAAUUAUGUGGGAAAAAAAUUUGACUAAGAAAUACAUAGUAUACAUAUAUGAAAAUUUUUAUUUAUUUAUUUUUAUUUUUAUGAGACACUUAUUUUAGUUACACAACAUUACGAAAUAUAUGCAAAUGUGGAGUCAAACUAAUAUGUUCUAAGAAGAAAUUUUUGAACAUCAAUGUCAUCAAUAUUAUCGAUCUCAUAAGUAUCAUACCAAAUCCUAUCAAUUAAAUCACUUUCUCAAGAAAUAUGAGAUGUCUAAGUCAUAUAAGUAAAGAUACCUAUUCAUGGAUAAAAAAAGGAAAAAAUGUAAUUGAUGAUUAGAUUGAUGAUAAAAUAGAACCUUGGGUCAUAAAUAGUAAGAAAAAAUAGAUGGCAACCAGCGAGUAUUCAAGAGGUCCUACAUAUUUGCAUAUAAGAAUAUAUUUAGGGUAAAUAUUUAAUAAUAUUAGUGAUUAUUACCAUAGCGUUAAAUUCCAUUAACAUUCUAAUGAAUAUAUUUAUGGUAAAAUUUGUAGAUAUAAGUCUAGUCAUGAUAGUUGUUUAAUGUCCAACAAUCCCAAAUUUACAAAACUAUAUUGCACAAGUCUUUUGUCCCAACCAAAACAAUUUAAAAUGAGAAGUUAUAUAGUACAUCUUUUCAAUUAUUGAUCCAUGGAGACUCAUGUGAACAAGUCAAUAGAAUUGAAGUUAAACUAUUUGAUUUACAUAUUUAGGCUAACUUAUUACAAAUUAGAAGUAAUAUGCUUUUUGAGAUAAAAUUCUAAAGAAAAAUGGAGUAAGAAGUGUAAAGUAAAUGACAAGAUGGUGAAAUUGUUCAUAAAAGGCCACACAUCUAAGAUCAAAUUUCUACUAAGAAUAGAAUCUUGGCAUUCUUCAAGAUGAUAUAUAUAUCUCUUUCAAAUUUAGGUCUUUGCAACUUCUAAUUCCAAAUUCAUCUCAAGACGUAAUAUAAGAUUUUGCACAUCCUUAAUCAAAGUCUAUGAUUAAUAAAUCAAAUAAAAAAAAAUGAGCAUUCAGUGAGCCAAUAUAACCAUCAAAGAUAUCAGGUCUUGAUAGAUCCAAAGAGAAUUUUGUCGCACUACUAAUUGAUAUCCAAGAAUCUGGAGAAUAGAGAUAGAAUUCAUAACAAGAGAUAUACUCAUCAUUGAAAUUCUCCCUUAAAUGCAUUCAUUCUCUAGAUAUAUAAAGAUAUAGCCACUAAUCAUAAGAAAUUCAACCUUGGUUCCUAUGUUCUAUAGCCAAAAAAAUGCAGGAAAAUGGAGUGGAUGGAAAAGAAAAAUACAAAAAGCUCUAAACUAAAUUCAAAAUAUUAAUUACAAAAAUGUUUAGAAGAUUCUCAAUAAAGUUAUAAGCUAUGUGGCAACAUCUCAUCACGCCUUAUCAUUAAAACAAGUGUAAAAGUAACUAUUACAAGACUUUUGCCUCACCUAAAGUUCACCUUGAAUAAAAAAAGGAUCAUUUGUAAUGGAAAUCUAUUUGACAUGAACCACAAAUCAAAAUUUCAAUAUAAUGUUACAUUGGAAAUCAAAAUUUCAAUAUAUUAACCCUCUCAUUAAUUUGAUCAUUGAAAUUUCAAUGUGAGCUCCUACUUCAUUCUCCACCACAUCAAAAUUUUGAUGUAUGCAAAUGGUCGCAUCAAUAGAUACUGUUUGUCUAGAUUUUCAUAUCCACAUUUUGAUUCUAUGCUUGUAACACAUCAAAAUUCAAUGUGGGAUUUUGUCUUCAUAACCACAUGGAAAUUUUGAUUUACUAAUUCCUCGUAGCUUUUCUAAUAUCAAACUAAGAUGUCCUCUUGCACUUAAACUACACUUCUAAUCUUCAAAAAUUGCAAGACUAUGCCAUGAUCCUUUCAUACUAUAAUUUUUCCUUCAUUAAUACUGAACUACACUCUUAGUAAUCAUGCUAAGUCAUAUUUCCUUCAACACUUUCUUAGCUAUCUUUCUCCAUUGACUCUUAAAUAUUCUUUUUUCUCUUUACUUAUGCAUUUUCUUUAAAAUAAAGAAUUAGUCCAUUAAAUUGUGCCUUAGCACAAAUUGAAGCUAAAAACAUUGAUUUGUCCACUAAAUGGGUCUUAGCACAAAUUAGUGAUGACAAUAGGGUAAGUUUUUUUUAGUACAGACCUCACCCUACCCUGCCUUUAAUGGGAUGGGUUUGGAAUUAAGAUAAAAGAGUUAGGGGUGAGUUUGAGAUUUUUCUUUAAACUAGGGAUGGGUUUAGGGCAGGUUUGACUAUUGCCUUGUUUUGAUUAUAUAUAACUAAUUUUAAAAAUAAUUUAAUUAUUUUUUUAUUUUCCUAUUUUAAUACAUAUAAAAUAAAAAAAUUACUUAUUAAUAAAAUAAGUUACAAAAAUGAUAAUAUUUACUUAUUUAUAAAUUAUAUUAAUUUUAAUGUAAUUUUUUAAAAAAAUUUAAAAAUCAAAUGGGGUAGGGCAAGUAUAGGAAAUUCUCAUAUCUACCUCAUCCUAUCUUGUUUAUUUUUUUUUAGGGUGGCGAUAGGAAUUACUUUGUGUAAAUGGAAUGGGUUUAGGAUGUGGGAGGCGACUCGUUUGAACCCAUGUUGUUGCUAUCCCUAGCUCAAAUUCAAGGUAAAAUCAUUGAUUUGUAUUUAUAUACUCAAAACCAUGUCUUUAAUCAACUUUUAAUACAAACAUUGAGUACAAAUCUGUUAGGUAUAAUUUUAAUUUUUAAGUUCCUAUGUUAAUUUGAUAAUAUAUAUUAUACCCAAAUCUUAGGUUCCUAAAAAUCUCUAAUCAAAAUAACAAACAUAACUUAUAGUUAUGUAACAUUCCUUAGUUUGUUGUAAGUUAAAUAUGAUCUCAACUUUAAAUUUUCCCUAAAUAACAACUGAUUUUGUAUUAUUCAGAAACUAUAUAAGUAUCUACAUGUUUUUUUUUUUUCAACUUUGUAGUGGAUAAGAAAGGAAAGCAUUAGACGAUUGAUAAGAUGCGGAAGCAUCUUUGGCCUUGAGAAGAAUGGAAGCUGAAGCCAUAUUUCCAAUGGAUCAAUAGGAAAGAUGGUGUGAAGAACGCUCAUCCCAACAGAUAAGGAGGGUUCAAAUCAACAACUAGUGAUAAAUGGGCCUUGUAGUUGAAUUUAACUUAUUCAAUGGUGAGGAUAUGAUCAUAAAAAUUGAAAAUGGCUCGUAUGGCAAGAAGAUGGUAAGAGUAAAGCUUUCAAAUUUUAUAGUAGACAUUAAUGACUAAAUGGUUUUAAUAGCACACAACUUUUGUGAAAUGUUACUAUAGAUGAUGAAAAUGCAUUUCAUUUUUUCCAUUUCUUAGUUCAAUAUUAAUUGUUUUUAGAAAAACUAAUAAAUGCUAUGAGAAAGUGAUGAGAAUGGCUUUCAAGCAUAUGCUAGUUUUUGUUUUGAGGUCAAAUACCAAAAGGUACAUUUUAAUAUUCAUUUUUCUCUUCAAAAUUGUAUGAAAUUUUUUUCUAUGUUUCUUUCUUCAUUUUUAGCUAAGAAACACAUAAAAGAUAAAUGUUAUUAUCUUUCUUAAUUACUAUGAAUGAGAAUAAUCUAAAAAACAGAAACAUAAAAAAAGUAACGAAAGGAGAGACGAUUGGAAAACACUAGAAGAAAAAAUAUAGAUUAGUAGAAUUUCUAGUAACAAACUCAACCCUAUCUUUGAUAGCAGUCAAUUCCUCUUUGUGAUUGGAAGAACUACAUGUCCAAUGCAACCUUUGCCCCUACAAAACGACUCAUAUCAAACUUAAGGCUGCUAGGAAGUUUUAUUCGCAUCACAUAGAUUCCAAAUUGGCAUUGUUGGCAUCUCAAACCUAGCACAGUGAAAGUCAUAACAAUUCAAAAAUAGGAUCUUUAAGUUUCAUAUACCAUACCAUUGAAUUUGGAUGUUCCUGCGCACUAUUUCUCUCCAAUUUCGUGAAGCUCUUGAAGACCUCUUGUAUGUCUUCUACCCAAUGACUCCUAUUUGGAUAUUAACACUUAGAUUGAGGAAGAUGGAGACUACAAUUCUUUUAGGUGUGAGAUUAAGAGUUAGCCUAACCCUAAACUCUAAAAGCUUUUGUAUAGGCUAGAAAUGGACAAGUGGCUAGGGCCCAAAAUAUGGGCUAAGGUCACUUAAUCUAGCUUAUUGGUCCUAUUUAAUUAAUUAGCCAUAAGAUGGGUUUCAAUUAAUCAAAUAGCCCAAUAAAACCCAAGAAUUAAUUAUUGAUAUGUUAUGGUGUAACUUCGUGAAACUUAAAGUAGCUUAACCCAUAGAAUAUAAUUAAUUUAUUUAAAAUAUAAUUUACUCAAUAAAAAGUACCACAAAUAAUAUGAGCUUGAGCCUAUGGCAUCUUGUCUACAAAAUUCAACUCUAGCCCACUACCUACUUAGAUAUGCUUAGGUAGGCCUAAGUUAAGAAAGGUCCAAGUGGCCUAUAUAUUCACCCAAGCCCGUGUCAUCAUGCCAUUCUAAGCCUUUUCAAGGAUUCCUUAACAAGGUUGAGUGGGGGCCAUACCAAUUAGCUUAGAUAUGCCUAAUUAAGUUAGGCUAUGCUCAUGUGAACUAACUUAAGCUUGCUUAUCUCAGUCUAGGCCUGAGCUGCUAGGGCGAGGAUGAUCCAGGGCAAUCAUUAAGGCUAAAUUGCCCAAAUUGGCAUAUUUAUGUUGUUAUUUUGGUCUAGUCACUCCAAUUAAGUGCCACCGAGGCCCUUUUCCCUUUAAAGGAUCACAAUAUUUCCAAAUUUCCUUUUAGAUAAGGCUUACCGACUAUAAAAUCCUAAGAGUGAUAAGGAUAACAUGGGAUAAGGGUUAUCAUAAUCUUAUCAUAAUUCCAACCCUAGGCAUCAUCCCAAUCUUCAAAUGAACUUAUCCAUUAUAAAUUGAGUGCUCCAUUCGAAUUACAAGGUAAACAAAAAUUUUCUCUUCUUCAUGUUUUACUUUUCCUCCAACUUGCUGACUUAAGUAGCAAAUCCAUAUCAAGCACCUUCUAUGUGAGCUUUUUGAAACUCUUGGCGGUAUCACUUUUCUUACAAAUCAUCAAUCUCCCGCUCAAUUUUAUAAAGUGAGAUCUUUUUCUUUUUUCUUUUUUUUCUUUUUUGCAUCUUCAAAGUUGACUCAUAAACUUCAUGAGUAGAAGGAGAAAAUUCGAUUUCUUAAUCAUGCCACCAAGUUGAGUUAAUAAAAGGAAAGUAUUUUGAAACCUAAGUAUAUUCAUUCAUAUACUUAGCAAUUAUAAUGAUUAAUGGUUAGUAAAAUUUUCAACUAGAUUUAGGAUUUUUGGAUUAAUUAAUCAGCAUAUUUCUUGAAUUAUUUCAGAUUAUUUAGCUUAGAUGAAGAGUGUUGUAUAUUAAUUUGUCCUUAAAUUAUUAACUUGAUUUUAUGAGAUCUACUUCCUAGAUUUGCUAUUCUGUUAGGAGAUUUAAUUAUUUGGGGUGAAUAGUAUGUAAAUGUUGAUUCUUUGUUAGCCUCAUGAAUGAUAUAUUUUGAUAGAAUUAUUAAACACAUUUUAAAGGUUAAAAAAAAUGGUAUUUUGAAUAAUUAAAUCAUUAGAAUUUAAUUACAAUAUGGAAGUUUUAAACCUUAAUAUUUUGAAUUAAAAGUUCAUUUUGAUUUUUAAUAUGAGAAAUUAAAAUUUAAGUAUAUCGAGAUUCUAGUUCUUGUUAAUUUUGAAUCAUAAAUGAUUUGAAAUGAUUAAUCUAGGGUGAAUUUGCUUUAUUUGUUUCUAUAUCUGAGUCAAAUCCUAGAAAAUUUAUCAUAUAAUGGGAUGAUCUUCAUUGAUGAAGAGGCAUAAAUGUUUUACAAAUGCAGUCUAAUUAUUGGAGGUUUUUGUUUUUUUAAUUUGGAUUUUAGUCUAUGAAUUAAGGAUCUUAAUCAAUGGUAAAGGAUUAUUUAAAAUAUUUAACCUUAGAUGGAGUUUGCAUGACUUUUUGCUUAAUUAAGUGGUUUUUUGGAUAAGGACCUUGGUUGAUUCAAUCAAGCUCCAUUAUGUGUUUCAUACUGCCUGUUAAUAAUGUGUAUCUAUGUAGCUCCAUUAUUGUUUGGAUUAUUCUCAAGUAUAACCCAUAUUUAAAUAUAAUCUCAAACGAAUUUCUUUCAUUUUUGCUUGGAUUGCAGUGAUAUGAAAAGGUCCAUGAUAGAGAAGAAUGUGUACUUACCUAGAAAUUAAUAUGCACAGUCAAGGAGAAAAAGAAUUCUCAAGAUCGAAUCAAUGAUUUAGCAAAAUAUAAGGUAAAUACAUUUUUAUUAAUCCUGUUAUGAUAAUGUUCAUUUUGGUUCCUCUUGCUUAUAUCUAAUAUUGCAAUGUAAGCUCAUUAGGCAACUUUCUUUGCUUCCUAGGAACUAGAAUGGGAAAAUAAAAAGGAAAAGAAAUUUAGAGUACUGAUACCACAUGAAUUCUUUCUGAGUUCUUGUUUAUAUAUAUAUAUAUAUAUAUAUAUAUAUAUAUAUAUAUAUAUAUAUAUAUAUAUAUAUAUACUUAACCACAUUUCAAAUAAGAACAUGGAAAUGGUCAUGCUGCUAGUGCCUUGGCUAACUGUUGGAAGAAGAACAUAAUCUCUGGCAAUGUGGUUAUGUGGUAUAAUACUUGCUUGAUGAUCCUCAUAAUUAUAGAUUUGAUCCAAGCAAGGCUCCUUGUUACAGUCAAUCCCUCACUUCCCAAGGGAUGUAUUCAGUUAUGCCCAAGUAAUUCAGGAAUUUCUAUUUGAUUUGUGAGGAUCAAUUGUUUGAUCAGUUGGAAUAUGAUUACUGAGAGGGGUAAAAUCAGUGAAGAUUUCAUAGAUGUGUUCUUCAUCGAUCAAUAAAUAAAUUUAAGGGUUACUGAUUUUCCUUCAAAUUUCAAUCUCUACAGAUACCUAGUUUUAGAGCAUUGCCCCCUGGAGUGAAGUUUGGACCAGGAUGGGUAGGAGAGAACGAUCGGACACCACCAAAGCCACUUUUUGUGCCUUCAUCAACAUUACUCUCAUCUCUCCCUCGAGAUUCUGCUCCUGUUGCUAUACCUUGCAAUAUUUUAGUACAUGCUAUAAGACAUGGAUAUGAAUAUUUCAUAAAUUCAUAAAUUAUAACUUUCAUUAUAAAUAAUUAGAAAAUUAAAAAAAAUGAUAAUGCAUAAUAAUAUUUUGUCUAAAAUAUAUUAUUAACACAAGCAGAGUCCUUUUAAAAAAAAUAUAUAUGUAAAUUACCUUAGUUUUUACAUUAGAAGUAUAUAUUUAUUAAUUGCUUAUACGAUAUUUUGGAAAAUGAAAAAAAUUCUACCAUCUCUAAAUAACUUUUAGAAGUUACUAUACCUUUUAAUAAACGUAAUGCAUUGAGUCUUGAUUGAUUUGGAGUUUGUUUAAAUAGCCGUAAAGGGAAAAUAAAUAUCACUAUUUUAAAUCAAGAGACUCAUAAAAAAUUCAAAGCAUUAUACCUUAAUUUAUAGUUUAUUUGCUUAAUGAGAAAAUUAGGGAAGUAUAAUAUAUAAACUAAACUUAUAUAAGUUUAGUUUAGGAAAUUUUAGUAUUAAUGGGAUUAAAUUUUCAGUUUUUAAACAUUUUUAAAAAUUAUUCAACUUAUUGAAUAUUUAAUAAAUUAAGUCUUGUUUGAUUUAAAAUCUACCUCCCGUUAUAAAAUUGUGAAAGACUCAUUAACCCCUUCAAAAAGUUAUAAUGAGUGUUUCAUUAUCAAAGUAAUAUUUAUUUGAGUAUGAUAUAGUGCAUGCAUGAACAAUGCGUAGUGUACACUUAUUUAUUUAAUUAAGUUUAAACUAUUAGUGUAUGUGUUUGAUUGAACCCUAUGUGUAUUUAUUUGUACCUAAUUUUCAAUGAAUUUGUCCAUAUUUUCUUAGUUAACAAAUAGAGUACUCUAAAUAAAAUGAAUCGAUUUGUUGCAUUGAGUCUAAUAAUUUUUUAAAAUAAUUUUGGUUUAAUUAAAAUUAGAAAAAAAAAAUUUAAUCAUUAGAAUGAACUCAAAAUCAAUUUAAACUAAUAAUAUGACACCCGAACCCGAAGGCUAUGGAGGCCUCUGUCAUUUUACAUAUAAACCCAUAGAACCCAACAUAUGAGCGCGAUUAAUUAACGAAUCCAAAGUUUAAAAAAAAAAAAAAAUCUUAAACACUUGGAUAAAAAUUCUAGAAAUCAUAACUGAAUUCAAUCUUAGGUUAAGAAUCUUAAAUAAAAUCAAAUUUAAAGCAGUUUUUAAUAGAAACACCCUAAAAUAAUAGAUAAAAGGAUAAACUCAACAACUCAAUAAGGAAAAAUAGUUCAUAAGAUAUGAAUUCUUUUACAUAAAUUAAUUUAUAGGUAAACUCAUUUAAUUCAAUAAUAAAAUUCAAUUUCUUUAGAAAAUUCAACAAUUUCAAUUUGAAGAUAGAACCAAUAAGUAUACUUUGCAUAAUUAAUUCAUAUUCAAAAAAGUUUUAUAAACAAACAUUUUAUUAUCGUCCCUCAUAAUAUCACAAUGCCCAAAUAAUUGGACUUGAUCUAAGUGACUAACCACAUAUUAUUCCUCUUCCUGAUAGAUGGAAUGGUUUCUAAUUAAUGGUAUACCAAAGACUAAUAACACCCGUAUUGACUAGGAUUGCUCUGCAUCACUAUCCCAACCAAGGGUAAUGAAGGUCAAUAACUUAACCCUUAUUGACCCAAGCCAUUGACAUCCAAAGUUUUCAUAAUUAUUUUAAUUAAUUGAAAAAGAUAAAAUUCAUUUGCAUAACAAUCAAACAAAUAUGAUAUUCCCCAUUUAUUUUAUGAACCAAUGAACAAAUCAGUAUAUAUAAGAAAAUAUCACUUCAAAAUCAUUUUAGGGAAUUCAAAUAUUUUGAUACCUUAAAAAAAACAUAUGAUAACAAAUAGGGAAUUAUAAAAUAACUCAUUGCAUUAUUAACUCCUAUCUUGAAGAAAUCACUCAUAUUCUCAAAAGAAUUAAUUCACACCUUUAAAUUGUAGAACACAGUAAAUACUAAAUUUUUUUUCUAAUUCUUUGAAUCAAAGUUCUCUUAAAAGAAUUAAUCCACACAUUUCAAUUGUAGAACACGGUAAACCCUAUUAUUUUCUUCCAACUCUUUGAAUCAAAGUUCUCAAGGGACCUCUCUCUCUCAAUUUUCUCUUUUCAAUUUGUUAUAAUUUAGAGAGACCUACCAUAAGAAGUUAAAGAUAAUGGGCAAUUAAAGGGACCAAAACUAUUGAUCUUCUUUCACUCCUUUUUUUUUUUUUUUUAAUAUAUGAGUAUCCCUAAAAUCAAUGUCGGUAUUUGGGGCUGCGAGGAAUUUUCUUUUGUUACCACUUGUAUUUGGGGCGUACAUAAGACGGAUCGCAGAUUUUUUCACCUCAUGGGAUGCCCCUGAUAGACUAAAAGAAACCUUGAUGUGCUUGAACACACUGGCAUGGGUAGACUUUGAUUUGACAAAUUGAGUGCGAGGCUGAUACAUCAUACACACGUGAUCCGUCUCAACAACUCGGUCUCCACUGUGUGUCCAAGUGAUGGAAUGACUGAAAUAAGGCCCUUCCCUGCAUUCAAAAUUACAGCGAAUCUCACCAGGCCGCUGAAUAGUUUCGCCCUCCUCAAGUGCAAACACAGCACAUAGAGCAACCCCCGAGAAGUUAUUGUCAAGCCAAUGUGGAGGCAGGGUUGCUGAAACUGAAGCUCCCAUAUUCUCAUGCCAGCGCCACUUUGGAAUCCUACUUCCAGGAAUCACAAUACUGUAUCCUAUUUCUGGAAAAAGUUCCUGCACCAUGCAUUUUAUGAUGUUAAUAUAAUAAUACCAUUGAGAGAGAGAGAGAGAGAGAGAGACCUGAUGAAGUGUCUCUAAUGCCAUUGCCACAUGAUCCUGAUAUAGUCCGGAGCAAUUCCAUAGCAUGAAUUCCACAGGACGAAGCCAAGUGGAAACCAACCAGUUUUGUGGGCUUAUUAUCCGAGAUGGAGUCGGUAAAGACACCAGGGAUGUGCAAUCACAGGCAUCUAAUAAUUUUAUGCUUGGUGGAAGCUUCGGAAUUUUUUGAAGUUGCUCACACUGCCUCACCAAAAGAACUUUCAGAUUAGAAAGUCUACUGAUGUCUGCAGGUAUGCUAACCAUAUAGUUUCUGUUGAGAUUUAAUACUUCCAGACGGUCCAAGUAUUACAAGGUAAACAAAAAUUUUCUCUUCUUCAUGUUUUACUUUUCCUCCAACUUUAGCAAAUCCAUAUCAAGCACCUUCUAUGUGAGCUUUUUGAAACUCUUGGUGGUAUCACUUUUCUUACAAAUCAUCAAUCUCCCGCUCAAUUUUAUAAAGUGAGAUCUUUUUCUUUUUUUUUUUUUUUUUUUUUUUGCAUCUUCAAAGUUGACUCAUUGGAAGAGUCCGCUCAAAUUUUUUUUGCAUCAAUCUCCCGCUCAAUUUCAUAAAGUGAGAUUUCAAACCACAAAUGCUAUUUCGAAGAGUCCUGAGUUCUUUGCAUUUUCUCAGAUUCAGUAACACAAGACCUUUGAGACGAAGAAUUGAACGGGGCAGCUCUCUUAUAGAUGUUCCAUCUAAAAGAAGCUCUUCUAAAUGUUCCAUAACUUCCGUGAUCUCUGGAAGUCUCUCUAGUUUUGAACAGCCAGAAAGGAUGAGAGUUUUGAGGGAUUUCAAAUCACAAAUUCUGCCAGGAAGGAUCUUAAGGUUUUUGCAGCUUUUCAUAUUUAAUAAAACAAGCCCUCGGAGAUACCCAACCGAUGAGGGAAGUUCAAUGAUAGCAGUGCCUUCCAAAUGAAGCUCCAAUAAAGACUCCAUAUUGGCUUUGAUGUCUGGAAACUUCUCAAGUCUUGAGCACCCUGAGAGGUUAAGAACUUCAAGUUUUUCCAAUCCAAUGAUUCUGGGAAAAUAGUGAAGCAUCCUGCAGUUUCCCAAAUUCAAGAUCUUAAGAUUUUUCAGCCUAGCAAUUGAUGGGUGCACCUCACGCAAGCUUGUACAACCAUAUAGAU